CUCGGCCACCGCCCGUCCUCUGCAUCUGGCGUGUGCCGCUUGCCUCUUGUCAUUUUGACAUUCAAUAUUCCGAUGAAUUCGAUCAUGCCCAUUUCACUCUUGGAACCAUCGGAAUGAAAAGCACCGCCUGAAACAGCCGAUAAUAUGAAAGGCUCCAUUUGGUCCAAUCUGGCUCAACCUCUUGGGCUUUUCUUUUUUUUUUAAGCAGGGCUCCAAAAUAGAUGUCGGCUCAUAGUUCAUCUUGGGCUCUAAUAGAUACUGGCAUGGUUAAGUUGCCGAAGGGAGGAAGUUGCUCCAGCAUGCAAAACAAUUACCAGACCUGUACUCCUGGUGGAGGGGAUGCUGGGAUCGCUCCAGUGCUGCUGCUUCAUCCGGAAUCCUUUAACGAGUACCAGCACGCCUGCACAUGGACAGCCCGUCAGCAGCGGUGGCAGCAGUUUUCCACCUUGACCUGAUGCCGCUAGGGAGACCCAGGGAGGAUCUCCACACCGUCGCGGUUGACCAGCACGGUGUGCUCAAACUGCGCGCUGAGGCUGCCGUCCGCCGCCACCGAUUCCCGCUCCGGCCUGCCGUCGCUAGCUUCCGCGCGCUCCAGUACCUGCGCGCCGGCUUCCACGUGCGCUCGCCCGGCCCGCUCCACUUGCUCCCGAGCCGCGCGCCGCUUGCGCCCGCUGCCGCCUGGGCCGGCCAGCUGCGCGUCCGCCUGCCGCCGCUCGGGUCCACCAGCGCUGCGCCGCCCUCGCACCGAGCCGCUCGCUCCUGGGCCCGCCAGCCGCACGCCUGCGCGCGCUCGCGCCCGCCCGGACGCCUGGCGCUGCUGGGCCCGCCGCUCGCCUGCUCCCUUGCCAGCGCCCCGCCUGUACUGCGCUCCAACUCCCUGCGCCCGCACUGCUUGCUCGGAGGAAAAACAGCAGCCCGUGAACCAAGGGAAAAACAGCAGGGAGAGAGAGGGAGGAAAAGAGGAAUUUUGCUAGAGCUGCCGCCGGUGGAAGAAGGAUAAGACACAGACGCCAGGGGAGAAAAGAAAUAGAGGAGAAAGAUGAACAGAUUUCCCCAAGGACCUAUGCGUAAAUAUAGAAAACUGUAAGGGCCUGUCUGUAAAACAAAAUUUUCUGUUGAUUUAAAACCCAAAUGAAGAAAUGCCCAAAACGAAAGUUGGAGAGUUUUUCAAACUCUACAAGAUUGCUUUAGGGCUCAAGUUCAAAAACUCAAAAUUUAUAUUUUUACACGUGAAGUUUUGAACAAAAGUCGGAUUUGAAUUGCUUUUGUCCUAAAGAGCGUAAUUUUAUAAAAUUCAGGACCUAAGUGCAAGCAUUUAUGACACGUCAUAAUGACGAGAUAGACUCGUCAUAAUGGUUGGAUAGACAUGUCAUGAUGACUUGCACUUUAGUCCAGGGUAAUUUGAAAGUUACUUUUGUAAAUCAAACAUUUGCAUAAAAGGACUUGUCCUUUUAUAAAAUCACAUAAAUAUCCUUAUUUUUACCACUUUACCCAAAAUUUUUACACAAUUCAACACACACAUUUUAAAUACAACUUUCAAAUAAACAUACAUUUUUACAAGGGAUAGUAUAAGGAAAAUAUGUUUACAAAACCACCUUUCACAUAUUUUGAAAUUACCUCCAAUUCAAAAACAUUUUACAGAAACAACCCUAGGUUUUUCUGUAAUUACAAAAAUACCCUUUUUACUUGCACUUUAAAUUUUCAACAGUUUCACACAAACACACAAAAGUUUUACACUAACAAGCGUACACUUCACACUAUCAAAUUAUAAGCCUAGCUUACAGAUACAUGAACUGUCACAUUAACCUCGCAGUCAGUUAGGGUUUUUCCGUGCCUUCAGAUCUUGCAUCGCCACCAGAGAAAAAACAAAACCCCAAUUAGAUCACACCGUGCCGUCACCCCUCCACCGCCCUGCGUAGUCAAAAUCCUUCGAGCCUGCGACCGUAGCCCCCGAGCGUUGUGCGAACAACCCGUGGCUUAACAGAUUCGAAAUGGCGCCGAAGAAAACCAACCAGAAGGACUUGAAAGAAGCGCAAGCGGCAACCAGCGAGUGGACAAUUAGUAAGUGUUCUCGCCACAAUCUCGCAAAUUUGGUGUUGGGGGGCCUUCUUCAAGAAAGGGAUCUCAUCAAUUGGCGGCUUCCCGUUCGCGACCCCUUCCCCAUGGAAAAUGUCGACGAGAUUGUCUCUUUUUGUUCUUUUUCUGACAGUCGUUUCGUGCAUUGGAAGGGCAUGAAACUCUCCGAUCUACUCGAAGAUGAAGACCGACUCGUGGCACACCUCAAGCCCUUACCUUUUCAGGAGGGCAAACCAUUAGCCACCACGGCAGAAGAAUCGACCGAGCUAGUCGAAGCGAGCUCCGACGAACUCAUAUCAUGCCAAGUGUUGAUGGCAGAAGAGGGGGGGGAUGAUGGCCUCUCACCCAACGAAACACUUGACAUGAUAUCCGAAGACGAGGCCACAGCCAAUGCCGGCGAUGAAAAUGACACAGAGCAUGAGGCACGAAGGGCCAGGAACAGAGCCCGCGCAGCCCGGCGAAGGAGGGUCAACGAGCGCAUACGAUCUAUGCAUCGUGAACUGGAUGCCGAAUUCGCCGUCGUGAGCGAGCGGGGCUUCAGAACCCCCAUGGCUAACAUCGCCAGGGUAACCGCCAUACUCGAAUGCAGCAACGAUCCAAACCUACGCCAAGCACUUCACUACACGCAGAGAGCAUAGAUCCAGCUCGAUCAACAAAACCCGGCGUCAACCAUCGGAGAAGAACACAUGGGCGAAAGCUGCAGCCAGGCUAAUAGUCGAACAGCAGGCGGCCAUCCUCGACAUCAACGAAGCAAUAACAACGACAACGCUCGUGGAAGUCAGGCCACUGGUGGGAGGCAGUAGCCACUUGCAGGAGGCAACUUGCGACAACCUAAUCAUCACAACCAUCGGAAUCCUCAAGACUUACCCAUUGAAGACCUGCACCAGAAAAUCAAUGAAGGAUGCGAUGCGUGAUCCAUAAUUGAUUCCAGACGCAGAGAGCGUGAAGUAGCCGAUCCAGAAGGUACCGACUGCAGUGAUCGCUUUUCAGCGUUCACAGCACGGUUCAACAGUUACAAGUACCCUGAGGGCUUCAAGCCAAUUGGGAUCACCAAGUACGACGGCAAAUAAGCUCCUCAGCAAUGGCUACGAUGUUACUCUACCGCCAUAGAAGUCGCAGGAGGCUCCAACACCAUGUAGGUCGUCUAAUUCCCGAUGGCUUUGGACCCUGCACCACUCACAUGGCUGGAGAGCCUCAGCAACAACUUGAUCGACUCCUGGGAGGGGCUCAAGAAAGUAUUCAUCGACAACUUCCAGGGGGCGAUCACCCGCGCAAGUACUCGUCAUGAUCUUGCUCAGUGUAAACAGGAACGCAAUGAGCUCCUACGAUCAUACACAUGCCAUUUCUUCGACAUACGAGCCACCAUUGCGAACAUCUCGGAAGAGGACAUCAUCGACUGCUUCUAUAAUGGCCUCACCAACCUAGGCAUCUAUAGAGACUUUGGGUGGAAUAGACCAAAAACUGUUGCAGGACUGUCACACCCGAUUUAUAAGAACAUAAAUCGAGCAAUCAUAUAUGCGCCAGGAUCAAGUCACGCAUAUAUACAACAGAUUAUCAAGAUAUCACAACACAUGUCACGAAUAACAUGAAUAUAAAUCGUAGAUAAAUCAAUAAAUGAAUUAUUUAUUACAACCGAAUCAAGAAUCGGUUCAAGAGUUGCGGAAGCGUAAAAGAGAUACAUGAAGAGCUGGGCGCCACAGGGACGUCGACUGGGAGACAAACGCCUAGAAGUCGUCGAAGCCGCUGACGUAGUCCUCCACGCUGCCGGGCACUGAGCAGCAGUCGAAGAUAUCCGAAAUAGAACAGAAGAGUAGAGAGGCAAGUGUGAGUACAAACUAGUACUCAACAAGUAUAACACAAACUAUGAGGCUCUAGGCUGGCUGACUCAACUGCAUUAGCUUUUAGUCUUGGCAAAUUUUAUUAAAGCUAAUUACUACAAGUGGAUGAAUUACCAUAAACCCAAUUGCAUAAUAAAUUAAUCAGUAUUAAAUAAGAACUACUGAGAACCAUCCAAACCAAAACCACCCGGGGAAUCGCCCUCGUCAAAGGUUGAUAACCCCACUAAUCAGACGGAGGAUCUGGGCCGCUCAUGACUGUGAGCACAGCUGAUAUAUCAGUUUUACACUCUCGAGAGGUUGCACAACUUUACCCACAAGUCAUGGGCUACGCUAGUUGUUCAUCACACUUCCUUAGGUGAGAUGGCUAGCAAGCACACUACGAGACCGUUACAAAGGAUCACGUUGGUAAGGUGUAACCGCUAAGGAUUCUGGAUCAGCGACGAUGGGGCCCACCUCCGGGGGUACAAGACACACAGCACAGACCAAGCCGGAGGAGCAGGGACCAUUGAAGCUUACCACCCCUCUUGCCCACGCAGGUAAGUUACUCCCGAACCAAAAUGACCUAAUUAAUAAGUCAAGACCGUCCCAUACCAGUCUUGUGGUUGCGCGGUUGUCCCAGGUUGUCGCUCUAUGAACCGGUCCUUAUGGAGAGUGGCCAACCAAGCACUAAGCACCGUGCUGGCCCCCUAAACCAUGUUUCUAACAAAAACAUCUUUUAAGGACGCACGAACCACUCAAGCACACAGCACAGAGGGUCGGCUCCAGAAUUAAGUUGCAUAAGACCAUUAAUCCAAUUAAUUAAAAAGGACCCAGAUACGUUAUAGCGCAGCAACCUAGCACAACUAACCAAAAAUGCAACCCAUAGGAUAUAUAUAAGGAUAUAAAAGUGGCUAGGAAGUCCUUAUAGGUAUACAGUAUUAAAAUGCAGUAUGAAAUUGUAUUUAAAAGUGAUAGGAGGUUCCUGCUAUACUUGCCUUCCUCGUACUCUCCCGGCUGCUGCUCAAACUGCUCGGAAGACGGCUGCUCCUGGUACUGGUCCAAAGGCUCCGCGUCUACUCACGAUCAUCAAACAUAGUCCACACAUACACACAUGCACAAACAAUAGCAAACUAUAAGAAAACAGUACACCAAUACAACAGAACAGCACAUGAAACUAGCCUAGAACUAAUCUACGCGUUACAACGAUCGCGUGGACAUAAAGAACACCUAAAACGGAGCUAAAACGCGAAAACUGCGCUUAAAACAGGAUCCAGGGACCUAAUUGUAAGAAAAACAGGACUUCCAGGGGCUUCUGGACAAAAACCGAGGACUAAAACGUAAAUAAAGCAUAGACUCAGGGGCUAGCACGUGAAAAGGCAUGGCUUGGACGGCGGGUUCAAAAUCCAGAGAAGCCAGGGGGGUCCGCGCAAGAUUCUGGGUCAUUCUGGAAUUAUUUCUCAACUAACUAGGACUGCGGGUUGAUUUCCCGGAAUCCCGAGGGCUCUUUAGCAAAAGCGGCAGGCCGAACCGGUACGCUUUAAUCUGGAGCGUUGGAUCAUGACCUGAUGGCUCGGAUUAGAUCUGCUACGCGAAGGGGUACGCGCGGAUCUCACCCGUCCGAUCGGGAUCUAACGCGCCAGGGCCUAUCAUAAUGGAAAUCAAAUCCCACGCGCCGGAUCAGGAACGGACGGCUCAGAUUCAAAGCAAAGGUGAACCGGUAUCUUCUAAUCCGGAUCGUCGGAUCGCGAUCCGGCGGCUCCGAUCUACUUCGGCUCGACCUAAUCCUGUCCGCUCACCUCGCAUCCUACGGCUCGGGCAGAUGGGCGCGUGGGACGGCGGCGCCGGCCAUCGGAGCUCGGCUCCCGCGGCGGAGGCUCGCCGGCGAUGGCCGAUCUUGGCCGUCCGGCCUCCAUCCGGGACGAGAUCAAGUCCUGGAGGUCGAGCACGACAUGGGGAACUCGUCUAGGCGCUCAGGAAGGCGGAUUAGGGCUCGGGUAGGGGAUCCCCACGGCGAUGGCGGCUCGGGGCGGCGAACACGCCGGCGAGCGCGCGUUCCGGGCUCGGGUGCGGCCUACGGCCUACGACAACUGGCGCAAAAUGAGCAGGGGAUGGAGGAGGAGCUCACCAAGGUGUUGUAGAGGGCGGGGCUACAGCGGAACAGGGAAGUCGACGACGACCGGCGGAGGAAGCGGGGCGGCGCUCGUGGGCAGGUGGAAGCAGAGAGGCUCGGGCGCCCGUGACCGCACGGAUUGGUCGGGGAACUUCCUGCGGAGGUGGAAGAGGGGUCAUGGAGGCAUGGGGCUCACCGACGACGAGCAAUUGCGGCAGCGGAUGAACUUACCCGCGGUGGAGCUCCGGGGCAAUUCGAACGGAGGAACGGCCCGAGGUCACAGAUGAAGGGCUCAGGAGCUCCGGGGUGACGAGGCGGUGCCGAUGCGCAAGCUCUCGCUGGCUGUGGUGCGGUGGAACGGCGUGCCCACGGUGGCGCAGAGGAGAGGGUGCGGCGGAGGAAAAGGGGACCGGCGGCGCUGGGGAUCCUCGGGCAACGCAAGAGCUAGGGUUAGGGUUCGGGGGGCUGCCCUUUGUACAGUGGCGGAGCCACACUGGCGUGCGGGCCCGGAGCAGGGGGGGUCGCCGGAGAUCUCGGAGGGGGGGCCGUUACGCCGGGGAAGAAAGAGGAGAGGAGGAAGAAGCGCUGACGCGUGGGGCCCGACGGUCAGAGGGAGACGGGGAAGAGCUGGAGAGGGCGAGCGCGCUCGGGCUGAGGGAGAAAGCAACGGGCCGGCUUGGCCCAUGCGGGGGAGAGGAAAAGGAGGAGGGGUUGCUGGGCCUCGGGUGCCUUCUUUCUUUCCUUCUCCUUUUCUCCUUUUGUUUUUCUAACUCACUAAUUCAAACAAACUAUUUGAAUUCAAACUACAAUUUGAAUUCAAAUCUAUAAAUUCAACACAAUUAAAACAAUGCUGCGGCAUGAAUGCACAAACACUUUAAUCCUAUGAUAUAUUUUAUUUCCUUAUAUUAUAAAUUACUUUAAAUGCCACAAAAAAUUAAGGAAAAAAAAACCUGAAAAAUUUAUUUAAGCCCAGAUAAAUUCAUUAAAAAUUAAAGAAUUUACCUCAGGGUGUUACAAACCUACCCCCCUUAUAGGAAUCUCGUCCCGAGAUUCGGAUAGGCUAGCUAGCAAAGAGAUCGGGAUAUGUCUUCCUCAGCUCGUCUUCUCGCUCCCAAGUAGCCUCAUCCUCCGUGUGGUGACUCCACUGAACACGGCACAUCUUGAUCUUCUUGUUUCUGGUAACUCUCUCAGAUGUCUCCAGAAUCUUCACCGGAUGCUCGAUAUAGGUCAGAUCCUCCUGCACAUCCAACCCUUCUAUCGGUGCUUGCUCUUCUGGCACUCUCAAGCACUUCUUCAGCUGAGACACGUGAAACACAUCGUGCACUCCUGAGAGAUUGAGUGGCAACUCCAGACGAUAUGCCACCUCACCUUUCCGUUCCAGCACCUUGAACGGACCAAUGUAUCGAGGAGCUAGCUUCCCUCUCACAUUAAACCUGCGGAUUCCUCUCAUCGGCGAGACCUUCAGAUAUACAUGAUCACCCACUGCGAAGGUCAAAUCUCGACGACGAACAUCCGCAUAACUCUUCUGACGAGUCUGAGCGACCCUCAGAUUCUCUCGCACCUGCUGUACCAGCUGUUCUGCCUCUUCAACAAUAUCUGGACCAAAUACCUGCCUCUCACCAAUCUGAUCCCAAUACAACGGAGUCCUGCAUUUCCGACCAUACAGGGCCUCAAACGGGGACUUCUUCAGACUAGCCUGAUAACUGUUGUUAUAAGAAAACUCUGCAUACGGUAGGCAUUUAUCCCAGCUGGUACCAUACUGAAUAGCGCAGGCUCGAAGCAUAUCCUCCAACACUUGGUUGGUUCUCUCUGUCUGCCCAUCUGUCUGAAGAUGAUAAGCGGUACUGAAGCGCAGCUUCGUAUCCAACGAAUCAUGCAACUGCUCCCAGAACCGUGAAGUGAACUGAGAUCCUUGAUCAGAUAUAAUCUUCUUUGGAACACCAUGCAAACAGACAAUCCGGGAGAUGUACAACUCUGCGAGUCUAGCACCGGAGUAAGUAGUGUUCACCGGAAUAAAAUGAGCAACCUUCGUCAACCGAUCCACUACUACCCAUAUGGAGUUGUACCCUUUCUGAGUACGAGGCAAGCCAACGAUGAAGUCCAUAGUGAUCUCCUCCCAUUUCCACUCCGGAAUCUUCAACGGCUGCAAUAACCCUGCUGGCCUCUGAUGCUCUGCCUUGACACGCUGACAAGUGUCACAGAUAGCCACGUACUCCGCAACGGAACGCUUCAUUCCAGACCACCAGAAUCGUUCCUUUAGGUCGUAAUACAUCUUCGUGCUGCCUGGAUGGAUAGAGUAUGCUGUAUCAUGAGCCUCACUCAGAAUCAACUUCCUGAGAUCUGCCACAUCCGGCACACAUAUACGACCCUUGUACCACAAGGUACCCUGACCAUCCUCUCUGAAAUGAGGGGCCUUGCCAAUCUUGAGCAACUCACGAAUCUCCUGCAGCUUCUGAUCUUCCUUCUGAUGCUGCCUGAUCUCUGCCUCUAGAGUGGGCUCUGCCUCGAACGAUGUACCCGAGGUAUGAUGCAAGAAACCCAGACUCAACUGCUCAAACUCCUCGCAUAACUCCUGAGGCAUCUGAAAAGCCACGGCCAUGUUAACAUAGCUCCUCCUGCUCAGAGCAUCUGCUACAACAUUGGCCUUGCCCGGAUGAUAGUGAAUCUCCAGGUCGUAAUCCUUGACCAGCUCUAGCCAUCUUCUCUGCCGCAUAUUCAGCUCACUCUGAGUGAAAAUAUACUUGAGGCUCUUGUGAUCGGUGUAAAUAUCACACCUCUGCCCAAACAAGUAAUGCCUCCAUAUCUUCAGAGCAUGCACAACUGCAGCUAACUCCAGAUCAUGAGUGGGAUAAUUCAGCUCGUGCCGGCGCAACUGCCGCGAAGCAUAAGCUAUCACUCUGCCUUCCUGCAUCAGAACGCAACCAAGACCAUCCCUCGAAGCAUCACAAUACACUGUGAACCUCUUGCUCUGGUCUGGCAGAGUAAGGACUGGUGCCGUAGUCAACUUCUUUUUCAACUCCUCGAAGGCCUUCUGACGCUCAUCAGUCCAAGAGAAAUCCACACCCUUCUCCAGCAAGGAAGUCAAAGGCUUCGCAAUCUUGGAGAAAUUCUCGAUGAAUCUCCGAUAAUAGCCUGCUAAGCCCAGAAAAGAGCGGACUUCCUUCACCGUCUGUGGUACAACCCAGUCAAGCACAUCCUUCACCUUUCCGGGGUCCACAGCAAUGCCUCCCUUGGAGAUAACAUGACCGAGGAACGGAACCUCGUCAAUCCAGAACUCGCACUUGCUGAGCUUGGCAUACAGCUGGUGCUCUCUGAGCCUCUGCAACACAAGUCUCAGAUGCUUCUCAUGCUCCGCUUCUGACUUGGAAUAUAUCAGGAUAUCAUCAAUAAAUAUCACCACAAAGGUGUCCAGAUAAUCCAUGAAAACCUUGUUCAUCAGAUGCAUGAAGAAGGCCGGAGCAUUAGUCAAGCCGAAGGACAUGACCGUAUACUCAUAGAGCCCAUACUUGCAAGUGAAUGCCGUCUUCUGAAUAUCCUCAGGACGAAUCUUCAGCUGAUGAUAACCUGAACGCAGAUCUAUCUUCGAGAAUACACAAGCACCCUGAAGCUGAUCAAAGAGAUCCUCAAUACGGGGCAAUGGAUGCUUGUUCUUGAUAGUGACUGCAUUCAGAUCCCGAUAAUCGACGCACAUCCUCUUCGCACCAUCCUUCUUCUCUACAAGCAACACAGGGAAAGCCCAAGGGGAGAAACUGCGACGGAUAUAACCCUUAGCUAGCAACUCGUCAACAGUCUUCUUAACCUCCUCAUGCUCGACAGGAGCCAUACGAUAGGGCCUCUUAGCAAUAGGAGCUGUGCCAGGCAAGAGAUCAAUAGAAAACUCAAUGUCGCGAUCAGGCGGCAUACCUGGCAAAUCAUCCGGAAAGACAUCCGGGAAUUCAGACACCACGCGAAUACCGUCCGUGGGUCUAGCCUCCAUCUGAUGAAGAAAUCCAGAAGGCUCCGUAGCUCCAACAGUAACCUCCUGACCAUCCGGUGCCGACAGAAGAACCGUCCUCUGAGCACAAUCUAUCCGGACUCCCCACUUAGCAAGAGUCUCCAUCCCGAGGAUCACAUCAAUACCCUUGGUGUCUAGCACCAUCAGAUUUGCACUGAAAUCUACCCCCCUUAUAGCCACACUGACUCUGGGACAGAAGACAUGAGACCUCAACUGCCCUCCCGGUGAAGAUACUAACAUGCACCUCUUUAAUGUGCUAGUAGGAAUACCAUGAUGCUCAACAAAAGACUGGGUGAUGAAAGAAUGUGUAGCACCAGUAUCAAAAAGCACUGUAGCAGGGUGAGCAUUAACCAUGAACGUACCAAUAACCACGUUGGGAGCCUCGGCCGCUGACUCGGCCGUCACGUGGUUCACCCUGCCCUGAGCUGGGGCCUUGGGCGGUGCUGCACGCCCCUGCUGUCCUGCCUGCGCCUUCCGAGGGCAGACGUUGGCGUAGUGUCCUGGCUCGCCGCAGUGGAAGCACACUCGAGGAAGUGCCGGAGCCUGCUGCCCAGGAGGAGGAGUGGGUGCUCCCUGCCUCUGAGCUGGUGGAGCCGGAGGCGCCGGAAGCCUCUGACCCUGUCCCGCCUGCUGCUGCUGCUGAGGACGAGGCGGAAACUGCUGCCGCUGCUGGUACUGCUGGGGCGGCCUCUGCUGCUGCUGCUGCUGUGGAGUGUACUGGUAGCGGGGACGGGUGUUGCUGCCCGAAGAGGAUGGAGCCAUCUUCCUCUUCUUGUCCUCAAUCUCCCGACGCUUGCGCUCGGUGUUGAGGGCCGCAUCAACCAACUGGUUGAAGUUGUCGAAGCGGUGGUUCAGCAGCGCAUACUGGAUGUGAUCAUCCAGUCCCUCCUUGAAGUACUCCUGCUUAUCGCUAUCACGAGCGACGUCAGCAGGGGCGUAGCGGGCAAGCUGAAGGAAGCGGUCACGGUACUCCGUCACCGUCAUAGAUCCCUGAAAUAACGUACACAGAUAACAAGGAUGGGAACCGCUCAACUGGUUAGGUUUUACAAAAGAAAUCGAGGAUGGAUCAAGCUCAAAAGGAAUGGUAGGGAAUUCCGUUAAUAAUUUUUUUUUUUUACCUGCUUAAGGGCACGGAACUCCUUCUGCUUCAUCUUCAUAAUGCCCUCAGGAAUGUGAUGGUUCCUGAAACGCUCACGGAACUGGUCCCACGUGAGAGCAUCACGAUCCCGAGCUGGGUAGGACUCCCACCAGUCAAGAGCGGAGCCUCGCAGCUGCCCUGCUGCGUAAAGGACUCGCUCCCGGUCGUCGCACUGCGCAACAACCAACUGGCGCUCCACCGAGCGAAGCCAGUCGUCCGCCUGGAGUGGGUCUGUGGCGUGAGAGAAGGUCGGCGGGUGACCUCUCAGGAAGUCCGCACGCCUGUCGCGGGGCUGAGGCGGCGGAGGAGGCGGUGGCUGAGCAUGGAUCUGCUGCAGAGCCUGAACGGUGUUGUUCAGGGUAGCCAUCAUCUGCAUCUGGAGCUGGAAGAACUGCUCCGAGGUCAGUGGUGGCGGCAUCGGCAGCGGCUGACCGGUACUCUGGUUGUUCUGCUCCUGCUGGUCAGAACCGGAACCGGUGCGCCUGGUGUUCACCAUCUGAUUGCAACAAACGGAAUUUAUGAGAAUAAGAUAUCGUGCAGCUGCGAAAAUGAAACUUCGGAAGGAUAUAUCAGAGAGAAAGGAAUAUAGGUUUUACCCCCAACGAUCUAACUCAAAUUUUUAUUAUUUAGUUCAAGUUGGGUUAGGUCGAUUUGCAUGAACAAGUUUAACUACUAGCCUAUGCAAUCAACCAAAAAUCCAAAUCAAGCAUUUGCACAAUAACAAACAUUCAACAUUCACAACUUAGUCGAGUUUUUCACACUACUCGACUAACACACUCGUUCUAGCGUAUUUCCAUCGGGACAUCUUAAACUUAUAACUUAUAAGAUUAGGCGACUCAGGCCAACGUCUACGGAAAAACUCAAGCUACUUCUCCGAAAAGACUGGGGAGAUAGCGAAUCUAGGGCUUAAGACUCAAGGGAUGGAAGCAGAAAAAUGAUGGUUGAAGAUUUGCGGAGGCAAGCAAGAGAACCGAAGUCCUAAACUCGACCAAUUCUAUCUAGGCUUCGUCCUACGGUCAACACGGCUCUGAUACCAAUCUGUCACACCCGAUUUAUAAGAACAUAAAUCGAGCAAUCAUAUAUGCGCCAGGAUCAAGUCACGCAUAUAUACAACAGAUUAUCAAGAUAUCACAACACAUGUCACGAAUAACAUGAAUAUAAAUCGUAGAUAAAUCAAUAAAUGAAUUAUUUAUUACAACCGAAUCAAGAAUCGGUUCAAGAGUUGCGGAAGCGUAAAAGAGAUACAUGAAGAGCUGGGCGCCACAGGGACGUCGACUGGGAGACAAACGCCUAGAAGUCGUCGAAGCCGCUGACGUAGUCCUCCACGCUGCCGGGCACUGAGCAGCAGUCGAAGAUAUCCGAAAUAGAACAGAAGAGUAGAGAGGCAAGUGUGAGUACAAACUAGUACUCAACAAGUAUAACACAAACUAUGAGGCUCUAGGCUGGCUGACUCAACUGCAUUAGCUUUUAGUCUUGGCAAAUUUUAUUAAAGCUAAUUACUACAAGUGGAUGAAUUACCAUAAACCCAAUUGCAUAAUAAAUUAAUCAGUAUUAAAUAAGAACUACUGAGAACCAUCCAAACCAAAACCACCCGGGGAAUCGCCCUCGUCAAAGGUUGAUAACCCCACUAAUCAGACGGAGGAUCUGGGCCGCUCAUGACUGUGAGCACAGCUGAUAUAUCAGUUUUACACUCUCGAGAGGUUGCACAACUUUACCCACAAGUCGUGGGCUACGCUAGUUGUUCAUCACACUUCCUUAGGUGAGAUGGCUAGCAAGCACACUACGAGACCGUUACAAAGGAUCACGUUGGUAAGGUGUAACCGCUAAGGAUUCUGGAUCAGCGACGAUGGGGCCCACCUCCGGGGGUACAAGACACACAGCACAGACCAAGCCGGAGGAGCAGGGACCAUUGAAGCUUACCACCCCUCUUGCCCACGCAGGUAAGUUACUCCCGAACCAAAAUGACCUAAUUAAUAAGUCAAGACCGUCCCAUACCAGUCUUGUGGUUGCGCGGUUGUCCCAGGUUGUCGCUCCAUGAACCGGUCCUUAUGGAGAGUGGCCAACCAAGCACUAAGCACCGUGCUGGCCCCCUAAACCAUGUUUCUAACAAAAACAUCUUUUAAGGACGCACGAACCACUCAAGCACACAGCACAGAGGGUCGGCUCCAGAAUUAAGUUGCAUAAGACCAUUAAUCCAAUUAAUUAAAAAGGACCCAGAUACAUUAUAGCGCAGCAACCUAGCACAACUAACCAAAAAUGCAACCCAUAGGAUAUAUAUAAGGAUAUAAAAGUGGCUAGGAAGUCCUUAUAGGUAUACAGUAUUAAAAUGCAGUAUGAAAUUGUAUUUAAAAGUGAUAGGAGGUUCCUGCUAUACUUGCCUUCCUCGUACUCUCCCGGCUGCUGCUCAAACUGCUCGGAAGACGGCUGCUCCUGGUACUGGUCCAAAGGCUCCGCGUCUACUCACGAUCAUCAAACAUAGUCCACACAUACACACAUGCACAAACAAUAGCAAACUAUAAGAAAACAGUACACCAAUACAACAGAACAGCACAUGAAACUAGCCUAGAACUAAUCUACGCGUUACAACGAUCGCGUGGACAUAAAGAACACCUAAAACGGAGCUAAAACGCGAAAACUGCGCUUAAAACAGGAUCCAGGGACCUAAUUGUAAGAAAAACAGGACUUCCAGGGGCUUCUGGACAAAAACCGAGGACUAAAACGUAAAUAAAGCAUAGACUCAGGGGCUAGCACGUGAAAAGGCAUGGCUUGGACGGCGGGUUCAAAAUCCAGAGAAGCCAGGGGGGUCCGCGCAAGAUUCUGGGUCAUUCUGGAAUUAUUUCUCAACUAACUAGGACUGCGGGUUGAUUUCCCGGAAUCCCGAGGGCUCUUUAGCAAAAGCGGCAGGCCGAACCGGUACGCUUUAAUCUGGAGCGUUGGAUCAUGACCUGAUGGCUCGGAUUAGAUCUGCUACGCGAAGGGGUACGCGCGGAUCUCACCCGUCCGAUCGGGAUCUAACGCGCCAGGGCCUAUCAUAAUGGAAAUCAAAUCCCACGCGCCGGAUCAGGAACGGACGGCUCAGAUUCAAAGCAAAGGUGAACCGGUAUCUUCUAAUCCGGAUCGUCGGAUCGCGAUCCGGCGGCUCCGAUCUACUUCGGCUCGACCUAAUCCUGUCCGCUCACCUCGCAUCCUACGGCUCGGGCAGAUGGGCGCGUGGGACGGCGGCGCCGGCCAUCGGAGCUCGGCUCCCGCGGCGGAGGCUCGCCGGCGAUGGCCGAUCUUGGCCGUCCGGCCUCCAUCCGGGACGAGAUCAAGUCCUGGAGGUCGAGCACGACAUGGGGAACUCGUCUAGGCGCUCAGGAAGGCGGAUUAGGGCUCGGGUAGGGGAUCCCCACGGCGAUGGCGGCUCGGGGCGGCGAACACGCCGGCGAGCGCGCGUUCCGGGCUCGGGUGCGGCCUACGGCCUACGACAACUGGCGCAAAAUGAGCAGGGGAUGGAGGAGGAGCUCACCAAGGUGUUGUAGAGGGCGGGGCUACAGCGGAACAGGGAAGUCGACGACGACCGGCGGAGGAAGCGGGGCGGCGCUCGUGGGCAGGUGGAAGCAGAGAGGCUCGGGCGCCCGUGACCGCACGGAUUGGUCGGGGAACUUCCUGCGGAGGUGGAAGAGGGGUCAUGGAGGCAUGGGGCUCACCGACGACGAGCAAUUGCGGCAGCGGAUGAACUUACCCGCGGUGGAGCUCCGGGGCAAUUCGAACGGAGGAACGGCCCGAGGUCACAGAUGAAGGGCUCAGGAGCUCCGGGGUGACGAGGCGGUGCCGAUGCGCAAGCUCUCGCUGGCUGUGGUGCGGUGGAACGGCGUGCCCACGGUGGCGCAGAGGAGAGGGUGCGGCGGAGGAAAAGGGGACCGGCGGCGCUGGGGAUCCUCGGGCAACGCAAGAGCUAGGGUUAGGGUUCGGGGGGCUGCCCUUUGUACAGUGGCGGAGCCACACUGGCGUGCGGGCCCGGAGCAGGGGGGGUCGCCGGAGAUCUCGGAGGGGGGGCCGUUACGCCGGGGAAGAAAGAGGAGAGGAGGAAGAAGCGCUGACGCGUGGGGCCCGACGGUCAGAGGGAGACGGGGAAGAGCUGGAGAGGGCGAGCGCGCUCGGGCUGAGGGAGAAAGCAACGGGCCGGCUUGGCCCAUGCGGGGGAGAGGAAAAGGAGGAGGGGUUGCUGGGCCUCGGGUGCCUUCUUUCUUUCCUUCUCCUUUUCUCCUUUUGUUUUUCUAACUCACUAAUUCAAACAAACUAUUUGAAUUCAAACUACAAUUUGAAUUCAAAUCUAUAAAUUCAACACAAUUAAAACAAUGCUGCGGCAUGAAUGCACAAACACUUUAAUCCUAUGAUAUAUUUUAUUUCCUUAUAUUAUAAAUUACUUUAAAUGCCACAAAAAAUUAAGGAAAAAAAAACCUGAAAAAUUUAUUUAAGCCCAGAUAAAUUCAUUAAAAAUUAAAGAAUUUACCUCAGGGUGUUACAAGGACUUCGUGACAUGAUGCAUGAUUGGUCCAAGAGGAGAAGAUGCGUGAACGGUUCCCGAGGCACAAUAACAACAACCCGAGGCGCACAAAUGACAACUGUACUGACAAGAGCCAGUGGGACUACUCGGGUUCAUCCCGAAAGCGCAAGCCAGACGACCUCGUCGCGGCUAUGGAUCGUCCUCCGCGAGGCUGGAAGACAAUGAUGCAGGAGCAAUUCGAAAAGCUCUUGCAGAAGAAAUGCCCAUGGCAUCCAGGUGCCAAUCAUGCGGCAAUUGAUUGCUACAACCUCCGGAGGAUAUUCAGCAAUCCCAGCAAUGACAAGAAUAACAAGUCAACGGAUAAAGAGCCCGAAUAGGAUGACCAAGGGGACAAAUCGCGCAACAUGAAGUUCCAAGAUGCCUCGAAAACCAUCAACGUCAUCUUCGGAGGUGAUGAAGAGUUCAAUUUCAGGAGGGAACAGAAACUACUACUCCGAGAAAUCAUGUCCGUCGAGCCGGCGGUACCACGACCACUCCGAUGGUCGGAGGUCCCCAUCUCAUUCUCACGAGACGAUCAAUGGACCAGCUUCUCGGAGCCCGGCAAAUUCCCCCUAGUCCUGGACCCGUUGGUGGCAGAGGUCAAGCUCAACAGAGUACUCGUCAACGGCGGAAGUGGUUUCAACCUUAUCUUCGCCAGCAUGUUGAGAAAGAUGGGUUUAGACUUAAUGGACACGCUCGUCCGAAGCAAUUCUCCCUUCUACGACAUUGUCCCAGGCAACGCAGCGCAUCCACUUGGCAUGGUGAUCCUUCCAGUCACCUUCGGCAUGAGGGAGAACUACCGUAUCGAGUUCAUCAAAUUCGAAGUUGCCAACUUCGAAUCUUUAUAUCAUGCCAUACUAGGCAGGCCGGCACCGGCUAAAUUCAUGGCAGUGCCGUAGUAUGUUUAUCUACUUCUCAAGAUGCCAGGAUGAAGUGGGUACUCACUCUUCGAGGCGACUUGAAGAAGUCGUAUGACUGCAACUAGGAGGCCAUCUAGUACGCUUCGAUUACGUGUGUGCCAGAUUCUUCAGGAGAAGUACUCCCGGCCACGCAACAACUCUCCCAAGCCAGGCUGGAAAUCCCAACAAGGAAGGCAAGCCAGUCGAGCAUCCAAUCGACCGGCAACGUGGCCCUCAAGACGAUCCAGCUCCAGGAGGGCGACUCAUCUAAGACCGCUGUCAUCGGUGCAGGCUUAGGUGAGAAAUAGGAAAUUGCGCUCGUCAAUUUCCUUCAGGCUAACCGAGACAUAUUCGCAUGGAAACCAGUGGAUAUGCCAGGGGUGCCCAAGGAACUGAUCGAGCAUAGCCUAAAUGUACAUGCACAAGUUGUGCCCAAAAAGCAAUGCCUUCGCAGGUUUGCUCAAGACAAACGAGAGGCAAUCAGAAGGGAAAUAGCUAAACUCCUCGUGGCUGGCUUCAUUAAAGAAGUAAUCCAUCCAGAGUGGGUAGCUAAUCCUGUCCUUGUAAAGAAAAACAACAAUGAAUGGAGAAUGUGCUUUGACUACACCGACCUCAAUAAGCAUUGCCCAAAGGACCACUUCGGGCUACCGCGCAUCGAUGAAGUCGUCGACUCGACGGCGGGUUGUGCACUCCUCUGUUUCCUUGACUGCUAUUCGGGGUACCACCAGAUCAUGCUCAAGGAAGAAGAUCAAAUAAAGACCAUGUUUAUCACCCUGUUCCGGACAUAUGCCUACAAAGCUAUGUCUUUCGGGUUGAAAAAUGCAGGUGCAACCUAUCAACGCGCAAUUCAAUGUGCUUCGCUGAUCAGCUGCAUCGGAAUAUUGAGGCCUACAUGGAUGACGUGGUCAUCAAGACCAGGAAUCCCGAGGACCUAAUCACAGACUUGGAAGAAAUGUUCAACAGCUUACGAAAGUUCCGAUGGAAGCUCAACCCAACAAAGUGCAUAUUCGGAGUACCAUCAGGGAAAUUGCUCGGGUUCAUCAUUAGCAACCGAGGAAGCGAAGCCAAUCUUGAAAAGAUCACGGCCAUCAUUGACAUGGAGGCUCCGGCCACAAUCAAGAAUGUGCAGAAACUAACAGGAUGUAUGGCAGCCCUGAACAGGUUUAUCUCCCGACUCGGGGAGAGAGGACUACCCUUCUUCAAACUCCUGAAGCGCCAAGACAAGUUCCAGUGGACGGAACAGGCCGAGCGGGCCCUACAGGAUCUAAAACAACACCUACAGUCACCCCCGGUCCUCACAACACCAUUGCCGGGAGAAAAUCUACUACUCUAUAUUGCGGCAACAACUCAUGUCAUCAGCAGUGCCAUCGUCGUCGAGCACAGUGAGGAGGGCCAUGCAUUUGGAGUGCAGAGGCCCGUGUACUUCAUCAGCGAGGUACUCUCCGAAUCUAAGGUACGAUACUCGGCAAUUCAGAAACUUCUAUAUGCAAUACUGAUCACAUCAAGAAAGCUACGCCAUUACUUCGAUGAGUACAAGAUCACUGUAAUUGCGGAUUUUCCGUUGGUAGAUAUUCUACACAAUCAGGAUGCCACGGGAUGUAUAUCAAAGUGGGCAGUGAAACUGGGGGCUCUGUCAAUCGACUUCAAGCCACGUGCUGCAAUUAAGUCUCAAGCUCUAGUCGAUUUUAUGGCCAAAUGGAGAGAGAACCAAAUUCCAACUCCAGUCGACAAGCCAGAGCACUGGACCAUGUAUUUCGAUGGAUCUCUUAAGCUCGAUGGCGGAGUUGCUGGAGUCCUAUUUAUCUCCCCGAAAGGCAAACAACUGAAGUAUGUCCUCCAGAUCCUUUGGGAGGUAUCCAAUAAUGAAGCCGAGUAUGAAGCCUUGCUUCACGGGCUACGUUUAGCGAUAUCACUAGGCAUCAAGCGACUACUUAUAUACGGUGAUUCACUUUUGGUCAUUCAGCAAGUCAACAAAGAGUGGGACUACAACAAGGAGACAAUGGACGCCUACGUACAAGAAGUGCGCAAGCUGGAAAACAAAUUUUCCGGACUGGAGGUUUAUCACAUGAUACGUGAACACAAUGUCAGCGCAGAUAUACUAUCCAAGCUAGGAUCCACCCGUGCACAAGUCCCAGUGGGAGUUUUUGUUCAGGAGCUAAAGCAACCAUCUAUCAAGUCCUCAACUCAGAUAACCACUGAUACUGACCCUUAGAAGCCCAAUCGGGAGGUUAUGAUGCUCGGGGAGGACUGGAGAGAAACUUACAUCGACUACCAGUGGGGAUGUACGCAAAAAGCGUAGCGGCAGCUCGUGUCAUGCACAGAAGCAAAGGUUUUAUCCUAGUUGACAAUAAACUCUACCGGCGUGGCACACGAUCAGGUGUACUUAUGAAAUGCGUCAUGGGAGAAGAUGGCUAUGACAUACUGUGGGAGAUACAUGAGGGAGUAUGCGGCAACCACGUAGCUUCAAGAACGCUAUUGAGAAAGCAUACAGAGCUAGUUUUUGGUGGCCCACCGUAGUGUCAGACGCUGAAGACCUGGUGCAGAGAUGCCAAAACUGCCAAUUCUUUGGCAAGCAAUCUCAUGUUCUAGCCCACAAUCUUAUCACCAUACCGCCAUCCUGGUCGUUUGCCUGCUGGAGCCUUGAUAUGAUUGGGCCAUUUACAACGGCGCCAGGCGAUUUUACCCACACAUUGGUAGCAAUCGAUAAGUUUACAAAGUGGAUCGAGUACAAGCCGAUAACUAAGCUCACACCAGACAGAGUCGUUGAUUUCAUCUCCGACAUUUUGCAUUGCUUCGGCUUCCCGAACACCAUCACACGGAUCUGGGAUCAAACUUCAUAGCUAACCAGUUCUUGGAGUUCUGUGAAAAUGCAUGCAUCGAAGUCAAAUACGUCUCCGUUGCACACCCAAGAGCCAACGGUCAAGUUGAGAGGGCGAACGGCAUGAUAAUCGAGAGCCUCAAGAAAAGACUCUAUGAUGCAAAUAGCAAGAAAGGUGAAAAGUGGAUACACGAGUUGCCACAUGUCAUCUGGGGGCUCAGGUUUCAGCCGUCCAAAGCCACAGGACAAACACCAUUUUUUCUUGUCUACGGCUCCGAAGCAAUUUUACCGGCUGACAUCAUGUGGAAAUCCCCAAGGGUUGAAAUGUACAACGAAGGCGAGGCGGACGAAGCAAGGCAGCUAGAGCUAGACUCUGUCAAAGAGGCUCGCUGCACUGCUCUUGUUCAGUUAGCAUGAUACCUACAGGGGAUCCGAUAAUAUCACGAUCGCAACAUCAGAGAACGGUCGUUCAGUAUAGGCGAUUUGGUCCUACGCCACAUCCAAGACGAGUCAGGAUUACACAAGCUCAAUUCGAGAUGGGAAGGACUGUUCAUCGUCAAGCAGAUUACAAGACCGGGGUCUUAUCGACUACAAUACCCCAAGGGCCAAGAUGUCCCAAAUUCCUGGAAUGUACAGAACCUAUGAAAGUUUUACCCAUAAGAAGAGACGCAGUGAUAGCUGUUCUUCGAGCGCCAAGGUGGUUUCCUUCCGAUUCAAUUUGGAGGUCAUGUGCCACAGAAUUAGGAAUGCAAAUUCUCUAUUAAAAUUUGGAGGCUAUAGCCAUGUUCAAGUUUCAUAUAAAAUGACUUCUUACCAUGAGCAUAACUGUUGUUGCGAUGAUUAUCGCGUUUUUCCAAACAGGCUAGAUCCGCUCGAUCGGAUUCAAUCUAACUUGUUUGACGGGCUCACUUGAGGAGCUAUAUCAACUACUCCUAGAGUCGCUGCACUCGGGGUAGUAUUGACUACUUGCUAUGAGUAUGAUAGUCGUCACGAUGAGGAUCGCGUACUCCGAAAAGGUUAGAUCCGCUCGAUCGGAUUCAAUCUGACUUGUUUGACAGGCUUACUUGAGGAGCUAUAUCGACUACUCCCAGAGUCGCUAUACCCGGGGUAGUGUCUACUAAUUAGCCUAUGAACGUGGAUGGCAACCCAGAAAUCACAAGGCAGCGAUAGUAUAGACAGCACUGACAGAUAUAUUACAAGGAGAAGAGUACUUGUCUUUACAAUAACUCAAUUGUGUUCUAUACUCUACUAUUUUUUCAGCUACAGGCCUGGCCUCUAGAAGGUACUUGCUGAACUGCUCUUCAGAGCAGUCCGCAGCUACACCCUAUGCGAGUACCUCUAGUCGAGCCUUAGGCCAAAACGACUUUACAAAACCUAAGGCAUGGCUAACAUAUGUCGUGGAGGCCUCGGCGACGAAGCUGAGGACUUUCUGCGGAGCUCCGUGAAGUCGCUCCAGCAGGGAUCGCCCAUCUGCUGCGCCAUCUUCCAGUGGAUCCACCACUUCAACCAGCUGUCAGGCGGCCACCCUUAGGUCCUCCUGCUCUUUUCUGGCGCUGUUCCUUCUCUUUGCCCAGCAUCUUGAUCUGCUAAGGCAAUCAACGAAUUGCUUGUAAGUAUCGGCGAUCACCUUCUGCAGCUUCUCGACGUCAUCUGUAGGACGAUACAACAUAUUCUUCACGUCAGUAAGUAACUCUUCUUUAUAAGCUAAGAGUUUCUUAAGCUCUGCCGUGAAGAUAGUGUUUCAGAACACAAGACCAACUGCUAGAUAAAGUACUCGAGCCAGGAAAGGAUUUGCCUUGAUGCGCUUUUUUCUGCUCCUUGAUAUGUUCUUGGAGCUCGAAGUUGGACUUCUCAAGAUUACGGAUGUCGUUCUUGAGCAGCCAUGUUUCUCGUUUCCGCUCCUGCUUCAGCUUGUCGAGCUCUUUGCGAAGAUCGAUGUUCUUUCAGAUUUCUUCCUUGAUGCUUUGAUCCUUCGUUUGGAGCUCCCUGAGGCCACUCUCGACUGCCUUCAGCUUCUCAAAUUUUUCUUGAGAGCGUCUGGCCACAUCCUGUAUAAGGGGGAAGACUGAGAAGACAAAACAACUCAACAAAGCAUAAUGGCAAAAGAGCUGUCAUGCCUUACCAGGGUAAACGUGUACAUCUCCUUGGAGAUCUUCUGGAAAUACCUCAUGUUGUUGAUCGAGAGGAGAGGAUCAUCCAACAGAUCAUUGGUGACAAUGUUCUUGAGUCCUCUCUCAGGUAUCAAUAGAGUUCCAGAGUUGCCAGAAGUACCCGCAGCCUCUUCAGUUGAUGGCUACGGGGCACCUACAAGUCGAAAAGCGUUCAAUAAAUGAAGCCUACGACCUAAGCAGUUAGCCACAGGGGGUCAGACACUUACCUAUGCCUUCCGCAGGAGCAGCAUCGGUGGCCUCGACUUGCUCACCAAUACCAGCACCGGAUUCGAUUUGCUGGGGCUUGGGAGGUGGUGGGUCGGGCAGAGUCGCAUCCUCAUUUCCGGGUGCAGCAGUUGUGCACUUUCUGCUUCAGGUUGUCUGACUAGCGGCUCAGGGGCUGGAGUAGCCGAGAUAGGCUCUGGCUCAUCCAACCCCAAAGCAGAUGAAGUCCUAACAAAGCAGAAUCACAUAUAUAAUCAAACAAGUCAAAAGAGCAGAAGAUACAUUAUGAACAAGGAGCUGCAUUCGCAGAGAGGAUUUCUUCAUGGCGGGCUUCUUAAGCCUCAGUACCUGUGGUUUUACGACCACGGUACUCAUUACCGGUGGUGGGGUCACACCAACCGAGGGCGCGAGAUGCCCCGGCGAGGUACCCGCCACGACAAUGGUCAUGACCCCUGCAGAAGUAGUCGACGCGUCCGUCCCAGUAGUUUCUACAGAACCACCUACUGGAACAUUAUCCCCAGCAAAUGUGGUCCCGACCACCUUUCAGCGCUUGGGGUCGGGAGGAGAAGAAGAAGGACUGCAACACAGACAAAGUAAGCAUCCAACAACCACAAGACUUGAAAAUUCCACAAGACGGCGGUCCCAUACCUGGUGGAUUCGACUACGUUCGCUUUGCGCUUGUGUACCACCCGACGACCCCGAGGGACCGAUGGCAAGGCUUCUACCAACUCCACGGAUGAUCCGGGGGAGUUGUUCUUGUUUGCCUUCCCUUCAGCUGCCUGCUCCGCCAGGGGUAUCUCGCUCUCGGUUGUCUCGCCGCUGGGCAGAUCAUCAGACGAUUGAGCCCUUUUCGCUUCAGCUGCGGCGCUGGGGAGAAGGUGGUACGGUCAGGGGACAUCGGAUUGUGGUGGAUAACUCUGAUACAACGCCAUGUGUCGCUGCAGAGGAUUUUCAAGAACAACAGAAAGUAUUCCAAGUAGUUGAAAGCUUACCGGCUCUGGAGGAUUUUGUGUGGAGAAUAGCUCCGGGAUGUAGGGAACCGUGUUCACAUCCAGCAGCACCUGCUUGACCCGGAUGAGCGAGGCAUCGUCGGUCAAUUCCUCUGCGCACAUCCAAGAUAGGUCUUCAGCACCCAUGUACUCGAAGCCUAACGUAUGGUGUUGCUGGAUGGGUUGGAUUUGGUGUUUGAAAAAUAACAACAUUACAGACGUGCCGGUCACCCCCAUUUCCUUAUGGGCUGCUAUGAGAGCUAGUCGCUCAUCGACUUGGUCCAUGUCCCCCUUGGAGGGCUUGGUGUUCCACUCCGGCCGCAGGACAGGGGACUUACCCAAUCUUUCAAGGAGUUGGGGGGCAUGGUUUUUGAUGUAGAACUAAUAGUUUUUCCAUCCAGGGAUGUUAGAGGGGAAUUUGUAGGAAAGAUAUUUGUCACCGGCAUGUUGCCUAAGCUGAAUGCCGGCGCCCCCUAUAAUGGAUGGAUUUUUGGAGGUAGGUUGCGGUUUUACAUGGAAGAGAUAGCGGAGAAGAUCCCAAUGGGGUUCAAUUCUAAGGAAAGCUUCACAAAUGUGGAUGAAAAUAGAAAUGUGGCAGAUCGAGUUCGGAUUGAGAUGAUGGAGCUCAAGCCCGUAGAAAUAAAGAAGGCCACGAAAGAAGGAAUAGGUGGGGAGGGCCAAACCCCGUUCAGUGAAAUGGUAGAAUGAGAUAAUUUCAUCUAUAUUCUCCAUGGGAAGAGAUUGGCGAAAAGAAGGGCGCCAGUUGAUGAGAUCUUUCCCCUGAAGCAAACCCUCAGAAACAAGAUCCAGGAGGUCGUUAUUGGAGCACUUAGUGUAAGUCCACUCCCCGAAAGGCGGCUGCGAUUCCUUCCCCUUCCCAUCCUUCUUGUUAGAUCUCUUGGGCGCCAUUUCAGAUUUGUUUGUCACGAGCCGCUUUACUCGCAUGCGCUCGGGGGCUGCAGAGAAGGGGUGGAGAGAUUCGGCUAGCUUGGGGCUUGUCAAAGGAGGUGAAGGCGGAGCACGGAUCUGAUUGGGGACUCGGAAAUUACUUGGCGGAUUGAAGAUUGGAAGCACGGGUUUUACCCUAAGUUAUCACGGGGUUAAAUAACCAGCGGUCGCAUAUAGGUUUACUGUUCCGAAGUUGAAGAUUCGUCACAGGGAAUAUUCGGAAGAUGAGGGGUUAUUUGGUGGAUUUUUAGAUAAUUAUUAGAUUAACUAUUUUUUCAGGGUUAAUUGUCCCCAAAAAAGGGGUUUUUUGAAUUCCAAAUCUAACUUCUAUCAUUUGUACCAUCACACCAAUUAUUUCCCAAGGGAACAUUUUUUCACUGCAUGCCAUGACUAUUGGAUCCUUUUUUCCAAGCCUGAGAGAUUUGGAUUCAAGGCUCGGGGGCUGCGGGAUACAUGGCAUCGACUACUUAUUUUUCAAAUAUAUUCGAAGAGUAAGCAAGGAAGAUUCAAGACUAAUGUGACCCUCAGCUUGAUUCUUCGAUUCAACCUAAGGCUUGGGGGCUACUCCAUAUGGAGUGCGAUUUUUCAUCGCACCCCAUACCAAAGAAGUAAUUCGGAGCAUGAGCACCUCAUAGCUUCGAUAUAGCCAAGGAAGUACUCGAAGAAGAACUUCAAGACGGAGCUUCAAAAGAAGCCGAAGACUACUUCGGGAGUACUCAAGGAGCCUGCAAUACUCAGCUACGAAGAGCUCGGGGGCUUGUCAGACCCGGAACUUUGGGAUUGUGUACAUAACGUAGUUCAUACAGGAAUAGGGGAUAGGACAUGUCCUAUACCUUAUCUAUGUUGUACUCUACUCGCAUGCAAAGUAGAUCUAGUCGAUACAGAAGGAAGCUACUCAAGUUGUAGUCGAGUAAGAUUCCUAAGCUAGUGUCGGACUAGGAUUCAUGUAACCCUGCCCUCCCAGAUAUAUAAGGGCGGGCAGGGACCCUCUCAAAACACAUCAACACCUAAGGCAAUACAAACCAACAAAUAGGACGUAGGGUACUACGCACAUCGCGGCCCGAACCUGUCUAAACCUCAUGUUGCUUGCACCUUCGAGUUCCUGAUCUCGGCGACACCCUACCUAAAACUCACCACCUCAGGUAUACCCCUCGGUAGGCAGACAGUAAAACACCGACAUAUACUAAUACUCAACAAGGCUUACCUGACUAGUGGAAUAUACUUAGCCGACACCUAGACAAGCAAGGCUUUUGUCUUGAGGGGUUUGUUUUGCCGAAAAGCAACUAAGAGUAAGUCCUUGCUUUCAAGUUUUAGCUUAAAAACUUCUAGUUCAAUUAACCAUUCUAAGUGAGCAUCUAUCCAACAUCACACAUGGUGGAAAGAAUUAAUUUUGCAUCCAACCAUAUUCAUCAUCAUUGUUCUACUUCUUACUCUAUGUGGCAGAAGUAUUAAGCAGUCUCAAUGGCUGCGAGAAAUGGACAAUUCGAAUCGAAUUUCUUAACCUUGCAAGGGAAACCUAACACACACGUCUGGAGCACCGAAGGGUCACCCCAAGCAACCUUUUGCCUUUCUUUCCGGGUCAUGGAUCAGGGUCACCCCCCGCAACUAUAGAGCCCAGCUCUGCACCCAGUGCAUGUCAAACAAAUACAGGGGGUGCAAGUAAAGUCCACUUGCCGGGCUGAUCAGUCACUGAGCUUACCGAUUACCAUAUGCUGGGCAUGUGGUUAGUACAUUCAAAUGCUUAACCGCCGGUCGACCGUAUGAUUCCGACAUAAAGUAAAAAAGCAACUCCUAUUUCUCGCAAGUGACAGGCAAUCACUCGACUUUUACCGAACCUAUUAGCAUGGCAACUAUCAUACCUUUCAACUAGUAUUCAUAGCAUGGGUACCUAAGAUCAUGCAUCUAAGGUUUCAUUCAACUCCUAUAACUUAAUGCACAAAUAAAUAAUAGAACACAUUGAAUAACUUUGAAAUAUGGGUUAUGCUCUGGGGCUUGCCUUUCUAGGCAAAGUUAGCCUUGAGCUUUUCUGAAUGUUGGUUCGGGUCUUCGGCGGCUUUAGUUAGAAUAGCUUGAGCUUCUUGCUGCUCCUUUACGGACUCGGGCAUCAGCUCGUACGUUCCGUUAGCGAGAGUAGUCGAAUCUAUAUGAAAUGCACAUGUAUGAUUUAUUGGGAUGGUAAAGAUUUAAUAACUUCACGAUAAAGUUGCAUCCAACAGAACUCAACUUUUUUUGUGAAGCACAUAUUUUACAAAUGCUUGGGAAAUUAUUUAUAGAGUACAAGUUAAGGUAAUUAACUUCAUUAAGUAAGUGGGGUUUUUAUUAUUUCAAAAGUGCUGUUUUUCAAGAUUAAACAUGGAUUAUUCAUAACUGCUGUUUAAGAUAGUUUUUGUGUUGAGAUUUUUAUGUAGAGUACUUUACUUAGAAACAAACUUACUGUAAAAUUUUCAGAUAUUUUCAUUUAGCAUAUUAAUCAUGAAAAAUAUAUUAAACAGCUACUUCUAGAAUCAAGAUCUAUUUAUACGGAACAAACCAUGCAUGAACUGAUGCUCAAUAUUUGACUGAGUACUCCUAAACUUAUGGUGAGCCUACUGUAAAUUUUUCAGAUUUUAGUGUGCAAGAUUCAGAGCAUAGAAAAUAAGUCAAGAUACAUCUAUAUUAAUCAAGAUUUAUUUAUACCAGUUGUUCCACAAGGUUCAUGUAUCUCAAAAUUUUCGAACAUGAUAAUCUACUCAAAGAUAGUUUCUGAUUAAAAUUUCAUAUUUUUCUAAGCGACAGAACUAGUUACUUUGAUUUAAUAUAGUUUUUAUUAACUAAAAACAUAUGAGCAUGUUCAAAUGAAGUAAAAGGUUCCAAACUUUGUCCAAAGCUUUUAUGCAUCAAAGUUACUCUACUGUAAAACUUUCAACUGCAAAAUAUCAGUAAAAUAGCAUGAACCAAACAACUCUAGCAAAAUAGCACAUCAAACAAGAUUCAACAAAAAUAUUCGUAGGGAUAGGUUCUAGCCUUGAGAUCUUUACACAUGUCUUAACAAGUAGAGACUAGCUUAUAGUCCAAAAAUCAUUCCCAGUACAAUCCUAGAUCAAUAGAUACAUUUAUGAGCUAUUUAAAACAAGAUUAAUUUUAGACCAUGUUUUUGUUUGUAACUAGUCAUCCAUCUAUACAAAAGUUGUCAGGUUCAUCAAGAGGGUCACAACAAAUUUUAGUUUGUAUUUUUCUAAUUUUUCUAGGAUUUUAGAUUGAUUUUACAAGUGACAGCCUCUUGAAACAAAAAGUACUAGGGUUCUCGAAGAUUGGUCCCUAGAUCUAGCAGAAAGGAUCCUAACAAGAACUUGGCGAUUACAAUGUAGUUCCUAGGCGGGGCUGGGCUAUUUUUUGGCCAAAAUCCAGCGAGAAAACUAGUCGGCGGCGAGGAGAAAGGUGGGGGAAAUGGAGAGGGGGCCGGGGCGCACCGAUUUGUGGCAUUGGCGGGGCUCGGGACGGCCAGAGCAGGGUCCUCUAUGGUGGACAACAGGUGGCGGUGGUUGGUUGCAGUGCUGGUACUGUUCUGGCGGGGUAGGACUGGCGUGGCUGGGCUUGGAAGCUCCGGUGGGAGGUGGGGAAGCUCGCUGGAGGGUCAGUUUGGGCGGAGGGAGGUCGGGGGUGGGAGCUCCACGAUGAACUCGAGCUUGCAAGCGGCAAUGGUGGGCUGUUUGGGUGUGUGUGCAGGAAGGGGCUCGGCUGCCCCUUUUAUAGGUAGGGUGAGGGAAGGACAAAAGAGCUGGGCAGCUGGCGCUGCCUUAAGAGCGAAGGGAAGGGCCGGUCGGGCGGAGGGGACGCGCGGCAGCGGCUCGGUCGGCCGGUGGUCCUUGUGGCAUGCGAUUGGGGGCAGUCUGCUGCGUGGCCAGUGCAAACUAGGGAGGGGAGGAUUCGAGGAUCGAGCGGUCGAGCUAGGUGAGGCCAAGUGGUGCUGCAGUCAUGCGACAGGGAGGCAGGGGGCUGAGGAGGAGAGAGGAAGGAGAAAGUGAUGGGACUUAAGCGCAAGAAGCAAAAAUAGCAGGAACUGGGUGAAAAAAGGUGCUAAAACUCAUUCUUCGUCAGGUCAAAUCAAAAAUAUUUGAAUACCAUUUUUGCUCAACUUUUCAAGAUAUACAUUUUCUCUUUAAUGACUAUGUUCAUUUGAGCAAUGUAUAAAAAGUUAAUUUGAAUUUCCAAAAACUAGUAUUUAAAUGACAUGUCAUUUCAUGUGAAUUUUUGCACUUUUAGCCCUUGAGUUCAACUAGACUUUUGUUGCUCUUGUUAUGACAGAUGUGCCAUUAAAUUUUUAGGGUCAUUUGUGAUCAACUUUGAAAGUUACAAGGGUUUAUUUGCAAGAGUUCACAUGUAUAUGCAUAUAUACAUAUACACAUAUUCAUUUGCUUGAAAGGUAGAUUUUGACAGGUUGUUUUAUACUUUUCUUGCUCUUUUAUGCCUGCUUUCAUAUUAUGGAUCUUUAUUUAGCCUUAUAGACACCCAGGGUGUUACACAAUUCAAGGUGGUAAUUUCCAACCCGAGCACAUACAAUGUGAAGUGUCUCUCCCCUGGAUGUCCAUAGCGGGUUCACGACUUUCUGUCGAAGGGGGAGAGUGUGGCUUCGAUUGUUUUUGGGCACUCUUGCAAGCUUACUGGAAUGGAUGUCAAGCACAAGAGUUACGUAUGUGCUAUAUCUAAUAGAUACAAAUAUGAAAUAUCAUAUAAUAUGGCAUGGUGAGCGAAGUAGAAGGCAGUGGAGUGGAGGUUUGGGAUGUAUAAGUAUUCCUUCCACCCACCUUCCACACCACCUCGAAUUUCUGCAAAGUUGGAACCCGGGAACUAUAAUUGAUAUUGAUGACUAUCAGGAUGCAAAUGGUGACAGGGUCCUUCAACGGUCACGAAUAAAUCCGUAAGCGCACGGAAUACCAUUGUAGCUUUCACCCAGGGGUAUUCUAGGGGAUCGUAUCCAUUGAUGAACGUGUGUACACUCUCUUAGGUUCAGGUUCAUCCAAGGACACCACAUUGAUUGGGGGGAAAGAGGAGAGGAUUCCUAAGGCUAAGAACCAAAGGUAAGGUAGGACUAUCCUUGUUGUUUACUUCAGGCUACUUGCUCCAUCUGGAUAAAACCAAGAUGCCCCAGUAAUAUGGCACUUGGAUAUAUCCGAACGGGGAGGGUUACGUUGAGUAAACAAGGCUAUCACCACCUGUCACCUCCUCAUCAAGCCGUGGGAUAUACCACAACCAACAGGUAAAGUCUAGCCUAGACACCACAUCUACGCUGUCGUCUACUAACUCUAGCCUUGGCCAAGAACAUCUGUCUCUGUCAGGAGUCUUAAAGUAGAGCACCCACUAAACUAGUGAACUAUCGAUCCCGUAAACAACUAAAGAGCUAGAACUAGUACUUACUUAUGAAACUAAAGCACUAAGGAAGUCACGAACACUUACUUUGAUUGAUAAGCAUCCAUCGAGGUACAAGCUGGAGGAGAGUGCCGACAACCUCGGUACUUCCCCGACUUCCCCUCACUCUCCUCCUAUCUUCUAACACCGCCUAGGUAGUGCUACACCUCUAGAGAGAGCCUAAAGCUCAGAAUGGGAGAGGAGGCUUGCAAAGUUGCAAGUGUGAAAUGUGUCCCUAUUCGUACCCCCUCUGCUCAUAUUUAUAGAUGUGGCACCAAGGGUGUACAGCCGGGGAAAUAGUUGAAGACUCCAAGAACCGCCAUUGGGAGCCAAUGAGGGAGCUCCACGUGGCAGAGGUAAGUUGGUGGUGCCUGAUCUGGUUCCGCCGAACCACCUGGUUCGGCCGAACCAGGUUGGGCACCAACCGACUUAAGCUUUCGACAGGUGGCUGGCAGGUGGGCCCUCUGGUCCCUAGUAAGUGAUUUAGCUCUUCCUUGGGUCGGUUUCCUAUGCUGGUGGACCCUUCUAUCCGUGUGAGCCUGAACGAUGCAUUCUGAUUGGUUGGUGCUGCUUAGCCUUGGAUCAUGCUUGCUCUUUUCCUGCAAUUUUAGCUCAAAUGCAACUGCAUAAAUAUUUGGACCAGCACUUGUGGAAUUCGUUAGAUAAACCACCCUAUAGUAGUGUUGGCAUGUGAUUUUGUUAUUCUUUUAUGCAGGAUUUGACGGUCAAAAUUGAGCUGUAACGAGCGUCAAUAAAAUCGCCCAUACUUAGUCCUUUGCUCAUCCUCGAGUGAAGGCAUAGAACUAAGGCGGCAUGACUGACGUGCUAAAGUGUCUACCAUGAUGUCUCAGGUGGUUGAGUGAUGGAACGGCCUUGAUCCAAGUGUCCCAUCUUGUUCAGCUGCUGAUUUGGGGUUUUGAAAUAGUUUUUUUGAAAAAAAUGUAUCCAUGGUCUUACCCCUUCUUGAUGAUGUCUCUCAUCCACUCAUUUGCAUGUACCUUACCAAAGAUGUACCCCUUAUUCCGUCUCUUAUGCAAGGCUGAAGUGGAGCUCGGUGGGGAAUGUGUGGUACGUACUUGUGAUACAUCUGUUGCAAAAUCAAAGGUUGGAUCCAUAGAGAUAAUACAUCAUACAAGUAGAUCAAGAUUGUGCAUGUGUGAUCGAGGACUCCUUUUGAGCGGCCUUCCCUUCCCCCUUGUAAGAACUUCAUGAGAGCAUGGAUAUCUUUUUUUUUCAUAUAUGGGCCUUCAUGUGCCCAUUUUUUCUCUUUUUUUCGAUAGCUCAUGCCUCCUUUGUGUCACUUUUGGGGAGAGGAAAAAAUAGCUUUGUUGAGUGUUUAUGUCGGGUGACAUGGAAGCUAACUUCAAGUGCAGAAGUUGCUUGUGUACGUGAUCUUGAUCAAACGAAUACGAAGCAUAUCUCAACAGGGUCACAACAUUUGAUAAAGCUCAAUGUAUCGACAAGUCGCAUAUGUAAGAGAUGUGGGUAGUGUGAUCAACAUAUGGCUUUGGUAGGAUGGGUGCAAGGGAACGUAAGCCAUUGAAUAUUUUUCUUUGAAAUAAAAAUUCCCAAAUCAAACAAGACAAACGGGUAGAGAUGCUUGUAUCAAGCCAUAUCGCAUUAAUCAACAACUUGAUCAUCAUGGGUUCCCUAAGAAUUUUGUUCACACAUCCAGGAUUUGUGAAGAAUAAAACUUAUUCAUGAAUCAGCAAAUCAAGCACUCCAACUUUUGAUUGAGUUUAAUCUUUUUUAGAUUGAUCAUUAAGAACAUGAUUAAACUCAGGGAUCAAGGAGAAAAUGAGUGAGGGCAUGCAAACCGAGGAAUUGGAGUGAGGAGAGGUCGAGUGGGCCUAGCCAUGGGUCGGCCGAAGCCGAACCAGGGGUUCGGCCGAACCAAGCAGGUGCCUGUUUGGUCUCAUCCUGCGCGUGUCAGUUCAUCCUGCAUUGCACGUAAAAUGUAGGGGUAUUCUUAGUGUAAGUUCAUCAUGAUCUUGCGAGAAUCUCCCCCACAUUUGUCAUCGAUCCUGUCUCAUUAAAUCAAAGCAAACAAAAAAGUAAAAUCGAAGGGGGCUCUGCCGGCAUUAACACCGGGGAGCCAAAGUCUUAUUCAAACCAAAUUAUGAGGCGCUUACAACGAUGGAAAUAAACGAAGUAAAGCAAAAAAUGGAAACAAAUCUAACCUAGUGCCCAACAAACUAAACUAAACAAGAUCCUCGGAUGAACUGUCAUCUGAGUCACUCCUCCCCCUACAGCCUUAGCCAAAUGAUCCAUCCUAUCGUUCAAGUUGCCGUGGGAUGUGCCGAGGUCCUCAUAGAUAUCGUUGAGCACCGAUCUCUGCUCUUGCAGGGAGAGGCUUAUCUUCUUGUUCUCCAACUGUAGACUCCUCAUUAAGAAGAUAAGUUCCUCCUUGGAGUACACCUUCGGGGAGUCAGCUGGCCCUUUGCUCUUGUCUCCUUCCUUGGCCGGUGGACGUACUCCCCAGAUCUUGAGGCAUGGCAUUGGUGGAGGAUCAUCAGGGGAUAUCUUUUCUCUCCUGUAGUUAUGGAAGAUGACAUUACUCAACAAGGAUCCCACAUACUCUUCAUCGGGCUUCAGUCUUGGUCCAGGGGCAUUAUCAUUUUGAAAAAGCUUGACCGUGACCAUCUCGAGAACUCCCUGGAGCGUCUUCUGCAUGGUUUCUGAGCCCGUGCCUCUAUCUUUUGGCUCCCUUGUGGCGAGGAUGGUGGUGUACUAGAAUGAGGGGCUGAGCGGCCCCAUCUCUGGUUGGGCCGAACCAGAGGGUCGGCCGAUCGAGAGGCGGCGCCUCUUGGCCUCCUGUUCCUUGUAGCGCUAGGUGGCAGCGUGGAAGGGGCUAUGGUGGGCGAGAGGGCCUCCUCCAUGAGGGUUUGAGGAGAAUUUGGGCUAUUUGCCAUCGUAGGUGCUUUGAUGGUUUGCUUGUCAUUGACGAAGGGCAUGAUCUCCUUUCGACCAUGGAGGUGCAGAAUGUGAAGAGGGUUUUGGUGGUCGUGGAGGUGUAGGAGUAGAUGGGAAAGAUGAGGAAGAAGAAGGGUUAUGGAUGGUUCAAAGGGAAUGUGGUUAAACCCUAAUUCUUCUACCAAAAACCUUAGUGGCAGCCAUAGAUGAGUUGAGUACGAGAUAGAGUCCAGGACUGCUAAGGCUGGGCUGCUGGGAUGCCUGCUCUAGUUCGGCCGAACUGGGCUAGGCCCUGCUAGCCUGAGGUCUUUUCUGGGUAGCACAAGGAGAGUUCCAGAAGGUAUAUACAGGUGGCUUACUGUUGGUCUUGGCGUGUAAAGCCUCUAAUCAAGCAUAUUUUCGUGAUCGACUAUCUCGAUCACCUCUAUAACCUCAUUAAUGACUUUAUCAUGCUCUAGGAAGAGUUCCAAGCGAUGACCAUUUACCUUAUGAAGGUUACCUUCUUCAUCCUAGAUCAUGAUAGCCCCAUUAAUUGAGGUGUCGAUGAUGAGGUACGGUCCUAACCACUUGCUCCGUAGCUUCCCGUGACCAAAUAGCUUCACCCUAGAAUUGAAAAGCAAUACCAUAUCUCCUGGGUUGAAGACCUUUGGUUUCAGCCUUUUGUCGUGCCAUCUCUUUGUUCUCACUUUUUUUAUCGAGGCACUAUGAUAGGCUUUGUCUCUCCAUUCCUCCAGUUCUGAGAUCUGCAACUUUCUAUGCUCUCCGGCUUGAUUGAGAUUCAUGUUCCAUCUCCGGAUAGCCUAGUGUGCUCUAUGCUCCAACUCGAUGAGUAGAUGACAUGUUUUCCCGUAGACGAGUUGAUAGGGUGACAUGCCAAUGGGUGCUUUGUACGCUGUACGGUAUGCCCAUAAAGCAUCUAUUAGUUUUGGCCUCCAUGCCUUACCCAUCUCAUUGACGGUCUAUUGUAGAAUGUUCUUGAUUUGCUUGUUAGAUGUUUCUGCCUGACCACUUGUCUGAGGAUGAUAAGGGGUAGCCAUGUUGUGCAUGGUCCCUAGUUCCUUGAGGAAGUUUUUGAAGGCCGUGUCAAUGAAAUGAGAACCUCCAUCACUAAUCACCAUCCUCAGUGUUCCAAACCUUGUAAAGAUCACCUCUUGGAACAUCUUUCGGGCAUGCUUAGCAUCGGCUGCCCUGCAUGGCAUGGCUUCCACUUAUUUGGAGACAUAAUCCCUUGUGACCAAGAUAUACUCGCAGUUAAGAGACUUUGGAAAAGGUCCCAUAUAGUUGAUGCCCCAUACAUCAAAGAGUUCCACUUGAAGAUUGUAUGUUAGAGGCAUGGCAUUGCAAGCUGAGAUCCCUCCAUGCUUCUGGCAAUUAUGACACCUUUGAAUGAAAUCCUUGGUGUCUUCAUACAUAGUGGGCCAAUAGAAACCACUCUGCCAGAUUUUUUCUUGUGUGCACAAUACACCAUAGUCUCCUCCCUAUGGUGCUGCAUGGCACUUCUCAAUGAUCUUGAUCCCUUCUGGCGUAGGAACACAUCUUCUCAAUAAUAUGUUUGCCCAUACUCUAUAUAAAUACAGCUCAUCCCAUAGAUGGCGUCUACUCUCGUACGUACCCUGAAACCAUGAAAUUCACAAUAUUCACAUACCAGGUGUUUGCCGUCAUCACCUUGAGGAGCAUGUCAUCUCGAAGGAAGUCCUUAUUGGCAGUUCCUGCGUGUUAGUGAUAUUCAUGUGUGAUAAAUGAUCUGCUAUAGAAUUUUCUACUCCCUUCUUAUCUUUGAUUUCCAAGUCAAACUCUUGGAGUAGAAGGAUCCAUCUUAUGAACCUUGGUUUAGCAUCUUUCUUAGUGAGGAGGUACUUUGGAGCUGCGUGGUCAGUGUAGACAAUGGCCUUUGCCACCACCAAGUAAGAUCUAAACUUAUCUAUAGCAAAGAUGACUGCCAGGAGCUCUUUUUCUGUUGUGGCAUAAUUAAGUUGAGCUCCUAUUAGUGUCUUGCUAGCAUAGGCGAUCACGUGAUGCUUUUGUUCCUUAUUUUUCCCGAGUACGGCACCCACCGCAUAAUCACUAGCAUCACACAUGAUCUCAAAAGGGAGCUUCCAAUCUAGAGGUUUGGAUGAUUGGAGCUGAGAUGAGUGCCUCUUUGGAAGUGCUAAAGGCUUUUAGGCACUCAUCAUCAAAAUGGAAAGGGACAUCCUUAGCUAGUAACCUCAUAAGAGGUCUAGCAAUAUUAGAGAAGUUACCGAUGAAGCACCAGUAGAACCCUGCAUGGCCUAGGAAGCUUCGGAUCCCUUUCACAUUGGUGGGCGGCAGUAGUUGUUCGAUGACCUCAAUCUUCGCCUUGUCCACCUCUAUUCCUCUCUCGGAAACUAAGCGUCCGAGAACGAUGCCCUCUAGGACCAUGAAGUGGAACUUCUCCUAGUUCAGCACCAUGUUCUUUUCUUGGCAUCUCUACAAGACCUUGUCCAAAUUUCUAAGGCAAUGAUCGAAGGUCUUACCAUAAACCGAAAUUUCUAAGGCAAUGAUCGAAGGUCUUACCAUAAACCGAGAAGUCAUCCAUGAAGACCUCGACAAUAUCUUUGAUCAUGUCCGAGAAGAUGGACAUCAUGCACCUUUGGAAUGAUGCGGGUGCAUUGCACAACUAGAAUGACAUUCUUCGGUAAGCGUAGGUUCCAUAGGGGCAUGUGAAGGUUGUCUUGCUUUGAUCAUCAGGUUGGAUAGGAAUCUGAUGGUAACCAGAAUAGCCAUCAAGGAAACAAAAGAAAGAGUGCUUUGCUAACCAUUUCAACAUCCCAUCGAUGAAGGGUAGCAGGAAGUGGUCCUUCUAUGUGGCCUUGUUGAUCUUUCUAUAGUCAAUGCACAUCCUUCAUCCUGUGAUGGUGUGGUACGGAAUUAGCUCAAUGUUGCUAUAUUCCACAACCAUCAUACCUUCUUUCUUGGGCACUACCUGCACAAGACUUAAUAAAGCAAGCGUGAGUACACUUAUAGUUGGUACUUAGUAAGUGGAGUAAAUUAUACGACAUGCAAGGCCAAAAUCAAGGAUAAGCUGGCAUGGUUUGACUGCGAUAAGCAUUUUUAGUUGAUCAAGUUUUAUUUAGCAAGAAUUAGCUAAAUGUAAGUAUAUACCAACCCUUAAAUAAAUAAAAGAAUUAAGAUAACAACAAUAAAUAAAGAACAUCAAUUUAGAUCAUCUUCAAGUUCAAUUAUCAUGUGAGGGUCCAAGCUGCUCUUAACCUCGGGUGAUAUAUCAGUUUUCACUCUGCAGAGGUUGUACACUUUACCGUGUUUCCCUUAAUGCCCAGGUUUGUAAGGCCCUUAAACACUUCCGAGGUGAGUGGCAGGGAUUCAGUACGAGGCCUUUACAAAGAUUCGCUAAGGUUUCAAGUCAAAGCGGUCAUAACUCUCCCUAAUGAGGUAGAUGCCUUAACCAGAAUCAUAUCACACCCUCAAGAGGACUGAGCUAUACCCUGACGAUGCAACCCCUCUUGCCCUUUAGGUAGGAUUGGCAUAAGCUAAAGUUUCUAAUUAAUUAGCCAAGACUAGAGCCAUGUAGUAUUGUGGUUGCACUGUUUUCCUGGGUGGUUCUCCAUGUUCCAAUUAAUGCAAUGAUCUUAAUUAUCACCAUAAAGUAUUCCUGAACAUGAAGUUAAACAAGUACAGCAUAAUUUCUAGGUUAUUCAACCAAAAUCUAAGUAAAAGCAACUAGCGUAGCUACAGCAUAAAUAUAUUAAUCUAGGUUUAAUCAAGGAAGUUCAAAAGAAACUAGGCAUAUCCUUAGUUUGGGAUCCAUCAUAUUCUAGACACAUGCAUGCAUAUAAAGUAAAUGUAUGUAUUUAUAAUGUUAUUGGGAUUGAAGUAUGAUAAAGGAUCACUUGCCUUUGUCAAUGAACCACUGCUGCUCGGGAACAUCAUCAAAGCUUGGCUCUUGCGGACCCUCAAACUGCGCACCGUCUAUCGUAACACACAAGUACAUACAAACUGUCACACCCGAUUUAUAAGAACAUAAAUCGAGCAAUCAUAUAUGCGCCAGGAUCAAGUCACGCAUAUAUACAACAGAAUCAUCAAGAUAUCACAACACGUAUCUCAAAAUAAAAAUGUAUAAAUUAUAAAUGAAUAUCUUUAUUACAACUGAAUCAAGAAUCAGUUCAAGGAAUGCGAAAGCGUAAACUAAAUACAUGAAGAACAGGGCGCCACAGGGACGUCGGCUGGGAGACAACGCCUAGAAAUCAUCGAGUCCGUUGAUGUAGUUCUCCACGUCGCCGGGUACUGAGCAGCAGUCGAAGAUAUCCCAAAGGGAACAGAAGAGUACAAAAGGCAAGUGUGAGUACACAACUUGUACUCAACAAGUAUAACAAGAAUUAUGAGGCUCUAGGGUUAGCUGACUCAACUGCAUUAGCUUUUAAUCUUGGCAAAUUUUAUUAAAACUAAUUACUACAAGUGAAUGAAUUAACAUAAACCCGAAUUGCAUAAGAAAUUAAUCAAUAUUAAUUAAGAACUACUGAGAACCAUCCAAACCACCAAGAUAACCCCACUAAUCAGACGGAGGAUCUGGGCCGCUCAUGACUGUGAGCACAGCUGAUAUAUCAGUUUUACACUCUCGAGAGGUUGCACAACUUUACCCACAAGUCGUGAGCUAUGCUAGUUGUUCAUCACACUUCCUUAGGUGAGAUGACUAGCAAGCGCACUACGAGACCGUUACAAAGGAUCACGUUAGUAAGGUGUAACCGCUAAGGUUUCUGGAUCAGCGACGAUGGGGCCCACCUCCGGGGGUACAAGACACACAGCACAGACCAAGCCGGAGGAGCAGGGACCAUUGAAGCUUACCACCCCUCUUGCCCCGCAGGUAAGUUACUCCCAAACCAAAAUGACCUAAUUAGUAAGUCAAGACUGUCCCAUUCCAAUCUUGUGGUUGCGCAGUUUUCCCAGGUUGUAGCUCUAUGCAUCGGUCCUUAGGGAGAGUGGCCAACCAAGCACUAAGCACCGUGCUGGCCCCCUAACCAUGUUCUAACAAAAACAUAUUUUAAGGAGACGUGAGCCGCUCAAGCACACAGCACAGAGGGCCACUCUCAGAAUUAAGUUGCAUAUAACCAUUAAUCAAGUUAAUUAAAAAGGACCUAGGUGUGUGAGAGUGCAGCACCUAGCACAACUAACCAAAAUGCAACCCAAAGAUAUAUAUAUAAAAGGAUAAAGGUGGUUAGGAAAUCCUUAUAGGCAUACAGAAUUAAAAUGCAAUAUGAAAUUGUAUUUAAAAAUGAUAGGAUAUUCAUGUUAUACUUGCCUUCCUCGUACUCUCCCGGCUGCUGCUCGAACUGCUCGGAAGAUGGCUGCUCCUGGUACUGCUCCGAAGGCUCGACGUCUACUCGCGUUCAUCAAGCAUGGUCCACACAUACACACAUGCACAACAAUAGCAAACUAUAAGAAAACAGUACACAAAUACAAUAGAAUAGCACACAAAACUAGCCUAGAACUAUUCUACGCAUUACAACGAUCACGUGAGCGCAAGAAUCACCUAAAACAGAGCUAAGACGCGAAUUCUAGGGCUAAAACAAGGUCCAGGGGCCUUUCUGUAAGAAAACAGGAAAACCAGGGGGUUCUGCACAAAAACCAGGGGCCUAAAUGUAAUUAAAGGUUAGAUCUGAGGUCUAACCCGUGAAAACACAGGGCUUGGACGGCGGGCACUAAAACCAGAAAACUCAGGGGCCUAAAAGAAUAAAAUAGGACCUCUCUGCGAAUAGUUUUGAACUAAUGGUGUACUGCGGGUUGAUUCUCGGAAAGCGCAGGGGCUCUUUAGCAAAACUGGCAGGCCGAACCGGUACGCGCUGUUCUGGGCCACUGAAUCUAAUCUCUACGGCCCAGAAUCCAUGCAGGCGCCAGCGGCGGCGGGACUCACCGGAGACUAAGCUCCGCGGCGGUGCGCGGCUCGGCUCGCCGGAGCUCGGCGUUCCCGCCGCUCCAGUGGGCCAUUCUUCACGACUCCAGGCUGGAAGGCAUCACCAUGGCCUAGGAAACACAUCUAGGGGAAACAGAAGCGGCCAAAACUACUCUAGCGACGAUACGACGGUGAGGGGUGGCUCGGGGCGGCGGACUCCCCGGCGAGCGGUGUUCCAGGCGCUACGGGCAGCCUUCUACCACGACAUCUGGCGCAACAGGACCAGGGAAAGGAGGAGGGGCUCACCAAGGGGUUGUGGAGGCCGGAGCUGCGACGGACGGUGGAAGCCGAUGACGACAGGCGGCGAAUAAGAUCGGGUGCUCGCGGUCCGACGAUUACAGGCAGACUCCGGGGCUCUGAUCACCCUGGGUCGCCUCGGGAAGCUCCUGCGCAGGUGACCAAGGGGUUAAGAGGGCCCGGGACGCAACGACGGCGAAGAAUUGAGGCGGGGGAGCAGAUCACCGACGGCAGUGGCGUGGCUCGAUUCCGGUGAUGCUGGGGUCUAGAGCUCCAAUGCACGGCUCGGGAGGCUUCUAGGGGUGAGGUGGAGCUCUUGCGGGGGCUGUGGUGGCCCUAGGGUGGCGGAGCGGCCUGACCACGGUGAGGCCGAGGUGACCGGAGCGGAGGAAGAAAGGGGCGGCGGUGCUGGAGGUCUUCGGGCGAUGCAGGGCUAGGGUUAGGGUCCUGGGGCUCCGGAGUCUCCUUUUGUAGGGCGGCGGGCUACCUUGGCGUGCGGGCCUGGGAGAGAGUAGAUCGCCGGGGAUCUCGGGACCAGUUGAAGCUCGGGGAGGAAGAACAGGAAAGGGGGGAGGAAGGUGCUGACACGUGGGGCCGCUGAGUCAGAGAGAGUGCGGCGCUCGGGCGGGGGCUGGGCUGACUGCUGGCCGAGCCGGCCCAUGCGGGAAAGGAUAGAAAGGGGAGAGUUGGGCCGCGUGGAGAGGAGAGGGGAGGGAAAAGAGGGCCGGGCUGAGAGGAGUUUUGGGCUGCCCUUUCCCUUUUCUUUCCUUUUCUUCUUUCCUUUUUCUUUCCUACACUCAAACUAUUCAAACAAUUCUAUUUGAAUUCAAAUAAUUUCAAAUUCAAACCCUAUAAACUCAACACAAGGAAAACAAUGCUCCAGCAUGAAUGCACAAACAAGUUGAUCCUAUAAUAAAUUUUAUUUUCCUGCGUUAUAAAAUUACUUUAAAUGCAAGCUAAAUUAGGGAAAACCCUGGAAAUUUUAUUUGAGCCAAAAUAAAUUCAUUAAAAUUAGGGAAAAUUACAUUAGGGUGUUACAAACCUACCCCCCUUACCGGAAUCUCGUCCCGAGAUUCAGUUAGGCUAGCUAGCAAAAAGAUUGGGGUAUGUCUUCCUCAGCUCAUCCUCUCGCUCCCAGGUAGCCUCCUCCUCGGUGUGAUGACUCCACUGAAAACGGCACAUCUUGAUCUUCUUGUUCCUAGUAACUCUGUCAGACGUCUCCAGAAUCUUCACUGGAUGCUCGGUGUAGGUCAGAUCCUCCUGUACUUCCAACCCUUCCAAUGGUGCUUGCUCUUCCGGCACUCUCAGGCACUUCUUUAGCUGGGAUACAUGAAACACAUCGUGCACUCCUGAGAGGUUGGGAGGCAACUCCAAGCGGUAUGCCACCUCACCUUUCCGUUCCAACACCUUGAAUGGACCAAUGUAUCGAGGGGCUAGCUUCCCUCUCACAUUAAACCUGCGAAUUCCCCUCAUCGGCGAGACCUUCAGAUACACAUGAUCACCCACUGCAAAGGUUAGAUCUCGGCGACGAACAUCCACGUAGCUCUUCUGACGAGUCUGUGCGACCCUCAGAUUCUCUCGCACCUGCUGUACCAGCUGUUCUGCUUCCUCAACAAUAUCCAGACCAAAUACCUGCCUCUCGCCAAUCUGAUCCCAAUACAACGGAGUCCUGCACUUCCGACCAUACAGGGCCUCGAAAGGAGAUUUCUUCAGACUGGCCUGAUAGCUGUUGUUGUAGGAAAACUCUGCAUACGGCAGGCAUUUAUCCUAGCUGGUACCGUACUGAAUAGCGCAGGCUCGAAGCAUAUCCUCCAACACUUGGUUGGUUCUCUCUGUCUGCUCAUCUGUCUGAGGAUGAUAAGCGGUACUGAAGCGUAGCUUCGUAUCCAGCGAAUCAUGCAACUGCUCCCAGAACCAUGAAGUGAACUAAGAUCCUCGGUCAAAUAUGAUCUUCUUCGGAACACCAUGUAGACAGACAAUCCUGGAGAUGUACAACUCUGCGAGUCUAGCGCCGAAGUAAGUAGUGUUCACCGGAAUGAAGUGAGCAACCUUCGUCAACCGAUCCACUACUACCCAUAUGGAGUUGUACCCUUUCUGGGUACGAGGCAAUCCCACAAUGAAAUCCAUAGUGAUCUCUUCCCAUUUCCACUCUGGAAUCUUCAAUGGCUGCAAUAGGCCUGCUGGUCUCUGAUACUCUGCCUUGACACGCAGACAAGUGUCAUAGAUAGCCACGAACUCCGCAACGGAAUGCUUCAUUCCGUACCACCAGAAUCGUUCCUUGAGGUCAUAAUACAUCUUCGUGCUGCCUGGAUGAAUGGAAUACGCCGUAUCAUGAGCCUCGCUCAAGAUCAGCUUCCUGAGAUCCGCUACAUCUGGCACACAUAUCCGAUCCUUGUACCACAAGGUACCCUGAUCAUCUUCUCUGAAAUGAGGUGCCUUGCCAACCUUGAGAAGUUCACGGAUCUCCUGCAGCUUCUUAUCAUCUUUCUGAUGCUGCCUGAUCUCCGCCUCUAGAGUGGGUUCUGCCUCGAAUGAUGCACUCGAGGUGUGAUGCAAGAAACCCAGACUCAGCUGCUCAAACUCCUUGCAUAACUCCUGAGGCAUCUAAAAUGCCACGGCCAUGUUAACAUAGCUCUUCCUGCUCAGAGCAUCUGCUACAACAUUGGCCUUGCCCGGAUGAUAGUAAAUCUCCAGGUCAUAAUCCUUGACCAACUCUAGCCAUCUUCUUUGCCGCAUGUUCAGCUCAUUCUGAGUGAAAAUGUACUUGAGGCUCUUGUGAUCGGUGUAAAUGUCACACCUUUGCCCAAACAAGUAAUGCCUCCAAAUCUUCAGGGCAUGCACAACCGCGGCUAACUCCAGAUCAUGAGUGGGAUAAUUCAGCUCGUGCCGGCGCAACUGCCGCGAAGCAUAAGCUAUCACUCUGCCUUCCUGCAUCAGGACGCAACCAAGACCAUCCCUCGAAGCAUCACAAUACACUGUGAACCUCUUGCUCUGGUCGGGCAGAGUAAGGACUGGCGCCGUAGUUAACCUCUUCUUUAGCUCCUCGAAGGCCAUCCGACGCUCAUCAGUCCAAGAGAAAUCCACACCCUUCUCUAGCAAGGAAGUCAAAGGCUUCGCAAUCUUGGAGAAGUUCUCAAUGAACCUCCGAUAAUAACCUGCUAAGCCCAGAAAAGAGCGGACUUCCUUCACCGUCUGUGGCACAACCCAGUCAAGUACAUCCUUCACCUUUCCGGGAUACACAGCAAUACCUCCCUCAGAGAUGACAUGACCGAGGAAUGGAACCUCGUCAAUCCAGAAUUCGCACUUGCUGAGCUUAGCAUACAGCUUGUGCUUUCUGAGUCUCUGCAACACAAGCCUCAGAUGCUUCUCAUGCUCUGCUUCGGACUUGGAAUAUAUCAGGAUAUCAUCAAUGAAUAUCACCACAAAGGUGUCCAGAUAAUCCAUGAAAACCUUGUUCAUCAGGUGCAUGAAGAAAGCCGGAGCAUUGGUCAAGCCAAAGGACAUGACCGUAUACUCGUAUAGCCCAUACUUGCAGGUGAAUGCCGUCUUCUGGAUAUCCUCGGGACGAAUCUUCAGCUGGUGAUAACCCGAACGCAGAUCAAUCUUCGAGAAUACACAAGCACCCUGAAGCUGAUCAAAAAGAUCCUCGAUGCGAGGCAAUGGAUGCUUGUUCUUGAUGGUGACUGCAUUCAGAUCCCGAUAAUCGACGCACAUUCUCUUCGCUCCAUCCUUCUUCUCUACAAGCAAUACAGGAAAAGCCCAAGGAGAGAAACUACGACAGAUAUAGCCCUUGGCUAGCAACUCGUCGACAGUCUUCUUAACUUCCUCAUGCUCAACGGGUGCCAUACGGUAGGGCCGCUUAGCAAUCGGAGCUGUGCCAGGCAAGAGAUCAAUAGAAAACUCAAUGUUGCGAUCAGGCGGCAUACCUGGAAAAUCAUCCGGAAAGACAUCCGGGAAUUCAGACACCACGCGAAUACCAUUCGUGGGUCUAGCCUCCAUCUGACAAAGAAUUCCAGAAGGCUCCGAAGCACUGACUGUGACCUCCUGUCCAUCCGAUGCUGACAAGUGGACAGUCCUCUGAGCACAAUCAAUCUUGACACCCCAUCUAACAAGGGUUUCCAUUCCCAAGAUCACAUCGAUACCCUUGGUGUCUAGCACCAUCAGAUUAGCACUGAACUCUACCCCCCUUAUGACAACACUGACUCUAGGACAGAAGAUAUGAGACCUCAACUGCCCUCCCGGUGAAGAUACUAGCAUGCCCCUCUUUAACGUGCUAGUAUGAAUGCCAUGAUGCUCAACAAAAGACCAAGUAAUGAAAGAAUGCGUAGCACCAGUAUCAAAAAGCACUGUAGCAGGGUGGGCAUUGACCAUGAACGUACCAAUAACCACGUUGGGAGCAUCGGCCGCUGACUCGGCUGUCACGUGGUUCACCCUACCCUGGGAUGGCGCCUUGGGCUGAGCUGGACGCCCCUGCUGUCCCGACUGCACCUUCCGAGGACAGACGUUGGCGUAGUGUCCCGGUUCGCCGCAGUGGAAGCACACUCAUGGAAGUGCUGGAGCCUGCUGUCCGGCAGGAGGAGUAGGCACUCCCUGCCGCGGAGCUGGUGGAGCCGGGGGAGCAGAGCGUGCCGCAGGCGCUGGAAGCCUCUGGCCCUGUCCCGCCUGCUGCUGCUGCUGAGGACGAGGCGGGUACUGCUGCUGUCGCUGCUGGUACUGCUGGAUCUGCCUCUGGUGCUACUGCUGCUGCUGCGGGUACUGGUACCGAGGCCAGGUGUUGCUACCAGACGCAGCAGGAGCCAUCUUCCUCUUCUUGUCCUCAAUCUCCCGGCGCUUGCGCUCGGUGUUGAGGGCAGCAUCAACCAGCUGGUUGAAGUUGUCGAAGCGGUGGUUCAUGAGCGCGUACUCUAGGUGAUCAUCCAGUCCCUCCCUGAAGCGCUCCUGCUUAUCGCCAUCAUGGGCGACCUCAGCGGGGGCAUAGCGAGCGAGCUGGAGGAAGCGAUCACGGUACUCGGUCACCAUCAUAGAUCCCUGCUUAAGCGCAAGGAACUCCUUGUCCUUCAUCUUCAUCACUCCAGCAGGGAUGUGGUGGUUCCUGAAACGCUCCCGGAACUAGACCCAGGUGAAAGCAUCACGGUCCCGAGCUGGAUAGGACUCCCACCAGUCAUGAGCCGAGCCUCGCAGCUGCCCUGCCGCGAAUAUGACUCGCUCCCUGUCGUCGCACUGAGCGACAUCCAACUGACGCUCCACUGAAUGAAGCUAGUCGUCAGGCUGGAGUGGAUCAGCUGCAUGAGAGAACGUCGGCGGGUGUCCUCUCAGAAAAUCUGCACGCCUGUCGUGAGGCUGCGGCGGUGGAGGAGGUGGUGGCUGAGCGUGAAUCUGCUGCAGAGCCUGAACAGUGUUGUUCAGAGUGGCCAUCAUUUGCAUCUGGAGCUGGAAGAACUGCUCCGGAGUCAGAGGUGGAGGCAUCGGCAACGGCGUCUGCUGGCCGGUACUCUGGUUGUUCUGUCCCUGUGUCACACCCGUUUUAUAAAGAACAUAAAUUGAGCAAUCAUAUAUGCGCCAGGAUCAAGUCACGCAUAUACACAACAGAAUCAUCAAGAUAUCACAACACAUAUCACGAAUACAUUAAUAUGAAUCGUAAGUAAAUCGUAAAUGAAUUAUUUUAUUACAACCGAAUCAAGAAUCGGUUCAAGAGUUGCGGAAGCGCAAAAUGAAGUACAUGAAAGGUAGGGUGCCAAAGGAACGUCGACUGGCAGACAAACGCCUAGAAGUCGUCGAAGCCGCUGACGUAGUCCUCCACGUUGCCGGGCACUGAGCAGCAGUCGAAGAUAUCCCAAAGAGAACAGAAAAGAGGAAGAGGCAAGUGUGAGUACACAAACUCGUACUCAACAAGUAUAACACAAACUAUGAGGCUCUAGGUUGGCUGACUCAACUGCAUUAGCUUUUAAUCUUGGCAAAUUUUAUUAAAGCUAAAUACUACAAGUAGAUGGAUUACCAUAACCCAGUUGCAUAAGAAAUUAAUCAAUAUUAAUAAGAGCUACUAAGAACCAUCCAAACCAAAACCACCCGGGGAAUCUCCCUAAUCAAAGGUUGAUAACCCCACUAAUCAGAUCGAGGAUCUGGGCCGCUCAUGACUGUGAGCACAGCUGAUAUAUCAGUUUUACACUCUCGAGAGGUUGCACAACUUUACCCACAAGUCGUGAGCUACGCUAGUUGUUCAUCGCACUUCCUUAGGUGAGAUGGCUAGCAAGCACACUACGAGACCGUUACAAAGGAUCACGUUGGUAAGGUGUAACCGCUAAGGAUUCUGGAUCAGCAACGAUGGGGCCCACCUCCGGGGGUACAAGACACACAGCACAGACCAAGCCCUAGGUGAGCACCAUGCGUCCCCCCUGGUCACGAUGCGCCAGAUGUCGUGGAUCAUAGGCACCACCCGAGGCCGAAACGCGCGCACGCCGGCGAUGUCCAUUGCUCGAGCUGCCUCUCCCCGCGAGCCUUUCCCUCCGGCCGAUGUCGCCCCUUCCUGAGCCCACCAGUGGAUUACCCAUUCCGCGCUCGUGCUCUACGGCAAAACCGCAGGCCAAAAGACCCACUGACGGCCCAGAUCGCUUGCUCCGACGAAGAGCCGGCGAGGCACCGCCGCGGGAGCUGAGCUCCGGCGAGGAAUCGCCGCCAGCCCGCGCCUCUUUUGUUCCUGGCCGCCCGAUCCGUGAUGGAAGCGCCUGAUUAGAAGCCGCGUACCCCUUUGCUCCGCACCGCUGGAUCCAGAUCCAACGACUCCAAACAGAGCGUACCGGUUCGGCAUGGUGAUCUUUCUAAAGAGUCCCUGCGCUUUUCAAGAAUCAACCCGCACUCUUGUGUAGUUCAAAAGAAAUUGCUGUGAGGUCCUGUUUUACUCGUUUAGACCCCUGAGCUUUCCAGUUUUUGAACCCGCCGUCUAUGCCAUGAGUUUUAGCGCGUUAGACCCCGAGUCUAUGCUUUAAUUACGUUUAGGUCCCCAGUUUUCGCACAGAACCCCUGGAAGUUCUGUUUUUCUCACAAAUAGGUCCCUAGCUCUUGUUUUAAGCGUAGUUUUCGCGUUUUAGCUCCGUUUUAGGUGUUCUUUAUAUCCACGCGAUCAUUGCAACGCGUAGAAUAGCUUUAGAAUAGUUUUGUGUGCUGUUUCCAUGUAAUGUUGUACUGUUUCUUAUAGUUUGCUAUUGUUUGUGCAUGUGUGUAUGUUUGGACCAUGCUUGAUGAUCGUGAGUAAACGCGGAGCCUUUGGACCAGUACUAGGAGCCACCAUCUUCUGAAGCUUUUGAGCAGCAGCAGGAGAACUUUGAGGAAGGCAAGUAUAACAUGAACAUCCUACCACUUUUAAAUACAGAUUUCAUACUGCAUCUUAAUACUGUAUGCCUAUAAGGACUUUCCUAGCCACUUUAUAUCCUAUAUAUAUCCUUGGGUUGCAUUUUGGUUAGUUGUGCUAGGUUGCUGCGCUAUAACAAACUUGGUCCUUUUUAAUUAAAUUUGAUUAAUGGUCUUAUGCAACUUAAUCCUGAGCGUGGCCCUCUGUGCUGUGUGCUUGAGUGGCUCACGUCUCCGUAAAAGAUGUUUUGUUAGGAACUUGGUUUAGGGGGCCAGCACGGUGCUUAGUGCUUGGUUGGCUACUCUCCAUAAGGACCGGUUCAUAGAGCGACAAUCUGGGACAACCGCGCAACCACAAGACUGUAAUGGGAUGGUCUUGACUUACUAAUUAGGUCGUGUUGGUUCGGGAGUAACUUACCUGCGUGGGCAAGAGGGGUGGUAAGCUUCAAUGGUCCCUGCUCCUCCGGCUUGGUCUGUGCUGUGUGUCUUGUACCCCCGAAGGUGGGCCCCAUCGUUGCUGAUCCAGAAUCCUUAGCAGUUACACCUUACCAACGUGAUCCUUUGUAACGGUCUCGUAGUGUGCUUGCUAGCCAUCUCACCUAAGGAAGUGCGAUGAAAAACUAGCGUAGCUCACGACUUGUGGGUAAAGUUGUGCAACCUCUCGAGAGUGUAAAACUGAUAUAUCAGCUGUGCUCACAGUCAUGAGCGGCCCAGAUCCUCCGUCUGAUUAGUGGGGUUAUCAACCUUUGAUUAGGGAGAUUCCCCGGGUGGUUUUGGUUUGGAUGGUUCUCAGUAGCUCUUAUUAAUAUUGAUUAAUUUCUUAUGCAACUGGGUUAUGGUAAUCCAUCUACUUGUAGUAUUUAGCUUUAAUAAAAUUUGCCAAGAUUAAAAGCUAAUGCAGUUGAGUCAGCCAACCUAGAGCCUCAUAGUUUGUGUUAUACUUGUUGAGUAUGAGUUUGUGUACUCACACUUGCCUCUUCCUCUCUUCUGUUCUCUUUGGGAUAUCUUCGAUUGCUGCUCAGUGCCCGGCAACGUGGAGGACUACGUCAGCGGCUUCGACGACUUCUAGGCGUUUGUCUCCCAGUCGAUGUCCUUGUGGCGCCCUACCUUUCAUGUACUUCAUUUUGCGCUUCCACAACUCUUGAACCGAUUCUUGAUUCGGUUGUAAUAAAAUAAUUCAUUUAUGAUUUACUUACGAUUCAUAUUAAUGUAUUCGUGAUAUGUGUUGUGAUAUCUUGAUGAUUCUGUUGUGUAUAUGCGUGACUUGAUCCUGGCGCAUAUAUGAUUGCUCGAUUUAUGUUCUUUAUAAAUCGGGUGUGACAGGAUUGGUAUUAGAGCCAUAUCGACUGUAGGACAAAGCCUAGAUAGAAUUGGUCGAGUUUAGGACUUCUUUUCUCUUGCCUUGCUCCCGCAAAUCUUCAAACAUCAUUUUUCUGCUUCUAUUCCUUGAAUCUUAAGCUCUUUGAUUUCCUAUCUCUCCUGUCUUUUCUGAGAAAUAGCUUGAGUUUUCCGUAGACGUUGGCCUGAGUCGCCUAAUUUCAUAAGCUAUAAGUUUAGAUUGUUCCGAUGAAAAUACGCUAGAACGAGUGUGUUAGUCGAGUAGUGUGAUAAACUCGACUAAGUUGUGAAUAUUGAAUGUUUGUUAUUGUGCAAAUGUUUGAUUUGGAUUUUUGGUUGAUUGCAUAGUCUAGUAGUUAAAUUUGUUCAUGCAAAUCAACCCUAACCCAACUUGAACUAAAUAAUAAAAUUGAGUUAGAACGUUGGGGGUGAAACCUAUAUUCCUUUCUCUCUGCCAUUUUCUUUCCGAAGUUUCAUUCCCGCAGCUGCACAAUAUUCCAUUCUCAUAAAAUUUCGUUGUUGCAAUCAGAUGGUGAACACCAGGCGCACCGGUUCCGAUUCUGACCAGCAGGAGCAGAACAACCAGAGUACUGGUCAGCCGCUACCGAUGCCACCACCACUGACCCCGGAGCAGUUCUUCCAGCUCCAGAUGCAGAUGAUGGCGACCCUGAACAAUACUGUUCAGGCUCUUCAGCAUAUCCACGCCCAGCCACCGCCUCCUCCGCCGCCUUAGCCCCGUGACAGGCGUGCAGAUUUCUUGAGAGGUCAUCCUCCGACCUUCGUUCGGUGGAGCGCCAGUUGAUUGUUGCUCAGUGCGACGACCGUGAGCGAGUCCUUUAUGCAGCAGGGCAGCUGUGAGGCUCAGCUCUUGAUUGGUGGGAGUCCUACCCGGCUCAGGACCGCGACUCUCUCACCUAGGUCCAGUUCCGUGAGCGCUUCAGGAGCCACCAUAUUCCUGAGGGGAUUAUGAAGAUGAAGCAGAAGGAGUUCCGUGCCCUUAAGCAGGUAAAUUUGAAUGGAAUUCUCUGCAAUAUCUUUGAGCUUGAUCUAUCCUUGAUCUCUCUCGUAAGCCUGACAUACUGAGCGAUCUCCAUCCUUGUUAUCCGUGUUUGUCAUUUCAGGGAUCAAUGACGGUGACGGAGUACCGUGACCGUUUCCUUCAGCUUGCCCGCUACGCCCCUACUGACGUCGCCCGUGAUAGCGACAAGCAGGAGUAUUUCAAGGAGGGACUGGAUGAUCACAUCUAGUACGCGCUGCUGAACCACCGCUUUGACAACUUCAACAUACUGGUUGAUGCUGCCCUCAACACCGAGCGUAAGCGCCGGGAGAUUGAGGAUAAGAAGAGGAAGAUGACUCCAUCCUCUUCGGGCAGCAACACUCGUCCCCGCUAUCAGCAUCCACAGCAGCAGCAGCAGAGGCCGCCCCAGCAGUACCAACAGCGGCAGCAGUUCCCUCGUCGUCCUCUGCAGCAGGCAGGGCAGGGUCAGAGGCUUCCAGCGCCUCCGGCUCCACCAGCUCAGAGGCAGGGGCGUGCAGCACCGCCCAAGGCUCCAGCUCAGGGCCGGGUGAACCACGUGACGGCCGAGUCAGCGGCCGAGGCUCCUAACGUGGUUAUUGGUACGUUUAUGGUCAACACCCAUCCUGCUACAGUGCUUUUUGAUACUAGUGCUACGCAUUCUUUCAUCACCCAGUCUUUUGUUGAGCAUCAUGGCUUUCCUACUAGCACAUUAAAGAGGUGCAUGUUAGUACCUUCACCGGGAGGGCAGUUGAGGUCUCAUGUCUUCUGUCCCAGAGUCAGUGUGGCCAUAAGGGGGGUAGAUUUCAGUGCGAAUCUGAUGGUACUAGAUACCAAGGGCAUUGAUGUGAUCCUCGGGAUGGAGACCCUUACUAAGUGGGGAGUCCAGAUAGAUUGUGAUCAGAGGACCGUUCUUCUAUCAGCACCGGAUGGUCAGGAGGUCACUGUCGGUGCCACAGAGCCUUCUGGAUUUCUUCAUCAGAUGGAGGCUAGACCCACGGAUGGUAUUCGCGUGGUGUCUGAAUUCCCGGAUGUCUUUCCGGAUGAUUUGCCAGGUAUGCCGCCUGAUCACGACAUUGAGUUUUCUAUUGAUCUCUUGCCUGGCACAGCUCCUAUUGCUAAGCGGCCCUAUCGUAUGGCACCCGUUGAGCAUGAGGAAGUAAAGAAGACCAUCGACGAGUUGCUAGCCAAGGGAUAUAUCCGUCGCAGUUUCUCUCCUUGGGCUUUUCCUGUCUUGCUCGUAGAGAAGAAGGAUGGUGCGAAGAGAAUGUGCGUCGAUUAUCGGGAUCUGAAUGCAGUCACCAUCAAGAACAAGCAUCCAUUGCCCUGUAUUGAGGAUCUUUUUGAUCAGCUUUAGGGUGCUUGUGUAUUCUCGAAGAUUGAUCUGCGUUCGGGUUAUCAUCAGCUGAAGAUUCAUUCUGAGGAUAUUCCGAAGACAGCAUUCACUUGCAAGUAUGGGCUAUACGAGUAUACGGUCAUGUCCUUUGGCUUGACCAAUGCUCCAGCUUUCUUCAUGCAUCUGAUGAACAAGGUUUUCAUGGAUUAUCUGGACACCUUUGUGGUGAUAUUUAUUGAUAAUAUCUUGAUAUAUUCCAAGUCAGAAGCAGAGCAUGAGAAACAUCUGAGGCUUGUGUUGCAGAGGCUCAGAGAGCACAAGCUGUAUGCCAAGCUCAACAAGUGCGAGUUCUGGAUUGACGAGGUUCCAUUCCUCGGUCAUGUUAUCUCCAAGGGAGGUAUUGCUGUGGACCCCGGAAAGGUGAAGGAUGUGCUUGACUGGGUCGUACCGCAGAUAGUGAAGGAAGUCCGCUCUUUUCUGGGCUUAGCAGGAUAUUAUCGGAAGUUCAUUGAGAAUUUCUCCAAGAUUGUGAAGCCUUUGACUUCUUUGCUGGAGAAGGGUGUGGAGUUCUCUUGGACUGAUGAGCGUCAGAAGGCCUUUGAGGAGCUGAAGAAGAGGAGGUUCACAGUGUAUUGUGAUGCUUCGAGGGAUGGUCUUGGUUGCGUCCUGAUGCAGGAAGGCAGAGUGAUAGCUUAUGCCUCGCGGCAGUUGCGCCGGCACGAGCUGAAUUAUCCCACCCAUGAUCUGGAGUUAGCCGCAGUUGUGCAUGCUCUGAAGAUAUGGAGGCAUUACUUGUUUGGGCAGAGGUGUGAUAUUUACACCGAUCACAAGAGCCUCAAGUACAUUUUCACUCAGAGUGAGCUGAAUAUGCGGCAGAGAAGAUGGCUAGAGUUGGUCAAGGAUUAUGACCUGGAGCUUCACUAUCAUCCGGGCAAGGCCAAUGUAGUAGCAGAUGCUCUGAGUAGAAAGAGCUAUGUUAACAUGGCCGUGACUUUGCAGAUGCCUCGGGAGUUAUGUGAGGAGUUUGAGCAGUUGAGUCUGGGUUUCUUGCAUCACACCUCGGGUACCUCAUUCGAGGCAGAACCCACUCUAGAGGCCGAGAUCCGACAGCAUCAGAAAGAAGAUAAGAAGCUGCAGGAGAUCCGUGAACUGCUCAAGAUUGGCAAAGCUCCUCAUUUCAGAGAGGAUGAUCAGGGUACCUUGUGGUACAAGGGUCGCAUAUGUGUGCCGGAUGUGAAUGACCUCAGGAAGCUGAUCUUGAGUGAGGCUCAUGAUACGGCAUAUUCCAUUCAUCCAGGUAGCAUGAAGAUGUAUUAUGACCUCAAGGAACGAUUCUGGUGGUAUGGUAUGAAGCGUUCCGUUGCGGAGUACGUGGCUAUCUGUAACACUUGUCAGCGUGUCAAGGCAGAGCAUCAGAGACCUGCAGGUCUAUUGCAGCCGUUAAAGAUUCCAGAGUGGAAAUGGGAGGAGAUCACUAUGGAUUUCAUCGUUGGCUUGCCUCGUACUCAGAAAGGGUACAAUUCCAUAUGGGUAGUAGUGGACCGGUUGACGAAGGUUGCUCACUUUAUUCCGGUGAACACUACUUACUCCGGUGCUAGACUCGCAGAGUUGUACAUCUCCAGGAUUGUCUGUCUGCAUGGUGUUCCAAAGAAGAUCAUAUCUGAUCGAGGAUCUCAGUUCACUUCAUGGUUCUGGGAGCAGUUGCAUGAUUCGUUGGAUACGAAGCUGCGCUUCAGUACCGCAUAUCAUCCUCAGACAGAUGGGCAGACAGAAAGAACCAACCAAGUGUUGGAGGAUAUGCUUCGAGCUUGCGCUAUUCUGUAUGGUACCAGCUGGGAUAAAUGCCUGCCUUAUGCGGAGUUUUUGUAUAACAACAGUUAUCAGGCCAGUCUGAAGAAAUCUCCUUUCGAGGCCCUGUAUGGACGGAAGUGCAGGACUCCGCUGUAUUGGGAUCAGAUUGGCGAGAGGUAGGUGUUUGGUCCGGAUAUUGUUGAAGAGGCAGAACAGCUGGUACAGCAGGUGCGAGAGAAUCUGAGGGUCGCACAGACUCGUCAGAAGAGCUAUUCGGAUGUUCGUCGUCGAGAUCUGACCUUUGCAGUGGGGGAUCAAGUGUACCUGAAGGUCUCGCCGAUGAGAGGAAUCCGCAGGUUUAAUGUGAGAGGGAAGCUAGCCCCUCGAUACAUUGGUCCGUUCAAGGUGUUGGAACGGAAAGGUGAGGUGGCAUAUCGUUUGGAGUUGCCUCUCAAUCUCUCAGGAGUGCACGAUGUGUUCCACGUGUCCCAGCUGAAGAAGUGCUUGAGGGUGCCAGAAGGGCAAGCACCGAUAGAAGGGUUGGAUGUGCAGGAAGAUCUGACCUACAUCGAGCAUCCAGUGAAGAUUCUGGAGACGUCUGAGAGAGUUACCAGAAACAAGAAGAUCAAGAUGUGUCGUGUUCAGUGGAGUCAUCAUACGGAGGAUGAGGCUACUUGGGAGCGAGAAGAUGAGUUGAGAAAGACAUAUCCCGAUCUCUUUGCUAGCUAGCCUAUCAGAAUCUCGGGACGAGAUUCUUGUAAGGUGGGUAGGUUUGUAACACCCUAAUGUAAUUUUCCCUAAUUUUAAUGAAUUUAUUUUGGCUCAAAUGAAAUUUCCAGGCUUUUCUUUAAUUUUUGUGGCAUUUAAAGCAAUUUAUAACGCAAGAAAAUAAAAUUAAUCAUAACAUCUACUCGCUUGUGCAUUCAUGCUGGAGCAUUGUUUAAUUUGUGUUGAGUGUAUAGGGUUUGAAUUCAAAUUUGUUUGAAUUCAAAUAAUUGUGUUUGAAUGUUUGAGUAUAGAAAAGAAAGAAAAAGAAGAAGGAGAGAAAACAACCCAAACCCUUGGCCCAGCCCAGCUCUCUUUUCCCCCUCUUUCUCCCGCAUGGGCCACGGCGGCCCAGCUCCCCCUCCUCCCCCUCGGGCCUCUCUCUCCUCUCCUCCUUUCCCCGCAUGGGCCACGCAGGCCCAUUUCCCUCCCCCACGCCCGAACUCUCCACGCCGGCCCAGUCUCCCCCUGCUCCUCAGCCCGAGCGCCCCCUCCCUCUCCCUUUUCUCUCUGGCAGCUGGGGCCCGCGUGUCAGCGCCUUCUCUCCCCCCCUCCUUCUUCCUCCCCAGCGCGCAACGGCUCCGACAUCGCCGGUGACCUCCUCUCCCCGGGCCCGCACGCCAGUGUGGCUCCGCCGCCCUACAAAGAGCAGCCCCAACCAUCUGAACCCUAACCCUAACCCCGCAGCCACCACCGGCGCCACAGCACUGCAGCUGCUUGGCCGCCGCACCACCUCCUCUGCGCCACCGUGGGCACGCCAUUCCACCGUGCCACGGCCCGCGAGAGCUUGCGCAUCAGCACCGCCUCACCACCCAGGAGCUCCAGCGCCCUUCACCCGCGACCUCGGCCCGUUCCUCGGUCUGAAUUUCUCCCGGAACACCACCGCGGGUAAGUCCACCACCGCCGAAAUUGCUCACCGCCGGUGAGCCCCACACCUCCCUGACCCCUCUGCCAGCUUCACAGGUCAACCCCAAGCCCGACCGUGGGAUCCAGAUGCCUAGGGUACCCCGGCAUCACCUUCCUCCGCGAGAGCCGAACCCUUCCGCCACCGGUCGUCGUCGUUCUCUUCCAUCCGCCGCAGCUCCGGCCUCCGCAACCCCUAGGUGAGCACCACGCUUCCCCCCUGGUCACGAUGCGCCAGAUGUCGUGGAUCAUAGGCACCACCCGAGGCCGGAACGCGCGCACGCCGGCGAUGUCCGUUGCCCGAGCCGCCUCUCCCCGCGAGCCUUUCCCUCCGGCCGAUGUCGCCCCUUCCUGAGCCCAUCAGUGGAUUACCCAUUCCGCGCUCGUGCUCUACGGCCAAACCGCAGGCCAAAAGACCCACUGAUGGCCCAGACCGCUUGCUCCGAUGAAGCGCCGGCGAGGCACCGCCGCGGGAGCUGAGCUCCGGCGAGGAAUCGCCGCCAGCCCGCGCCUCUUUUGUUCCUGGCCGCCCGAUCCGUGAUGGACACGCCUGAUUAGAAGCCGCGUACCCCUUUGCUCCGCACCGCUGGAUCCAGAUCCAACGACUCCAAACAGAGCGUACCGGUUCGGCAUGGUGAUCUUUCUAAAGAGUCCCUGCGCUUUUCAAGAAUCAACCCGCACUCCUGUGUAGUUCAAAAGAAAUUGCUGUGAGGUCCUGUUUUACUCGUUUAGACCCCUGAGCUUUCCGGUUUUUGAACCCGCCGUCCAUGCCAUGAGUUUUAGCGGGUUAGACCCCGAGUCUAUGCUUUAAUUACGUUUAGGUCCCCAGUUUUCGCAUAGAACCCCUGGAAGUUCUAUUUUUCUCACAAAUAGGUCCCUGGCUCUUGUUUUAAGCGUAGUUUUCGCGUUUUAGCUCCGUUUUAGGUGUUCUUUAUAUCCACGCGAUCGUUGCAACGCGUAGAAUAGCUUUAGAAUAGUUUUGUGUGCUGUUUCCAUGUAAUGUUGUACUGUUUCUUAUAGUUUGCUAUUAUUUGUGCAUGUGUGUAUGUUUGGACCAUGCUUGAUGAUCGUGAGUAGAUGCGGAGCCUUUGGACCAGUACCAGGAGCCACCAUCUUCUGAAGCUUUUGAGCAGCAGCAGGAGAACUUUGAGGAAGGCAAGUAUAACAUGAACAUCCUACCACUUUUAAAUACAGAUUUCAUACUGCAUCUUAAUACUGUAUGCCUAUAAGGACUUUCCUAGCCACUUUAUAUCCUAUAUAUAUAUAUCCUUGGGUUGCAUUUUGGUUAGUUGUGCUAGAUUGCUGCACUAUAACAAACUUGGUCCUUUUUAAUUAAAUUUGAUUAAUGGUCUUAUGCAACUUAAUCCUGAGCGUGGCCCUCUGUGCUGUGUGCUUGAGUGGCUCACGUCUCCGUAAAAGAUGUUUUGUUAGGAACUUGGUUUAGGGGGCCAGCACGGUGCUUAGUGCUUGGUUGGCUACUCUCCAUAAGGACCGGUUCAUAGAGCGACAACCUGGGACAACCGCGCAACCACAAGACUGUAAUGGGAUGGUCUUGACUUACUAAUUAGGUCGUGUUGGUUCGGGAGUAACUUACCUGCGUGGGCAAGAGGGGUGGUAAGCUUCAAUGGUCCCUGCUCCUCCGGCUUGGUCUGUGCUGUGUGUCUUGUACCCCCGAAGGUGGGCCCCAUCGUUGCUGAUCCAGAAUCCUUAGCAGUUACACCUUACCAACGUGAUCCUUUGUAACGGUCUCGUAGUGUGCUUGCUAGCCAUCUCACCUAAGGAAGUGCGAUGAAAAACUAGCGUAGCUCACGACUUGUGGGUAAAGUUGUGCAACCUCUCGAGAGUGUAAAACUGAUAUAUCAGCUGUGCUCACAGUCAUGAGCGGCCCAGAUCCUCCGUCUGAUUAGUGGGGUUAUCAACCUUUGAUUAGGGAGAUUCCCCGGGUGGUUUUGGUUUGGAUGGUUCUCAGUAGCUCUUAUUAAUAUUGAUUAAUUUCUUAUGCAACUGGGUUAUGGUAAUCCAUCUACUUGUAGUAUUUAGCUUUAAUAAAAUUUGCCAAGAUUAAAAGCUAAUGCAGUUGAGUCAGCCAACCUAGAGCCUCAUAGUUUGUGUUAUACUUGUUGAGUACGAGUUUGUGUACUCACACUUGCCUCUUCCUCUCUUCUGUUCUCUUUGGGAUAUCUUCGACUGCUGCUCAGUGCCCGGCAACGUGGAGGACUACAUCAGCGGCUUCGACGACUUCUAGGCGUUUGUCUCCCAGUCGACGUCCCUGUGGCGCCCUACCUUUCAUGUACUUCAUUUUGCGCUUCCGCAACUCUUGAACCGAUUCUUGAUUCGGUUGUAAUAAAAUAAUUCAUUUAUGAUUUACUUACGAUUCAUAUUAAUGUAUUCGUGAUAUGUGUUGUGAUAUCUUGAUGAUUUUGUUGUGUAUAUGCGUGACUUGAUCCUGGCGCAUAUAUGAUUGCUCGAUUUAUGUUCUUUAUAAAUCGGGUGUGACAAUCAGCUUCCUGAGGUCAUUCACAUCCGGCACACAUAUGCGACCCUGGUACCACAAGGUACCCUCAUCCUCUCUGAAAUGAUGAGCUUUGCCAAUCUUGAGCAGUUCACGGAUCUCCUGCAGCUUCUUAUCUUCUUUCUGAUGCUGCCGGAUCUCGGCCUCUAGAGUGGGUUCUGCCUCGAAUGAGGUACCCGAGGUGUGAUGCAAGAAACCCAGACUCAACUGCUCAAACUCCUCACAUAACUCCCGGGGCAUCUGCAAAGUCACGGCCAUGUUAACAUAGCUCUUUCUACUCAGAGCAUCUGCUACUACAUUGGCCUUGCCCGGAUGAUAGUGAAUCUCCAGGUCAUAAUCCUUGACCAACUCUAGCCAUCUUCUUUGCCGCAUGUUCAGCUCAUUCUGAGUGAAAAUGUACUUGAGGCUCUUGUGAUCGGUGUAAAUGUCACACCUUUGCCCAAACAAGUAAUGCCUCCAAAUCUUCAGGGCAUGCACAACCGCGGCUAACUCCAGAUCAUGAGUAAGAACCUCUUGCUCUGGUCGGGCAGAGUAAGAACUGGCGCCGUAGUUAACCUCUUCUUCAGCUCCUCGAAGGCCAUCCGACGCUCAUCAGUCCAAGAGAAAUCCACACCCUUCUCUAGCAAGGAAGUCAAAGGCUUCGCAAUCUUGGAGAAGUUCUCAAUGAACCUCCAAUAAUAACCUGCUAAGCCCAGAAAAGAGCGGACUUCCUUCACCGUCUGUGGCACAACCCAGUCAAGUACAUCCUUCACCUUUCCGGGAUACACAGCAAUACCUCCCUCAGAGAUGACAUGACCGAGGAAUGGAACCUCGUCAAUCCAGAAUUCGCACUUGCUGAGCUUGGCAUACAGCUUGUGCUUUCUGAGUCUCUGCAACACAAGUCUCAGAUGCUUCUCAUGCUCUGCUUCGGACUUGGAAUAUAUCAGGAUAUUAUCAAUGAAUAUCACCACAAAGGUGUCCAGAUAAUCCAUGAAAACCUUGUUCAUCAGGUGCAUGAAGAAAGCCGGAGCAUUGGUCAAGCCAAAGGACAUGACCGUAUACUCGUAUAGCCCAUACUUGCAGGUGAAUGCCGUCUUCUGGAUAUCCUCGGGACGAAUCUUCAACUGGUGAUAACCCGAACGCAGAUCAAUCUUCGAGAAUACACAAGCACCCUAAAGCUGAUCAAAAAGAUCCUCGAUGCGAGGCAAUGGAUGCUUGUUCUUGAUGGUGACUGCAUUCAGAUCCCGAUAAUCGACGCACAUUCUCUUUGCUCCAUCCUUCUUCUCUACAAGCAAUACAGGAAAAGCCCAAGGAGAGAAACUACGAUGGAUAUAGCCCUUGGCUAGCAACUCGUCGACAGUCUUCUUAACUUCCUCAUGCUCAACGGGUGCCAUACGGUAGGGCCGCUUAGCAAUCGGAGCUGUGCCAGGCAAGAGAUCAAUAGAAAACUCAAUGUUGCGAUCAGGCGGCAUACCUGGAAAAUCAUCCGGAAAGACAUCCGGGAAUUCAGACACCACGCGAAUACCAUCCGUGGGUCUAGCCUCCAUCUGACAAAGAAUUCCAAAAGGCUCCGAAGCACUGACUGUGACCUCCUGUCCAUCCGAUGCUGACAAGUGGACAGUCCUCUGAGCACAAUCAAUCUUGACACCCCAUCUAACAAGGGUUUCCAUUCCCAAGAUCACAUCGAUACCCUUGGUGUCUAGCACCAUCAGAUUAGCACUGAACUCUACCCCCCUUAUGACAACACUGACUCUAGGACAGAAGAUAUGAGACCUCAACUGCCCUCCCGGUGAAGAUACUAGCAUGCCCCUCUUUAACGUGCUAGUAUGAAUGCCAUGAUGCUCAACAAAAGACCAAGUAAUGAAAGAAUGCGUAGCACCAGUAUCAAAAAGCACUGUAGCAGGGUGGGCAUUGACCAUGAACGUUCCAAUAACCACGUUGGGAGCAUCGGCCGCUGACUCGGCUGUCACGUGGUUCACCCUGCCCUGGGAUGGCACCUUGGGCUGAGCUGGGCGCCCCUGCUGUCCCGACUACACCUUCCGAGGACAGACGUUGGCGUAGUGUCCCGGCUCGCCGCAGUGGAAGCACACUCAUGGAAGUGCUGGAGCCUGCUGUCCGGCAGGAGGAGUAGGCACUCCCUGCCGCGGAGCUGGUGGAGCCGGUGGAGCAGAGCGUGCCGCAGGCGCUGGAAGCCUCUGGCCCUGUCCCGCCUGCUGCUGCUGCUGAGGACGAGGCGGGUACUGCUGCUGUCGCUGCUGGUACUGCUGGAUCUGCCUCUGGUGCUACUGCUGCUGCUGCGGGUACUGGUACCGAGGCCGGGUGUUGCUACCAGACGCAGCAGGAGCCAUCUUCCUCUUCUUGUCCUCAAUCUCCCGGCGCUUGCGCUCGGUGUUGAGGGCAGCAUCAACCAGCUGGUUGAAGUUGUCGAAGCGGUGGUUCAUGAGCGCGUACUCUAGGUGAUCAUCCAGUCCCUCCCUGAAGUGCUCCUGCUUAUCGCCAUCAUGGGCGACCUCAGCGGGGGCAUAGCGAGCGAGCUGGAGGAAGCGAUCACGGUACUCGGUCACCGUCAUAGAUCCCUGCUUAAGCGCAAGGAACUCCUUGUGCUUCAUCUUCAUCACUCCAGCAGGGAUAUGGUGGUUCCUGAAACGCUCCCGGAACUGGACCCAGGUGAAAGCGUCAUGGUCCCGAGCUGGAUAGGACUCCCACCAGUCAUGAGCCGAGCCUCGCAGCUGCCCUGCCGCGAAUAUGACUCGCUCCCUGUCGUCGCACUGAGCGACAUCCAACUGACGCUCCACUGAACGAAGCUAGUCGUCAGCCUGGAGUGGAUCAGCUGCAUGAGAGAACGUCGGCGGGUGUCCUCUUAGAAAAUCUGCACGCCUGUCGCGAGGCUGCUGCGAUGGAGGAGGUGGUGACUGAGCGUGAAUCUGCUGCAGAGCCUGAAUAGUGUUGUUCAGAGUGGCCAUCAUCUGCAUCUGGAGCUGGAAGAACUGCUCCGGAGUCAGAGGUGGAGGCAUCGGCAACGGCGUCUGCUGGCCGGUACUCUGGUUGUUCUGUCCCUGUGUCACACCCGAUUUAUAAAGAACAUAAAUUGAGUAAUCAUAUAUGCGCCAGGAUCAAGUCACGCAUAUACACAACAGAAUCAUCAAGAUAUCACAACACAUAUCACGAAUACAUUAAUAUGAAUCGUAAGUAAAUCGUAAAUAAAUUAUUUUAUUACAACCGAAUCAAGAAUCGGUUCAAGAGUUGCGGAAGCGCAAAAUGAAGUACAUGAAAGGUAGGGCGCCACAGGGACGUCGACUGGGAGACAAACGCCUAGAAGUCAUCGAAGCCGCUGACGUAGUCCUCCACGUUGCCGGGCACUGAGCAGCAGUCGAAGAUAUCCCAAAGAGAACAGAAGAGAGGAAGAGGCAAGUGUGAGUGCACAAACUCGUACUCAACAAGUAUAACACAAACUAUGAGGCUCUAGGUUGGCUGACUCAACUGCAUUAGCUUUUAAUCUUGGCAAAUUUUAUUAAAGCUAAAUACUACAAGUAGAUGGAUUACCAUAACCUAGUUGCAUAAGAAAUUAAUCAAUAUUAAUAAGAGCUACUGAGAACCAUCCAAACCAAAACCACCCGGGGAAUCUCCCUAAUCAAAGGUUGAUAACCCCACUAAUCAGACGAAGGAUCUGGGCCGCUCAUGACUGUGAGCACAGCUGAUAUAUCAGUUUUACACUCUCGAGAGGUUGCACAACUUUACCCACAAGUCGUGAGCUACGCUAGUUGUUCAUCGCACUUCCUUAGGUGAGAUGGCUAGCAAGCACACUACGAGACCGUUACAAAGGAUCACGUUGGUAAGGUGUAACCGCUAAGGAUUCUGGAUCAGCAACGAUGGGGCCCACCUCCGGGGGUACAAGACACACAGCACAGACCAAGCCGGAGGAGCAGGGACCAUUGAAGCUUACCACCCCUCUUGCCCACGCAGGUAAGUUACUCCCGAACCAACACAACCUAAUUAGUAAGUCAAGACCGUCCCAUUCCAGUCUUGUGGUUGCGCGGUUGUCCCAGGUUGUCGCUCUAUGAACCGGUCCUUAUGGAGAGUAGCCAACCAAGCACUAAGCACCGUGCUGGCCCCCUAAACCAAGUUCCUAACAAAACAUCUUUUACGGAGACGUGAGCCACUCAAGCACACAGCACAGAGGGCCACGCUCAGGAUUAAGUUGCAUAAGACCAUUAAUCAAAUUUAAUUAAAAAGGACCAAGUUUGUUAUAGCGCAGCAACCUAGCACAACUAACCAAAAUGCAACCCAAGGAUAUAUAUAUAGGAUAUAAAGUGGCUAGGAAAGUCCUUAUAGGCAUACAGUAUUAAGAUGCAGUAUGAAAUCUGUAUUUAAAAGUGGUAGGAUGUUCAUGUUAUACUUGCCUUCCUCAAAGUUCUCCUGCUGCUGCUCAAAAGCUUCAGAAGAUGGUGGCUCCUGGUACUGGUCCAAAGGCUCCGCGUCUACUCACGAUCAUCAAGCAUGGUCCAAACAUACACACAUGCACAAACAAUAGCAAACUAUAAGAAACAGUACAACAUUACAUGGAAACAGCACACAAAACUAUUCUAAAGCUAUUCUACACAUUGCAACGAUCGCGUGGAUAUAAAGAACACCUAAAACGGAGCUAAAACGCGAAAACUACGCAUAAAACAAGAGCCAGGGACCUAUUUGUGAGAAAAAUAGAACUUCCAGGGGUUCUGUGCGAAAACUGGGGACCUAAACGUAAUUAAAGCAUAGACUCGGGGUCUAACGUGCUAAAACUCACGGCAUGGACGGCGGGUUCAAAAACCGGAAAGCUCAGGGGUCUAAACGAGUAAAACAGGACCUCACAGCAAUUUCUUUUGAACUACACAGGAGUGCGGGUUGAUUCUUUAAAAGCGCAGGGACUCUUUAGAAAGAUCACCAUGCCGAACCGGUACGCUCUGUUUGGAGUCGUUGGAUCUGGAUCCAGCGGUGUGGAGCAAAGGGGUACGCGGCUUCUAAUCAGGCGCGUCCAUCACGGAUCGGGCGGCCAGGAACAAAAGAGGCACGGGCUGGCAGCGAUUCCUCGCCGGAGCUCAGCUCCCGCAGCGGUGCCUCGCCGGCGCUUCGUCGGAGCAAGUGAUCUGGGCCGUCAGUGGGUCUUUUGGCCUGCGGUUUGGCCGUAGAGCACGAGCGCGGAAUGGGUAAUCCACUGGUGGGCUCAGGAAGGGGCGACAUCGGCCGGAGGGAAAGGCUCGCGGGGAGAGGCGGCUUGGGCAACGGACAUCGCCGGCGUGCACGCGUUCCGGCCUCGGGUGGUGCCUAUGAUCCACGACAUCUAGCGCAUCGUGACCAGAGGGGACGCGUGGUGCUCACCUAGGGGUUGUGGAGGCCGGAGCUGCGGCGGAUGGAGGAGAACGACGACGACCGGCGGCGGAAGGGCUCGGCUCUCGCGGAGGAAGGUGAUGCCGGGGUACCCCAGGCGUCUGGAUCCCGCGGUCGGGCUCGGGGUUGACCUGUGAAGCUGGCAGAGGGGUCAGGGAGGCGUGGGGCUCACCGGCGGCGAGCAAUUUCGGCGGCGGUGGACUUACCCGCGGCGGUGUUCCGGGAGAAAUUCAGACCGAGAAACGGGCCGAGGUCGUGGGUGAAGGGCGCUGGAGCUCCUGGGUGGUGAGGCGGUGCUGAUGCGCAAGCUCUCGCGGGCCGUGGCGUGGUGGAAUGGCGUGCCCACGGUGGCGCAGAGGAGGUGGUGCGGCGGCCAAGCAGCUGCGGUGCUGUGGCGCCGGUGGUGGCUGCGGGGUUAGGGUUAGGGUUCAGAUGGUUGGUGCUGCUCUUUUUAGGGCGGCGGAGCCACACUGGCGUGCGGGCCCGGGGAGAGGAGGUCGCCGGCGAUCUCAGAGCCGUUGCGCGCUGGGGAGGAAGAAGGAGGGGGGGAGAGAAGGCGCUGACACGUGGGCCCCAGCUGCCAGAGAGAAAAGGGAGAGGGAGGGGGCGCUCGGGCUGAGGAGCAGGGGGAGACUGGGCCGGCGUGGAGAGUUCGGGCGUGGGGGAGGGAAAUGGGCCGGCGUGGCCCAUGCGGGGAAAGGAGGAGAGGAGAGAGAGGCCGGAGGGGGAGGAGGGGGAGCUGGGCCGCCGUGGCCCAUGCGGGAGAAAGAGAGGGAAAAGAGAGCUGGGCUGGGCCAACGGUUUGGGUUGUUUUCUCUCCUUCUUUUCCUUUUCUUUUCUAUACUCAAACAUUCAAACACAAUUAUUUGAAUUCAAACAAAUUUGAAUUCAAACCCUAUACACUCAACACAAAUUAAAUAAUGCUCCAGCAUGAAUGCACAAGCGAGUUGAUGUUAUGAUUAAUUUUAUUUUCUUGCGUUAUAAAUUGCUUUAAAUGCCACAAAAAUUAAAGAAAAGCCUGGAAAUUUCAUUUGAGCCAAAAUAAAUUCAUUAAAAUUAGGUAAAAUUACAUUAGGGUGUUACACCCUGCUGGCCCGAACCGGUGCCGGUGCUCCUGGUGUUCACCAUCUGUUUGCAGCAGAACGAAAUUUAUAAGAGAUAGAUAUUGUACGAUUCCGGAAAGAAACUCCGACAGGAUAAAGUAGAGAGUAAAGAGUGUACGGUUUUACCCCCAUCAUCUAUCUUCAUUUUAUUACUAAAUUAAAGUUUGCGGUAAAAUCAAUUUUCAUGAAUAAGUUUACUUCUUAAACUAUGCAAUCAACCAAAGAGCCAAAACAAACAUGUUGCACAAUUACAAACAUUCAAUAUUCACAUCUUAGCCGAGUUUAUCACACUACUCGACUAACACCCUCGUUCUAGCGUACUUUCAUCGGAAUAGCCUAAACUUAUGGGGUAAAACGAAUUCAGGCCAACGUCUACGGAAUAUAUCCGACUAAUCCUUGGAAAAUGCAGAGAAGGUUAGCAAAGUGAGGGUUAGAGCUCAAGGAAUAGAAGCAGAAAUGAAGGUUUGGGUUUUGCGGAAGCCAGGCAAGCGGAAGGAAAUCCCUAAACUCGACCUUUUCUAUCUAGGCUUCGUCCUACAGUCGACAUGGCUCUGAUACCAAUCCUGUCACACCCGAUUUAUAAGAACAUAAAUCGAGCAAUCAUAUAUGCGCCAGGAUCAAGUCACGCAUAUAUACAACAGAAUCAUCAAGAUAUCACAACACGUAUCUCGAAAUAAAAACGUAUAAAUUAUAAAUGAAUAUCUUUAUUACAACUGAAUCAAGAAUCAGUUCAAGGAAUGCGGAAGCAUAAACUAAAUACAUGAAGAACAGGGCGCCACAGGGACGUCGGCUGGGAGACAACGCCUAGAAAUCGUCGAGUUCGCUGAUGUAGUUCUCCACGUCGCCGGGUACUGAGCAGCAGUCGAAGAUAUCCCAAAGGGAACAGAAGAGUAGAGAAGGCAAGUGUGAGUACACAACUUGUACUCAACAAGUAUAACACGAAUUAUGAGGCUCUAGGGUUAGCUGACUCAACUGCAUUAGCUUUUAAUCUUGGCAAAUUUUAUUAAAGCUAAUUACUACAAGUGAAUGAAUUACCAUAAACCCGAAUUGCAUAAGAAAUUAAUCAAUAUUAAUUAAGAACUACUGAGAACCAUCCAAACCACCAAGAUAACCCCACUAAUCAGACGGAGGAUCUGGGCCGCUCAUGACUGUGAGCACAGCUGAUAUAUCAGUUUUACACUCUCGGAGAGGUUGCACAACUUUACCCACAAGUCGUGAGCUACGCUAGUUGUUCAUCACACUUCCUUAGGUGAGAUGACUAGCAAGUGCACUACGAGACCGUUACAAAGGAUCACGUUAGUAAGGUGUAACCGCUAAGGUUUCUGGAUCAGCGACGAUGGGGCCCACCUCCAGGGGUACAAGACACACAGCAUAGACCAAGCCGGAGGAGCAGGGACCAUUGAUGCUUACCACCCCUCUUGCCCCGCAGGUAAGUUACUCCCAAACCAAAAUGACCUAAUUAGUAAGUCAAGACCGUCCUAUUCCAGUCUUGUGGUUGCGCGGUUGUCCCAGGUUGUCGCUCUAUGAACCGGUCCUUAGGGAGAGUGGCAAACCAAGCACUAAGCACUGUGCUGGCCCCCUAACCAUGUUCUAACAAAAACAUAUUUUAUAGAGACGUGAGCCGCUCAAGCACACAGCACAGAGGGCCACUCUCAGAAUUAAGUUGCAUAUAACCAUUAAUCAAUUUAAUUAAAAAGGACCUAGGUGUGUGAGAGCGCAGCACCUAGCACAACUAACCAAAAUGCAACCCAAAGAUAUAUAUAAAAGGAUAAAGGUGGCUAGGAAAUCCUUAUAGGCAUACAGAAUUAAAAUGCAAUAUGAAAUUGUAUUUAAAAAUGAUAGGAUAUUCAUGUUAUACUUGCCUUCCUCGUACUCUCCCGGCUGCUGCUCGAACUGCUCGGAAGAUGGCUGCUCCUGGUACUGCUCCGAAGGCUCGACGUCUACUCGCGUUCAUCAAGCAUGGUCCACACAUACACACAUGCACAACAAUAGCAAACUAUAAGAAAACUGUACACCAAUACAGUAGAACAACACACAAAACUAGCCUAGAACUGUUCUACGCAUUACAACGAUCGCGUGAGCGCAAGAAUCACCUAAAACAGAGCUAAGACGCGAAUUCUAGGGCUAAAACAAGGUCCAGGGGCCUUUCUGUAAGAAAACAGGAAAACCAGGGUUUCUGCACAAAAACCAGGGGCCUAAAUGUAAUUAAAGGUUAGAUUUGAGGUCUAACCCAUGAAAACACAGGGCUUGGACAGCGGGCACUAAAACCAGAAAACUCAGGGGCCUAAAAGAAUAAAACCGGACCUCUCUGCGAAUAGUUUUGAACUAAUGGUGUACUGCGGGUUGAUUCUCGGCAGGCCGAACCGGUACGCGCUGUUCUGGACCACUGGAUCUAAUCUCUACGGCCCAGAAUCCACGCAGGCGCCAGCGGCGGCGGGACUCACCGGAGACUAAGCUCCGCGGCGGCGCGCGGCUCGGCUCGCCGGAGCUCGGCGUUCCCGCCGCUCCGGUGGGCCAUUCUUCACGACUCCAGGCUGGAAGGCAUCACCACGGCCUGGGAAACACAUCUAGGGGAAACAGAAGUGGCCAAAACUACUCUAGCGACGAUACGACGGUGAGGGGCGGCUCGGGGGCGGCGGACUCGCCGGCGAGCGGUGUUCCAGGCGCUACGGGCAGCCUUCUACCACGACAUCUGGCGCAACAGGACCAGGGAAAGGAGGAGGGGCUCACCAAGGGGUUGUGGAGGCCGGAGCUGCGACGGGCGGUGGAAGUCGACGACGACCGGCGGCGGAUAAGAUCGGGUGCUCGCGGUCCGACGACUACAGGCAGACUCCGGGGCUCUGAUCACCCUGGGUCGCCUCGGGAAGCUCCUGCGCAGGUGACCAAGGGGUUAAGAGGGCCCGGGAAGCAACGACGGUGAUGAAUUGAGGCGGCGGAGCAGAACACCGGCGGUGGCGGCGUGGCUCGAUUCCGGUGAUGCCGGGGUCUAGAGCUCCAAUGCACGGCUCAGGAGGCUUCUAGGGGGCGAGGCGGAGCUCUAGCAGGGGCUGUGGUGGCCCUGGGCGCGGCGGAGCGGCCUGACCACGGUGAGGCCGAGGUGACCGGAGCGGAGGAAGAAAGGGGCGGCGGUGCUGGAGGUCUUCGGGCGACGCAGGGCUAGGGUUAGGGUCCUGGGGCUCCGGAGUCUCCUUUUGUAGGGCGGCGGGCUACCUUGGCGUGCAGGCCCGUGAGAGAGUAGAUCGCCGGGGAUCUCGGGACCGGUUGAAGCUCGGGGAGGAAGAAUAGGAAAGGGGGGAGGAAGGUGCUGACGCGUGGGGCCGCUGAGUCAGAGAGAGAAAGGAGGGAGAGUGCGGCGCUCAGGCGGGGGCUGGGCUGACUGCUGGCCGAGCCGGCCCACGCGGGAAAGGAGAGAAAGGGGAGAGCAGGGCCGCGUGGAGAGGAGAGGGGAGGGAAAAGAGGGCCGGGCUGAGAGGAGUUUUGGGCUGCCCUUUCCCUUUUCUUUCCUUUUCUUCUUUCCUUUUUCUUUCCUACACUCAAACUAUUCAAACAAUUCUAUUUGAAUUCAAAUAAUUUUGAAUUCAAACCCUAUAAACUCAACACAAGGAAAACAAUGCUCCAGCAUGAAUGCACAAACAAGUUGAUCCUAUAAUAAAUUUUAUUUUCCUGCGUUAUAAAAUUACUUUAAAUGCAAGCUAAAUUAGGGAAAACCUUGGAAAUUUUAUUUGAGCCAAAAUAAAUUCAUUAAAAUUAGGGAAAAUUACAUUUGGGUGUUACACAAACAAACAAUACAAUAAAUAAGAAACAGUACACCAAGCAAUAUAAAUAGAGCAAAAUAACAUUAUAAAGCUACUGUAUAUGUCGAAGGGUCGCGUGAGCGCAAGAAUCGAUGAAAACGGAGUUAAAACGGAGAAGUUAUGGCUAAAACAUGAUUCUCGGGGUUUGUUUGUAGAAGAUUUGAAACUAGAAGGGCUCUGAACAAAGAAACUGAGGGCUAAAACAUAAUUAAACUUUAGAUCUAGGGUUUAGAUUGCAAAAUAGAAGGGCUAAGGAUGGCGGGUUCUAUUUUUGGAAAAGAUAGGGGCCUAAACAAAAAAAGGAUCUAUUCGCGAAUACUUUUGAACUGCCGUGGACUGCGAGAUGAUUUCUAUGAAACUCAGGGGCUAAAGUGCAAAACUGCAUCAGGUUGACCAGUAUCUGGCUUCUUGACUCAGGUUAGAUCUAAUCUAACCCAUUGGAUUGGGAUCUAACGGCCGGGAGCGGCUGACGGUGCAGGGCGGAAGCGCUGCGCGCCGGCGGCGAGGGGAAGCAGCGGCGGCUUGCCGGAAUAACGCGUGAACGCGUUUUCGGGCACGGCUUAGGUUCGGGUUUGGCCUGGGAGCUAGAGAGCGAGGCGAGGAGUGCAUCUAGGGGCUCAGGAAGAGGCGACGGUGGCUGGAGACGGCGGCCGGCGGCGAGACGCGGCUCAGGACGACAGCGAGCGAUUGACGCGCACGGGAAGGCGGGGAAACAGGGGAUAACUGGCCGGUGACAAUCCUUACCCCACGGCAGAGCUUCUGUGGCAGCUUGCGGAGACAGAGAAGAGGCAGAGCGGUGGAACGGCGAGCGGUGGAAGAGCUCAGGCGGCUUACGAUUUUUGGGCGAAGACGGCGACUGUGGCUUGGGGAAGACCUAGAGGACGAGGGCAGGCGGCUUUAUAGGGUGGCCGAGGCACCUAGGUGUGUGGGCCUGAGACGCCGCGCGGGCGGGCCGUCGCCGGACCGCGGCCGGACUCGGGCUCGAGUCCGAGCCAGGCGCGGGGAAAGGGAAGGUCCCGGCAGACGGGACCCACUUGCCAGCGAGAGGGGGAGGGAACGGAGAGAGAGGCGCGGCCGGUUUGGGCUGGGGAGGGAAACUCGGCCGCGCGGAGGAAGAAAAGGAAAGAAGCCAGCGGGCUGGGCCAUGUGGGGAGAGAGAGAGAGAAGAAGAGGCCGGGCCAACUGGGCUGUGCGGGAGGAGAGGAAAAAGGCCGGCUUGGGCUGGGCCGCAAGGAAGAAAAGAGAGAGGGAAAAAGAAAAGAGAGUGGGCCGGGCCCAAUUAGGAAAAGAGAGAGAAAAAGAAUUGCAUUCAAAUGCAUUUGAAUUUGAAUUUGAAAUUUAAAUUCAAAUGGAGGACAAACAAUAAUACAGUGCAGUGGGGCAUGAAAUGCACAAAAACCUAUAUUUCCUUAUAUUUCUUUUUAUAGUUAAGUAAAUUACUAUUAAUUCAUGGAAAAUGCUCUAAAAUCAAAAUGAUGGAAUAAAAACCUUAUGGACCCUAAAAGAAUUCUAGCAAAAUUUAUUUAGGUUGCUAAUUUGAAAAUUUGGGUGUUACAGUCCGUCGACCUUAUGAUUCCAACAUAAGUGAAAUAAGCAAUUCAUAUAUCUCGCGAGUGACAGGAAAUCACUCGACUUUUACCGGAGUCCUAUAAGCAUGGCAAUCUAGGGACCAACGCAGGCUGGUGUUCAUAUCAUAGGUACUAGGAUCAUGCAACUAGAGUUUCAAUCAACUCUACAAACUUAAUGCACAUACCAAAUAUAAAUAAAAGUUGCAUAAGUUUUCCUAGGAUAAGGGAUGGGACAUGGCCCACGCCCUACAUCUGUUGUAACUUGUCACACCCGGUUUUAAGGACAAAACCGAAUGCAUAACUAUACAUAUGCUAGGAUCAAGUUCCAUAUAUAUAGUGACUUCAUCAGUGAAUAAUCAGCAAUAGUAUCACGAAAAGAGAAUUAUAAGACUAUAAAGAUUAUCAGAGUUAUACAGCUUAUCCUGAAAAUGAAGACUCCAAACAUCAUAGGCAAUCGACCGGGGUUUGCGUAGGCCUAGAACUCAGCAUCAUCUUCAAAAGACUUCACAUCACUUUCUCCUCUGAGCAGCAAUUAUAACAAGCUUGAGUACACUUAUGGUUGGUACUCAGCAAGUGUUGGAAAUUAUAUAACAUGAAGGCCAAAAGCAAGAAAAGGCUGACUAGCUUACUACAAUAAGAAAUUUUAGUUGGUCAAAUUUUAUUAGCACCUGAUUACUAAGGUAUAAGUUCAUACCAAAACCCACAUUAAAAGAAACAGAAGAGAUAUAGCAGAAUCAUAACGAUAACCAUAAACAUGGUCGAUGAUUUAAUUUAUCUUCAAGGUCAAUUAUCAUGUGAGGGACCAAGCCGCUCUUAACCGUGAGUACGGCUGAUAUAUCAGUUUUCACUCUGUAGAGGUUGUACACUUUACCCACAAUUCAUAUCUCCCAAUUUGCUCGAGGUAGCUAGCCUCUUAAACACUUCCGAGGUGAGUGGCAAGGGAUUCACUACGAGCCCUUUACAAAGAUUCCCUAACUUAUGACAAUCCGAGGUUUCAGAUAGCAGUGGUCAUAACCCUCCCUAAUAAGAAAGACGCCUUAACCAGGAUCAUAUCUAAACCUCAAGAGGACCGGGCUAUACCCCAUCAACGCACUCCCCUCUUGCCCUUUCGGUAAGAUCAUCACAAGCUAGAGUUUCUAAUUAAUUAGCCAAGACUGGAGCCAUAUAGUAUUGUGGUUGCACUAUUUUCCUGAGUGGUUCUCCAUGUUUCGAUUAAAACAUAUGAUCUUGUUAUUAACAACACAAAGAGCAUGAACUUGGAUAAAACAGGUGUAACAUCAGGUUAUAUAUUAUUCCCAAACCGGAACCAGUUAUAGCAACUAAGCAAUAGCUACCAAACAUAAAUGUAAAACCUAGGUAGACAAGGAAUGACCAGAAAGAUUAGGCAUAUCCUUAAUUAGGAUCCCUCAAAAUUAGGACACAUGCAUGCAUAUAGAAAAAAGUUAUAUUUAUUGUGAUUAUUAAGAAUGAUUAAGGAAACACUUGCCUUUCUUUUAGAGAAUAGCUGCUCAGAGUCUUCAGCUCUUGUUCUUGGAACUCUUAAUCUUCAAUGCUCUUGGACUACACUCCUUCUAACGUCAAACAAGCAUCGGACCGAAGCACAACAGUAACAAACAAACAAAAACAACUAAGAACAGGUACACCAAACAAAAGGAAAUCUUAAGAAAACAUACUAAAGGAGAGAGCUCGUUGCUACGGUCACGAGAAAUAGCUAUCGGAAAAUUUAUGUUAUCAAAGAGACAAAAGAACUAUAAGCUUAAUUUAUUUUAAUUUAGAAAACUAAUGUAAAAGAUAUUCAAAAGAGAAUAUCCCUAAUUAUAAUUAACUGAUAUUAUAUUUGCAUUUAUAAAGACAAGGUACAACUUAAUCAAAUUUUAUAUAUAAUUGUCUAUGUAUAAAUUAUCCUAAGUAAAGAAUUAAUUAGAAAAGAAACCGGUGAGAGCAUCUAAACGUCGAACUUUAUGGUUUGUGUUGAACUAAACAAAUUAAACUACAAACACAUUUAAAUUGAUAUUAAUCAAGUUAACAUUAAUAAUGGAAAUCAGAGUAUAGAUCUAAUUGGAUUUUAAUUGGAAAAACUAGAUGACAGGAUAUUAAUCAAACUAAAUUGAUAUUUAAUUAUAAAAGUAGGAACUAUGGUACAACAAGACUAUUUAACUAAGCUUACGCUAAAAGAAAGCUAACGCAAAAAGAACCGAUCAAAACGGAUCUAAAACAAGGAAACUACUCAUGAAACAAGAUUUCAGGGACCUAGUCACGAUUAACUAUAGAUUUCAAGGGCUAGCAGGGAAGAUCUGCAAGACACAGUAAACUGUGCUUGCAAAUUAGGGAAAAGUUUAGGGUUAGAUCUGAAAAAGACCAUGGGUGGGGCUGUGUUGAAAAGAUGCAAUAGAUCUAGGGGGUUUUCUGCGAAGUUUGCAAGACACAAGAAAGAAUAGGAAAAUUACAGCUUUCCUGAGGGGCUAAAUUGCAAAAAGCUUUGCAGCACAUCUAUUGAUGAGGAUAUUGCCACCAACGAUACAUCCACAUCUACACCAGUAUCUACUUCGACAACACCUCUUGGUCCUAUUACUCACGCUCGUGCUCGUCGGCUUACCCAUCAAGUAAGUUCACUCUUAAGCUCAGGUUCAUCAUAUUUAGACAAUGGAGAUACGUGCACUCUUGUUUUACUCACGAACAAUGGAUUGGAUCAAAAGGGAAGAGGCAUCACGCAGGCUGCAUUCGGACUGCAGGACAGAGACGACUUAUAACGGCUGCCACAACUUCAUCCGGACUUCGUUUUGGUCGUUCAAGUACUUCCUGGAAAGCUUAUCAAAUCUACUUUCCAACGGAUCUGGAAUCGCCUCCAUAUUUGUUCAGAGACAACUGCAAUCCUCAAUUUACUAGAGUCCUUUUCAGCUACGGUGCUGCGUCACCCUAUUUUGGCCCAACGGGCCGUGUAUCAAGUUGAGUUCAAUUCGGACGCGUCCUAGGGUUGGAACAUGACCCCAGCACCCUUGUGGUCAUUCUCCCACUUCUUUAUAACCUUUAGCCGCUGCCAAGAACACCCGGGUUUUGUUAGAUGCAAGUUUAGCUUUUGCUACUUCCUUGUAGGCGCGCAUGUUGAUCCAACCGCCCGUCUACUUGUUUCCGGAACCCACCGUAUUUGAGAUUCAGUUUGAGACCUUCAAUUACAUCUCACAAUUUCAAUACUUGUUCUACUUGUUCUUGCAAGUUCUUCAAUUGCUUGAAGGACGAGUGCCCUAGUGGCCGGGUGUCGCGCUCCACAAGAUCGCGAUGACCGUAGGAGGUGGUGCAUUGGUUGCUAAGGCGCAGCAUCCUUGGAAGGCUGUACUCGGGCCGUGAACGUCGUCUCCUCCAUCAAUUGAGUUAUCCCACGCCUCUCAUCAAAAGAUCAGGAACAAACCUUAGCGGGUUCUAUUGUCGGUCGAAACCCACCGGCAAGCAGCGACAGGCAACAUGAGGAGCUGGGAGGCUCUUGGAACUCCUGGUGGGCCCCGGUCCCUCGGUCAACAGCCUAGGAUCUGGCACACGACUUGGAGUCUUGAUCUACUAGGCGUGCCACCUGACCUAUACCUGAUCAGGAAGGUGUAGAUGUGAUUUCAAUUAGUCUCCUGCAUACACAAACACUUUCAAACAUUAGUCCGAGCCGUGAUCGCGUCUUCAGGUGAUCCCCGCAAUCGGCUGCAAAGAGCCGAUUACUCCCCGAUAUCAGAUUUGAUCUGUUCGUUUAAGCAUAAUACACAAAUCUGAUGAUAAUAUAAACUUGCUCUAUAAUCAACAGGCUAAUUCAAUCUACGACUAUUAAAGCUUUCACCACACGACCGGAACAUCCUACCGUAGUUAAGCCUAACAAACAUGAAAGAUAAUAGAAUAGCAACCUAAACAGAGGCCUAAAAACCAGCAGAAAGCUAAUUUCCGGAAUCAUCUCUCUUUAGAUCAAUAUAAAGUAUCAAACGUAUUGCCGGAUCAUUCAACUCGUUUGAAGAGCCUAAUCAUGCAGAUCUCAAGCCAAAUCUUUAAUGAACAAAGACUAACCAUAACAGAUUGGAUCUACUAAUCAAAAUAGAGGAAGGUGCUACCCUUACACCCGAGAUCGGGCAUGAGGACAGCUAAACGUUUACAGGUAACAAACAAUGCAUGAAUACAAUAUAAAAGCCGAUGCAUCCCUGUAAGCGCUAAGGUAAUUAGUGUUACUCACCAUCAACAACGCUCCAGCAUGAGAAACAUAAAGAUAAAUAGGUAGGACCAAUGCUGCCCUGAUCAUGCGAAGCGUGAUCGGGACUGCAUGGCACUUACCGAGAGAAACCCUAAAAUAGGGGUGGCGAUGCGCCGAGAGUUUUUUGCGAAUGCUUGUUGUUUUAUUCGUAGUCUAGGGCACAUAUUUAUAGUCUAGAAACUUGCCUCUCCUAACCAAUCCUGAUCGACUAUGACACGAAUCCUGACUAUCUACUUCUAAACUAACUUAAACUAGAUACAUGGCCAAUCUAGCCAUAAACCACCCGCGCAGGAGCCAAUUCGCAAGCCCAUUACAAUUAUCGUUAGAGCCCAUCUUGCUCGCGGCCCACCUUCUGGCCCAGCCAAAUUAUGACGAUAGCACAUGCCCCCUGGUUUCGGCAAUAAUAAUUCCGAAACCAUUUUUUUCCUUUCCAUCGCCUCGCCUCUUCGACUUCCAAAAUCCGUACACGCGUGCCACUUCCACUUCCACGGGAUGUGACUACUCCGCAUCUAACUUCUUGGAAAUCGUCACGGUGCUGAUCUGUAUCCCAUUCCUGCCUUUAUAAACUCGACCUGGCAACCUGUUCAUUCAUUUUCUUCCUCGAGUCGAUAGAAACUGCAGCAGUCCAACCCUCCUUCUCCCACAAUGGCUUGCUCAUCCUCUGCUUCCUUCAUCAUCUCCAUUGACUCCAAGAAAACUCGAGAGAUGACCCCGGAGUUCGACCCCACAGCUGCCUAUGAGGCCUGCGCUCCUCUGCACUGGGAUGUAGAGGAGUGGGAUUUCCAAGCCUGGUCAGAGGAUGAUAAAUCCCUGACCGAUGGAGAAGACCACCAGUUCCUCCUUGACGAGGAACUGGAAAAUGAAGACGACAACGACGAUGUGUCCUAGGAAGGGAACUUCUCCUCCUCGGAAGAAGAAGCCGAUGACACAUCAAUCGAGGAAGACUUAGCAAUAGGAGGCUUCUUGCACAGUGGGUCAUCUAAGGACGACGAAGUUGAUGAUGAUGAAGAGACCGAUGGCAGCAGCGGCUAUAGCGGUGACGACAGCAGCGACGACAACGGUAGUGAUGAUGGUGGCCACAUUGGUGCAGCCCCUCCGAUUAAGCGCCGCAAGGUCUUAGGCACCUACUGGUGGUAGUCCAUAGAAUUAGUAGUAACUACCAUGUAUUGAGCUGAUAGAUCGGCUUUAGGAGCAAUCGGCUCCACUUUUGUAAUGUCCUUCCCUAUGAAUGAAAUCUUCAGCCAAAAAUAUCGAAAAGCCGAUUCACCAGUAGCCGAUGGCAACGCAUUGGUCCUUCCCCUCAAAGUGCCGAUUUGAAUCUGAGUCGAUUCUUAAAUCAAUUCCAUUUUCUGCUUAAAUCCGGAACUUUCCCGAAACAGAUCUACAAAGGUUCCCCGAAUCCAAGUUGCUCACCAAAAACCUCUGCUCAAAAAUUCAAUCGCAAAACCCCAAAUCAGAGCCUCAAAGCGCGAACUCGAAACCCAUGAAGCAAACCCUAGAUCCAAUUUUGAGCCUUCAAUCGCUGUUGGAACUUCAAAUGGCAGAACCCUCAAAUGCCAAUGCGGGCGUCCUUGGUUUGAAGGUAAAACUCUGACCUUUGCUAAUUUAAUGGAGUAGUUACUCGAACACCUGAAGAAUUAAAUGAUCCUUUGCUGUUUACUUGGCUCUAUCAAUUCUUCAGGUUUCAGACAUUCUUUUGCCAUAUCCUUCGCUCCCCAACUCCUAUUGUCUUGGCCCUCAUUCUUAUGAAAGUCCAAUAGAUUUGAUUUCUUGUGAAGCCAACUGAAUCUCAUUCGUAAGCCAAGAUAUAGAUUCAGAUUCCUAGGCCGACAGCCUGCGUGCCUGGCCAAAUCCUCCCGAGGGCUGGGUGUCCUGGUAUAACAGAGUAGCGAAAGCCUACCAACCCACAUGGGAAACUAUAGGAAUAGCCGAUGCUCUGUCCCUGUCAUUGUCCCCUCUCAAGAAGAAUGAAAACCUUCUGAAAACCAUCGGCUAUUUUUGGUCUGAUGCCCUGAAUUGCUUUUUAUUUGGCCAUGGGCCGAUGACCCCAACCCUCAUGGAUGUGGUGAUGAUUACUGGUCUGGACAAUUGCAUCGCCCAGCCCCUCUGCUUACAGAAUGCCUGAGGUCCCCUUUAAGUUGUCCUCCAAAACAAAAUGCACAAAUUGGGAUGCCUACCUGAACCAGUACAUCAAAACCAAAGGCCCUAUAACUGACAAAGAACAUACAGCCUUUCUGAACCUCUGGUUGGAACACUUCAUAUUUUGCGGCCCUUCCCUUGCUCCAACCAAAAACUACCUUUCUCUAGCAUAUGAACUGGCCAGAGGUAAUACUAUUGGCCUUGGCAAACUGUUUCUUGGGGAAGUUUAUAGAUAUCUUCACCUGAUGUCUUCGAGCUUGCUCUCCCAAAAAAACUUAGAACUGGUGGUCCCUGGUGGUUCAUUCAGUUAUGGGCUCACUUAUAUUUUCAGAACAACAUACCAAACUUCCCUAUUCUGGCCGAUAAUUCCUUCCCAGAUCAGAGUGGGAGAUGCAUCAAAUGUACCAGCUUCGGCCAAGCUUUGUAGAGUCUUCCUGGUAGCAAGUUAAACCCCAAAGACGCCUCAAGCUAGUUUAGAAUAUUCUACCAAGGUUUAAACAAUCCGAUCUACCUUCCUUACACAGAUUUUGAAAUCUUUGAAAAUUCAAGCGCCUUUUGAUUGGAUGACUUUGCCGAUGAUGAAAGCACUCGGCAUUUGUACUCCAUCAUGAUCCAUCCUUGCUUGCUUCCUGUCGGCAUGAGCACCUCCAACAGAAUCUUCAAACCAGGCUAUGAAUCUUACCAGCCGGUCGUAGCAGCUCGGCAAUUUGGUUUUGGGCAAGUUCCUCCCGACUUCUUCCUUCAUCAUCUGACAAAGAGUAGAACCGAUCUAUCUGACAGUCUCACCAGCUCCAGAUGCUACAGCCUGUUUGAUGAUCUCCACAUCCCAAUCCCUAUUGACAUAUCAUUUACUUUUUCAGCUAUCAGCUUCGAGAAUUGGUGGUCAAUGUGGAAAACUCAUGUCUUUCGAAAAGCCUUGGGGCCAAUGUUGCAGCAAAUUUACGUUGAGUGUGAAGUCCCUGAGGAAGAGGUAUCGCCAUCAGUUUAUUACUUCUACAUGAUUCUGCUUGACUUCUUUUCUAAUUCUGUUUGUUUCCUCUACAGCAAAAGGAUGGUUCGGAACCCAAGAACGAUGAUGGCUCCUCUUUCAAGUUCUCACCGACAGCUCCCAUGGUCCUUUUUGGCAAGAAUGCGCCUCCCCUGUCGAAGGUCAUAAUGCAGAUCCAGCCUGAUUCCUAAAAAUGGACUUCCAAGCGAAAACGAGCCCCCGAUGUUGCUGCCCCCCGAGCUCAGAUCAAGGUGAUGAAGAGGAUUACCAGGAAAGUCCGGAAGGAGGCCAGACUACCUUCUUUAGAUCAAGGAGCUUCCAACGUCAACCAGGUUCCAAUUAUACCUUUAGAAUUGGUCUUCUGUAUAGAUAUACUUUGGCUUAAUUGCUCCUUCCUUGUUUGCAGGCCGAUAUUGUAGACACUCCCAGUGGGGAAGAGCAGGCGCGCCAAGAAAACCCGAUCCUAGGAACUCCAGAGAAUCCAGCAACGACAGUCGAUUCCUUGGUCAACCUCCAGGAACGGUCCUGGAAACUCCGGCGAGUCUUGCAACAACAAUUGAUACUUUGGUUAAUCUCCAAGAUUUGCAUGAGCCGAUUUUCACCGCCUCGGCUGUCAAUUCUUCCCAAGAAAAGGUAUGUGAUCUCUCAUUUGCAUCUUCCUUCCCCUGUACCAUACUGAUUUUCUGCCUUCUUUUUAGGGCUUAAACCUCUCGGAGCUGCUCUCGUUUGACCCUGCAUCUAUCGGCUCGGCCAUAUUCAAAGUCGAUGAUCAUCAACCUCAACCGACUGGUGUCGCUAGCCAGCUUCACCGCAUAAAGGACCUGCUCUCAGCUCCAAUUGACGCUUUGGUCCAAGAUUCCGACGAAGUGAAGCAAAUUCUUGAGGAGAUCAAACCCCAACUCUCGCAAGUUCUUCAGAUCAAGCUCUAGCCAACCGGACAUCUUCCCUUCUUUCGAGCAAAGGUGGAGAUGGCUCGGCACAGGAUUGAAGCACGUCGUUCACAAGCCCCCUUAAGAGUCGAUAUUGCCGAGAGGUGCCAUUUGCUCAACGAAAAGAAGGUGGCCCUAGAUGCCAAAGCUGACACUUCUGCACAUUCCCAAGGGCUUCAACUCCUGGAGAAGGAGUUGGAAGACCUCAAGGCAAAAGUCCAGGCAACUGAGCAGCGCAUCCAAGAUGAGAAGGACCUCAUAGCCCGCUCUGCACAAGAAGCAGAGCACCUGACUACCCAGUUGAAGACAGAGCUCACAGAGCUGAGUGUUUUAAGUCAGCAGAUAGUGUUAGGUGAGGACAAGGAUGAUGAAGCAGUGAUCGCAGAAGCCGAUCACGUCGGUCUUGAGGCUAUUGCGGCCAUUGAUGAAUUUCUCCAAUAGAACGCUUUAUAAUCAUCUCCUGUAGCCUGUUGUUGCCUAGAAAUCACAUGUACUCCAAUUACACUUCUAAAGUCGAUGAUUAUACAUCAGCUAUUUGUCCAAUUCAGCGCGUUGAUACAAAAUAUAUAUUUUUUAUACUUUUUUUAGGGGCCGACUGAACGUGUCGGCCCCUUUCUUGCAUGCAGCCUGAUGUGUAGCAUUGGCUUUUACUGUCCGUCAUCCCACUUGCUUUGGAAAUAUUUCUUGAGAUAUUGACCAUUGAUAGCCACCAGAAACCUAACGCCAUCUAACUCCUCAAGCAUAUAUGCAUUCCUAGGUAGGACUUGGUCAACUCUAUAAGGUCCAUGCCAAUUUGGAGACCACUUGCCAUAUGCUGCAUCCUUAGUUCCCAACGGUAACACCGCUUCCCAAACCAGAUCUCGGACUUGGAAUUCUUUUGGCUUGACUUACUUCUUGUACACGCGGGCCACCUUGGCCUUAUUUUCUUUGAUCUUCUCAAGUGACCAAAGUCUAAGCUCCGUAAGGUCCUCAAUGUUGUUGUUCAUCAGAGCAACAUAUUCUUUAGCUGUUAGGUCAUUUUGGAACUCUACGCGCCUCGAGCCGGCCGUAAUCUCCCACGGUAAAAUAGCCUCCUGUCCAUACACCAGGUGAUAAGGUGAAGUUUUUGUUGCUCCGUGGCACGAAACAUGGUAUGCCCACGAUGCCUCUGAUAAGACUUCAUGCCAACGCCUAGGAUGCUCAUCAAUCUUUCUCUUGAUCAACUUGAUAAGGCUCUGAUUGGACGCCUCAGCUUGUCCAUUUGCUUGAGCAUAGUAUGGAGAUGACCUGAUCAGCUUGAUGCCUAUGUCAGUAGCAAAUUUUCUGAACUCCUCUGAUAUGAAGACCGACUCUCCAUCUGUUGUGAUGGUCUGAGGAAUCCCGAACGUGUGAAUGACAUGUUCUUUAACAAAAUUGAUGAUGUCCUUCGACGCCACAGACUUCAUAGGGAUGGCCUCCACCCACUUGGUAAAAUAGUCCGUAAUGGCCAAAAUGAAUUGGUGGCCUUUGCUAGAUGGAGGAUUAAUUUUGCUAAUCAUGUCCAUACCCCAACCUUUGAAUGGCUAGGGUUUGACGAUAGGGUUCAUUACUGACGUUGGUACCAUCUAUAUCUUCCCAAACCUCUGACAUGUCUGACAUCCUUUAUAAUAUUUGAAACAAUCUUCAAGCAUGGUGGGAUAGUAAUACCUUGAUCGCCUAAUCAGCCACUUCAUCUUAUGAGCCGAUUGGUGAGUCCCACGAGUGCCUUCGUGGACCUCGUGUAAGAGCCGAUUCGAUUCAAUCGGCCCCAAGCAUUUGAGCAACAAUCUUUCUAAAGUCCUGUAGAACAUGUCGUCCCCUAUCAGGAUGUACUUCAUGGCCUUGUAACGUAUCCUCUUAGGUGCCCCCCGAGCCGGAUCCUUUAAGUAAUUGAAGAUAUCGGCUCUCCAGUCUCCCUGUCCCAGCAGGUGUACCUGAAGAUUGGCUCCGUCUGCCAUAGCCUUGUAUCCCAAAGCCAUCUGCGCAAGAUCAUUGGCCUCUGAAUUUUAUAUCCUUGGUAUCUAAUGAAAUUUAUGUACCUAAAUUGGACCAUCCGCUCCUGACAUUGUACCCAUAAAGGGAAAAGCGACUCGCUCUCGCACCUGUAUUCUUCUGUAAGCUGAGAAAUCACCAGCUUUGAAUCCCCAAAAAUUUCUACUGCUUCCACUCCGGCCUCAAGAAGCAAUUCCAUACACUUACGUACUGCUUCAUAUUCUGCUAAAUUGUUGGUGCAAGGGGUAGGCAACCUGAUUGAAAAAGAAAAUGCUACCCCUCGAGGCGACACGAGCAGGAUACCUAUACCACAUCCAUCCCCACAAGCCGAUCCAUCAAAGUACAUGGCCCAUGCACGCACGGAGAGUGCUGCUAUGUCAGUAUUGAUCCUUUCUGCAAUAAGAUCUGCUAGCGCUUGCCCUUUGACUACCUUUGCAGGUUGGUACCGGAUAUCAAACUCUGUCAGUGCAAACAUCCACUUUCCGAGUCGGCCUUUCAACACAGGAGCCGAUAGCAUGUGCUUCAUAACGUCCGAUUUGCUGAUGACAAUCGUUUCGGCAGAUAGCAAGAUAUGAUGAAGCUUUGUACAGGUAAAGAACAAACAAAGGCAUAACUUUUCAAUCUCAGGGUACCUAGUCUCCGCAUCUAGCAUCCUUCUGCUGAGGUAGAACACAACCCUCUCCUUGCCGUCAUGCACUUGUGUCACCAUCGAUAGAAUGGCUUAUCCUGCUGGAGUGGAACUAACACGGGUGGUUUUGACAAAUAUUCUUUGAUCUCUUCAAAUGCCCGUUGUUGCUCUGCCCCCCAACGAAACUCAUCACUAGCUUUAAUCUUCACCAACUCCAUAAAAGGCUCAAUCCGCUCAGAGAGAUUGGAAAUAAACCUUCUGACAAAGUUGAUCUUGCCAAUGAGCUGCUGGAGCUCCUUCUUUAUAGUAGGUGGCACCAUUGUUUUUACAGCUUCCUGACUCUUUAUGCCGAUCUUAAUUCCUCUUUCAUGAACCAAGAAACCCAGGAACUGACCGGCCGAUACACCGAAAGUGCACUUCUUCGGAUUCAUCUUAAGCCCGAACCUUCUGGUUCGUUCUAGAACUUUCCAUACAUCUCCUAAGUGUUCCUCAACUGAUGCAGAUUUAACCAGGACAUCGUCAAUGUAUAUCUCCACCAACUUGCUGAUCAGGUCGUGAAAGAUGUAAUUCAUGGCACGUUGAUACGUGGCACCGGCAUUUUUCAACCCGAAGGUCAUGACCACAUACUCAAACAAUCAUACUGCCCCGGGUACUCUGAACGCGGUCUUAUGUAUAUCCUCUGGAGCCAAGAAAAUCUGGUUAUAGCCGGUGUUGUCAUCCAUGAAACUCAAAAUCUUGUGACCAGCAGCCGCGUUGAUCAAUGUCUCCACGAUAGGCAUCGGGUAUUCGUCCUUCGGUGUAACUCUGUUGAGGUCUCUGAAGUCCUCGCAGACUCGCCAUCGGCCAUCCUUCUUUCGCACAGGUACAACACUUGAAAUCCACUCGGCAUACCUACACGGCCUAAUGAAUCCUGCUUCUAGCAUUUUCUCCACCUCUUUCUUGACUUCUUCUAGAACUUCAGACUUCAUUUGUCGCGCUCGCUGCUGAAACGGCCGGAAUCCCUUGUUGAGAGGGAGCCGAUGCUCGAUGAUGCUCCUAUCCAACCCAAGCAUCUCCGUGUAAUCCCAGGCGAAACAAUCUGCAUACUCCUUCAGCAAAGCUAUCAUCAUCUCUCAUAGACACGGGCUUAACUUUUUGCUGAUGAAUGUUGGUCGUGGCUUAUCCCCAGGACCAAUGUCAACCUCUUCGAGCUCGUCAGCUGAUGUAAACCCAUAUCCUAGCUUUCCGUCAUCUGCCAAGUCAACGCUGCAAAUGGAUAAAGAAUGUGACGAAUAGAGUUUCGGCCGAUCGUUAAGAUCGGCUGCCUUAUAAUCUUCAUUAAUCCUUGAAACUUUACAAUUGAUGUAUGGUCGGCCGCUAGAGCGGGCCUCCUCAUAAUUUCCACUAUUAUGCAAUACACUUGUCAUCAGGAGUUUACAUUUUAUUUUUUGGGGCCAAUCGUAGGGAUCGGCCUUGCCAAGUGCGUCAGAAUAGCUCUCCCUUGAUGUUUCAUCUACUCUGUAAGGCCAGUGGAUAAGACCAGCCUCACCCCAUUUUUUGUAACUUCCACGCAAUCACAGCCUUCCAAACUGAUUCUUGAAAUCGGCUCUUGAUCUUCUGCGUCCCAAAUGCUCAUGGCGGCGUGUGAAAUCUCGAUCGAAUCAUCCACAUGAACCACCUCUACUUCGUCCCCAUCCCGCUGAAUCAGACAUCGGUGCAUCGUGGAAGGGAUGCAACAGUUGGCGUGAAUCCAAUCCCUCCCAAGUAGGAUGGUGUAAGUACUCUUGCUGUUGAUGACGAAGAAAGAGGUGAGGACAGUCUUGCUUCCCACGGUCAGAUCCACAUUAAGGACACCUUGUGCAUCUGAUGUUUGGCCAUUGAAGUCGCUCAACGUGACGUUGGUCUUGAUUAAAUCUCUAGUAGAAUGCCCCAACUGACGCAGCAUUGAGUAUGGCAUUAUGUUGAUGCUGCACCGGUGUCGACCAACAUUUUGUUGACAGGCUGGCCAUUGAUGUAACCCUUGAGGUAUAGAGCCUUCAAAUGCUUAUAAUUCUUUCCUCGGGGCUUCUCGAAUAUGACUGGCAGCGGCCCAAGUCAGGCUGGGCUACUGGUAACUCUUCACGGCUUUGGGUGUAGAACUUCGCAGGGAGUACAAACACCAUAUGCGCGUCAGCCGAUGUCUUCGCAUCGACUCUUGUUGGCUUAGGAUGCCACUCAUUCUUAGGAGGGUUCGAUUCCCUUUUUUGGGUGUGGUGAACCUUAUCCGCCGGAUUCGGGCGCGCUUUUCUUAGCAUCUCAGGAUAUUUGGCCUCGGCUUUCUCCAAGUUGCGCAACCGCUGCACCCUGCGUUUCUGGGAAUGAUUAAGUCCAUUAGGGCACCAGCGCGGCCGGUGAUAUUUGUCCUCUUCUUCUUCAAAGUCCUCCUUUCUGCAUGGUGGCUCAGCUUGCUCAUGUUGGGCCGGCACAGGUCCCAAGCACCAAAACACCGAGAUCCCUUCUGCAUCACGUUUCCGAGGUCUGCACUCCGGGCAAUCAUUGACAGAAGGCAAUCGGCUCAUACCGGAGUCCCAGCAAUACUUGAAGAACGGGCAAUACCAAUGGUCACGUGUAUCUUCACGCUUCUUCAGACUCUUCCCAGUACGGUGCUCAUAUUCUUCAUCCUCUGAUUCAUACUGGAGACAUUGCCGGUACUGGCAUUCAUACUUCUUGAGGAGAUGGGCGGAAGCUGGCCGUUGUUUUGUGACGUGUCUCACUUGCUCUUCAGUGAUGUAUUCCUUUUCCUCUUUUUGGGGCAGAUUGCAGGGAUCAGCCUUCUCCUUCCUUUCAUAGUGAUGUGGCACAGGCCUGCCAUGUUGAUGCCGAAUGCAAAGUCCAGCUGUCGUCGUGCAGAUCGGUCGCUAUCGUUCACGCGACCCUCUACCAUGUUGACGCUUGGGAACGGCUGCGUGUCGACCUUCAUGGCAUACUGACCUAAGAUCAAUCGGCCCUGCUCAAUAGCUGAUUGGAUCUAUCGACGGAGUUCUUUGCAGUCGCUGGUGUUGUGGGUGAAAGAAUGAUGCUAUUUGCAGUAUGACCUCCCUUGCCGUUCUUAUGCUGUAGGAAACAUACAGCCUUCAGGUAACUUCAACUGCUUUUCCUUUAAUAACAUAUCAAAUGUCUGCUCGACCUUGCUUACAUCGAAAUCAAAACCCUUUUGCAGGUCCUUGCUGCUUCACCCACUUACAGGACACGGGAUUUGCCCCCCGAGUCCACUCUGCACCCGCUACUUCUUGAUCAUCCCCAGAAUCUUCAGCGUCUUCUACGUCGAUCAAUGUUACCUGAUGCUUGAACCUAUCCUGGUACAAUUCUGGGUGGCGCUGCUCAUAUGAUGUCAAUUUUUGCACCAAGUGCGCUAAAGAAUGGAACUCCAAUUGAAAGACCAGGUCCUUGCUCGGCUUCACCAGUCCCAAGGAUGCCAGCUCGACUGCCUCUUUUUCUGAAAUUCGGGUUGAAUAGCAUCGAUUCUUGACUUCCCUGAAGUGCUGGAUAUACUCUGACACAGUUUCCCCUCGCUUCUGCCGGACUUGUGCUAGAUCGGCAAUCCCGGCCUCCGCAGCUUCCGAGUGGUAUUGGAUGUGGAAUUGCUCCUCCAACUGCUUCCAUGUGCGGAUCGAGUCAGGACCCAAUGAAGUGUACCAUCCGAAGGCUGGCCCUGUAAGAGACUGUGAAAAGAACCUUACUCGUUGAGGGUCUAACACUCAGAUCAUCCCCAAUUGUGCCAAGUAUCGGCUCACAUGCUCGAUGAAACUGGACCCUUCCGAUCCACUGAACUUGGUAAGCUCAGGGAGCUGAUAGUUGCGUGGUAGAGGGAUCAAAUCAUAUUCACUAGGAUAUGGCUUAGUAUAGUUGAUCGCUCUCCUUUGUGGUAAAAUACCAAAUUGAUCCCUCAAGAUGGCGCUAAUCUGGUCUACAGUUUGAACUCCUGGGGCCGAGUGCGUGCCAUCAUGACUCGGCCCGGUGGCGUACUUAGCUAGCCAUGCUUGCUUAUCGGCAUCUAUCCUAGAAACUCCUUCAGUCACCCGCUGCGCUGAAUAUACCGGGUUGUUGCUGUCUGGUAUAUAUGCACACAUGUACCCAUGUGGAAUGUCCUUAGGCGGCUCACUAAAGAAUUGAUGAUCCACAAGGUCACCUCCCACCUUGUAGACAACUUAUGUCGGUGAACCUUGUGAUUCUGGAGCCGCGACUGCAUAAGGCAGUGGUGGCUUGGCCUGGAACAAUAAUUCUCCUUUGUGACUUCGCAGGGGAUGUCCCGUCGAAGAGUACUGAUUCUUCAUUAUUUCCUGGACUACGCGCAGCGCGACACGCUCAAGAGUGUUCACCAGGCUUUCGGAGUGCCGAUGUAACGAAUGAGCCACCAUGUAGUUCACCUCCUAGCGUAGAGCUCUGGUGCGCUCCUCUGAAGAGGUAGAUAGAUCCACUUCAUCGAGAGCGUCUUUAGGUGAGAAUCCUUUCCACCUGAUGCCAUGGUGGCGGGUCCUCUCAAAAGAGCCGAUGAGAUCGGCUUCAAAGAGAGCCUUGAUCUCAUCAUACUUCUACUUGUGCUCAGCGGAAAGCUCCUCGUAUAUGACUGAGUUUUCCUUUGACAUCCUGGCGGUGGAAGUAUCAAGAUGAUGUCUGAAACUGGAACGACAAGAUAACAGGCUUGGCUAGUAGGUGCAGCACAGGCACGCGAAGUGCAAGGCGGACAUGACCGUUCCAAAUAAGGCCACCGAAUCCUAGACAUUCACGCUUAGGGAACACUAAGUCGACAUGGCCUGGCUCUUGCGGUGAAAACAAAAGGAGAGGAGGGGCAUGAUAGAUAGGACCACAAUUUCAUAGGGAGAAACAACAAGAGAGAGGAGCGAUUGGCUAGCCAUUGUGCCAAGGAAGACAGAUGGUAUUAAGGGAUGCUCGGCUGGGCAAAGAUUGAGUUGGGUCUAGGGUUUUUAGAGCAAUGGUGCUAAUCGCCAGAGCUGAUGUUGUCGAUAACGAAGUAUCACCGGAAAAUUCCGAAGUCGAGGCAUGAUUUCGUUUCGAGUGAGAUUUGAUUAGGGAGAAAGAUUAGAGAAUGUGAAACUUGAAUGGACAUUAUAGGGUAUCAGAUAUGACAGAGUAAAAAGGGAGAAUGGUGAUAUGACGGAUCGGUCCGACUACGAUAAGAAUUUGAACUUCGGGAAGGAAGUCUACUUUUUUAUGGCGGAACUCGAAAGAUGACAAGAUCAAAGUGGUGGUCGAGCUCAACAGCACGGUUCUAGGAUAUAAGGUGGACUAGACUCAAAAAUAAGUUGAAUCGAGCUCGAGAGGAAACAAAAUGAAUUCCAUUUUCUGUAAUAUAUUUUCAAGCUUAAAAUCAAUCUAGAAAAGUCCAGAUAAACAUUUUAAACCAUGAAAAAUAUAUCCAGAAGAAUCCCAAAAAUUCCAAGGAAAUCUCUGGCGUUAAUUUGGGAUAGGAGGAAAUCCAAAUAAAAUAUUUGGGACAUAAAAAAUUUGAGAGCCUUCCAAAAAAAAUGGAUCUAGCUCUAGGAUAAAUUUGAAUAAUUGCUAGAAAAAUCUGUAAAAUUCUAAGAAAACCCUAUUUAUAGAUGAACAUAUUCUAAAAGACAUUCACAUCCUAAAAUUCAAUAUUUUAGGGUGUGACAGAAUUACCCCCCUAAACAGAAUCUCGUCCCGAGAUUCGCAAGGGCUGGUGACAAAAAGGAGAUACAGGGCAAAAAGAUUUCAUUAGGGAGACAACAAGAUAACAAGGCGGGUAUUGAGAAAAGAGAGAAUUUGGAUUUGGAUCUUCUUCACUUGCUUUCAAGCAGAUGGGGUUGACGAGAUAUUCACAAAAUCCGGUGAUAGAAAGGAGACAACAAGGUAACAAGAUGGGUCUUCUGCGCUGACUUUCGCUAUGGAGCAAGAAGAUGGCGUUAACGAGAAAACUAAGGAAUGAAUGAUGUCACUGUAGGCACAAGUCCCACAACACAUCAACAAGCAAAAACAAGGAGUCUAAACAAACAAGAACAAAACAACAAGCAUUACAAGCACACCAAAACCAACUAUCAAACAACCGAAACUAGCGUUUUACAACUGAAAAGGGAAACCUCUUAAGUAUGGGUCAUAUCCUAAAGCUUCAGCAUUUUUGUGUUAGGCAUCUCUCUUAGCUUGUCUGGUGGAACAUUGACUUCUUAAGUGUAACGUCUGUGAGUCCAACGUAGCCUUCAGUUGCUCUGGCUUGACUUAUUGUAGUAGACUGUUACUUCCAUUCUUUAGGGUACAAGGUCGGACAAUCUAGUGUUUGUAACAAGAGGAGAGGAGAAAAAAAUCCAUUUGGAAUAGAAGACAAGGGAAUUUCCAAAGUGGCCAAACUUGAAAUCAAGGAUGAGAUAAAUUGGAACAAAUGGAUACAAGGUAACCAAUGCCAAUGAGGGUACAAGUGAACAAGGAAAUUGUGAGAUGUAAAAGCAAUGGAAAGAAGGGGAUAAAAGAAAAGGACACAAAGUUAGAUAGAAGCAGCAUCAAGGAUGAGAUAAAUGAAGAAUGGCCAGGAAUAAAUGAAGAGGGUCAAGGAUAUGGUAAAAAAAUAACUUUUAUAUCAUAAUAGAUCUUAGAAAAUGAUCAUUGCUAUCUAGGCAGGCGUCCUACUGUCGACACAGCUCUGGUACCACCUCUGUCACACCCUGUUUUAAGGAUAAAACCGAAUGCAUAACUAUAUAUAUGCUAGGAUCAAGUUCCAUACAUAUAGUGACUUCAUCAGUGAAUAAUUAGUAACAGUAUCACGAAAAGAGAAUUAAAAGACUAUAAACAUUAUCAAAGUUAUAGAUCUUAUUCUAGAAACGAAGACUCCAAAUUUCACAAGCAAUCGAUCGGGGGUUGCAUAGGCCUAGAACUCAGCAACAUCUUCAAAAGACUUCACAUCACUUUCUCCUCUAAGCAGCAAUUAUAACAAGCUUUAGUACACUUAUGGUUGGUACUCAGCAAGUGUUGGGAAUUAUAUGACAUGAAGGCCAAAAGCAAGGAAAGGCUGACUAGCUUACUGCGGUAAGCAAUUUUAGUUGAUCAAGUUUUAUUAGCACCUGAUUACUAAGGUAUAAGUUCAUACCAAAACCCACAUUAAAAGAAAUAGAAGAGAUAUAGCAGAAGCAUAACGAUAACUAUAAACAUGGUCCAUGAUUUAAUUUAUCUUCAAGUUCAAUUAUCAUGUGAGGGUCCAAGCCGCUCUUAACCGUGAGCAUGGCUGAUAUAUCAGUUUUCACUCUGCAGAGUUUGUACACUUUACCCACAAUUUGUGUCUUCCAAUUUGCCUGAGGUAGCUAGCCUCUUAGACACUUUCAAGGUGAGUGGCAAGGGAUUCACCAUGAGGCCUUUACAAAGAUUCCCUAACUUAUGACAAUCCGCUAAGGUUUCAGGCCGCAGUGGUCAUAACCCUCCCUAAUGAGGAAGAUGCCUUAACCAAGAUCAUAUCUAAGCCUCAACAGAACCGGGCUAUACCCCAUCAAUGCACUCCCCUCUUGCCUUUUCGGUAAGAUCAUCACAAGCUAGAGUUUCUAAUUAAUUAGCCAAAACUGGAGCCAUAUAGUAUUAUGGUUGCACUGUUUUCCUGGGUGGUUCUCCAUAUUCCGAUUAAAACAUAUGAUCUUGUGAUUAACUACACAAAGAGCAUGAACAUGGAUAAAACAGGUGUAACAUCAGGUUAUAUAUUAUUCCCAAACCAGAACCAGUUAUAGCAACUAAGCAAUAGCUACCCAACAUAAAGGUAAAACCUAGGUUGACAAGGAAUGAUCAUAAAGAUUAGGCAUGUCCUUAUUUAGGAUCCAUCAAAAUUAGGACACAUGCAUGCAUAUAGAAAAAAGUUAUAUUUAUUGUGAUUAUUAAGAUAAAAGAAUGAUAAAGGAAACACUUGCCUUUCUUUUAGAGAAUAGCUGCUCAGAGUCUUCAACUCUUGUUCUUGGAACUCUUAAUCUUCAAUGCUCUUGGACUGCGCUCCUUCUAACGUCAAACAAGCAUCAGACUGAAGCACAACAGUAACAAACAAACAAAAACAACUAAGAAUAGGUACACCAAACAAAAGGAAAGCUUAAGAAAACAUACUAAAGGAGAGGAUUCGUUGCUACGGUCACGAGAAACAGCUAUCGGAAAAUUUAUAUUAUAAAAGAGACAAAAGAACUAUAAGUUUUAUUUAUUUUAAUUUAAAAAAGUAAUGUAAAAGCUAUUCAAAAGAGAAUAUCCCUAAUUAUAAUUAACACAUAUUAUAUUUGCAUUUAUAAAGAUGAGGUACAACUUAGUCAAAUUUUAUAUAUAAUUGUCUAUGUAUAAAUUAUCCUAAUUAAACAAUUAAUUAAAAAAGAAACCGGUGAGUGUGACAGUUCAUGUGUUUGUAAACUAGGCAUAUAUUUGUUAGUGUGAAGUAUGUGCUUGUUAGUGUAAAGCUUGUAUAUGUUUGUGUGAAGCUUUUGAAAAUUUAAAAUGCAAGUAAAAAGGGGAAAUUUUGUAAUUAUAGAAAAACCUAGGGUUGUUUUUGCAAAAUGUAGUUGGUUAAGGGUAAUUUCAAAAUAAGUGAAAGGUGGUUUUGUAAACAUGUUUUUCUUAUUUUAUGUCUUGUAAAAAUAAAUAUUAUUUAUCCAAAAGUUUCAUUUGAAAUGUGUAUGUUGAAGUGUGUAAAAAUUUUGGGUAAAAUGGUAAAAACAAGGGUGUUUGUGUAAUUUUAUAAAAGUACAAGUCCUUUUUAUGCAAAUGUUUGAUUUACAAAAGUAACUUUCAAAAUUACUUAGGACUAAAGUGUAAAAGAUGCAAGUUAUCAUAACACGUCUAUCCAAUCAUUAUGACGAGUCUAUCCCGUCAUCAUGACGUGUCAUAAAUGCUUACAUUUAGAUCCUGAAUUUUAUAAAAUUUCAUUCUUUAAGACAAAAGCAAUACAAAUCCGACUUUUAUUCAAAGAUUCACGUGUAAAGAUACAAAUUUUGAGUUUUUGAACUUGAGCCCUAAAGCAAUAUUCUAGAGUUUGAAAAACUCUCCAACUUUCGUUUUGGGCAUUUCUUCAUUAGAGUUUUAAAUCAACGGGAAAUUUUGUUUUACAAAUAGGCCCUUGCAAUUUUCUAUAAUUAUGUAUAAGUCCUUGGAGAAUUCCAUCCCUUCUUCUCCUCUGUUUUCUUCUCCCUGGUGCUCCCCUUAUCCCCUUCUGGUAUUUCUUUUCUUCACCGGCAGCACUUCUCUGCACCAUCCUUAUCCCCUCUCUCUCUCCUCCUAUACACGGUUCGGCACAGGGGCAGCACGACGUCCGGCUGGGCGGCGAUGGGCUGACGUUGGGCGGCCACGAUAGCAGGCAGCACGGCCCCGGGCGGCUUCAGCGCGCGCGGGCGCGAGCGCGCAGGCGCGCGGAGCGGCGGGCUCGGGUGAGCGCAGGCGGGCGCUGGCGGCGGCUGGGGCAGCGCACGGGCAGGCGACGGUUCGGGUCGAGUGGAGUGCGGCCCAGGCGAGCCGGUGCGGGGCAAGGCCCGGGUGGAGGCGCGCGGGGGCGGCGCUGGUGUGGUGGCGCUGCGCUAGGCGGGUGUAAUAUCCAGGUAGUUAGACAACUAGAUACUAAGUUUGGGUGAAUUAUAUGUAAGCAUGUUAUAAUGUAUAUAAGUUGUAGAAAACAUUAGGAGUAUAAUUGUAAUUUAGGAAUUGUGUGAUUAUUUGAAUAUAAGUGUGUAAAAGUACUCUUAAGUGUGAAACCUAAAUCAUUAUACAGAAAAACAGUGCAAAAGUCAAAUAAAACCUAAGAGAAAUAGAUUUUGAAAGAAACUAAGGACCUAUGUGUAAUUAACACAAAUAUAAGGGACUCACAAGUGAAAUGGUAAAAAGAUAAAAGUAAAACUUAGUUUUACCUAAGGACUAAAGUGUAAAAAGAGCUAGUCAUGAUUACUGCAGAAAAACUUACAAAGAGACCCCAAACAUUAGAGCAUUUUGUUUAAAUUGUAAAACAAAGUUUAUAAUUUGAGUAGUGUUCAAAAGUUCAAAAUAAAACCGUACCCUUUGAGAUUUUGAACUCGAGCUCUAAAGCAUUCUUGUAGUAUUUGAAAUUCUCUACAACUUUGCUUUAGACAGUUUCCUCAUUAAGAUUUUGUAGCAGUGGGAAAUUUUAAUUUACAGAGGAGUCCCCGAACUUGUUAGAAAUCACAAACUAGUCCUUCUGACUCCAGCCUGCUUCGUCUUCCUCUGACCACGCCGCUUCCCCCUUCUGCUCCGCCCUGCCACCGCUGCUCACCGCCGGCGCAGACCUCCAGAGCUCCACCUCCAGCUACUACACCAUCCACGCGUCAUCUCCCCUCGGUUCCGGCCGCUUUCCUCUCCCUUCCUGGCCGCACGCGCGCACGCCACGACAUCCCGAGCUAUCUCCGGCCGCCACCUCCUCGCCAUCGUGGACAGCUCACUGCAGCGCCAUAACCUCCUCCCUCUCGCACGCAACAGCACCACUUCAACACACACAGCCUAUUCUGUUACUUCCAGAGCCCAAUUCCGAGGAACCGAGCCGCAUUUCCUCGCCGCCGUCUUCCUCCGCUCCGACCGCGCACAGCACGCCCGUGGGCAGCCCACACCGGACCUCCUUCGCCUCAACCAACACCUGCACUAGCUUCCCCGUUGCUUGCUCGUGCUCGAUGACCAACCAUUCCCCGCCAAUUUCCACUGAAGCUUUGUCCCCGACGAGCGCCGUCGCCGCCGCCUUCGGCCUCCACCGUGGGCAGCUCGCUCCGGGCACUCCCACGCCACCACGACCCCCUAGCCAGCACCACAUCAUCACCCUGAAGCUGUUCGACCCAUCCAUUGGCUCCCUAGUGCACCACAGAGCCUUCCCGAUGCUCGCCGGCGUUCUUCCUCGCCGCCGCCGCAUCGGUCUCCGUCGAUUCCCUUCGAUCCAGCAUGUUUUCAUCCAAUUGAUGGCACGUACACGUUCCCCGCGACUCACUGAUUCUCGUGCGCAGGUCCUUUGUCGCCGUUCAUCGCCGGAGCACCCUCGUCGCCGUCGACCCCUCCGCCGCCGCCUCGGGUCCUCAUCGGGAUCCCUCUUUCCGGCCGUCCCAGCCCUCGACAAGUGGAGCAACGGGAUCACCGUAAGCUCCUAACCCUAUCCCUGCACUUGGACCUCGCCGCCGGUGACCGCCGUCGCCGGAACACGGCCGUCCCUGUCUCGCUCUGUUCGGGUUCACGGCCAAGGACCUCGGGUUAGAAGGAAAAGAAACCCAGGGGGUUUUCUGUAAGGCUAUAGACUCAGUGGAAUAGUGCCGAGGGACCCCCAUGUGUAAAUAUUGCUGUUAACUUAGAAAUGCUAUAUCUCUUCGAAGAAAAAUCAUAAAAUUGUAAACUAAAUUUUGUUGGAAUCCUUAGAUAAAGAUCUACAACUUUACUUAAAGGGUCAACUUCAGUUUCUGAAUGUUUGAUGAUCAAAUUUAAAUAUCAAAUUUAGUUGUUUGUAGGUUAGUAAAUGCAUAGUAAUUCAUAAAAAAAUGAUAAAAUGGUAAAACCAGUGAUGAUAAUUUUCUUUUAACAUGUAGAAUUGAAGAAAAAUAAUUAACCUGGUGCUCUAGUAUUAUUUCCUUAUUGUACAAGUUUUAUUAGAAAUAAGGUGUAGCUUCCUUAGUAUAAUUAAUAAAUACACUUAUAAAUGUUCAAAAAUCAUGAAAAAUAUAUUAAGAUUCUGUUUUGUAUUAUUACAACAUAUUAUUAAGUUUUCAACUAAGAAUUAGGUGUUAAAUAAUUUGGAUAUAAUAUAAUUGAUUUAUAAUGGUAACUUAAAGUUCAUAUAAAUUAGUGAGGUCCAUAUAUAAAGCUUUUUAAUAUAAAUGUUGAGAACCACCCCACUUGUUGCUCCAUGCUACUCGUUAGUUAAUUAAUGUAAUCAACCCCGUUGUCUAAUGGGUUUAGAUAAAACAUAUAAUGCCCGAUAAAUGACUGUCCAGUAUAGGGUAAUUAAGUUGAUUAUCGAAAUAUAAUAUCCUUUACAUUGAAUUGCAACUUUAUCGUGAAUUGAAAUACAAAUGUAUGCAUCCAUUAAACUUCAUCUUGCAUAUCAUGUAGACUCGACCACUCUCGCUGACGGGGAUUAUCAACUGAUCCCGGAACAAGAAGAAGUCUAUUCUGAAGACUCCAGGAAUCUCGUCACGGAUUUCUCUGAAGCCCCGAACCAAGGUUCGGAAGAAAAAAAUUUGACUAACCCCAACCAUACCAGCGAAGGCAAGCCCCGGACAUAACCUCUACUUUAUUACACUGCAACCUAUACUAUUUAUGUAUAUCCUUAUGCAUUAAGUUCUUAGGAGUUGUUUGGAAACUUAGUUGCAUUACCCAGGAACCAAUGUAUUGAACACUAGAACUUGAGUCCGAGUAGCUGCUAUGCUAAUAGGACCGGUAGAAGUCGAGUGAUUUCCUGUCACUCGCGCGAUAUAGGAAUUGUGAUGUUUACUUUUAGGCUAUCACUAUAAGGAUGACGGACGGGAGUUUUAUUCAGUAUCAUGGUUGAGAUGAUACCCCGUCUGUGUUGAUAAACUGGAUAAGGCCGCAGUGUGUGGUAGCGGUGGUUAAGCGUUUGAAAGUACUAUCCACAUGCCGUGAAAUAUGGUAAGCGGUAAGCCUAGUAACCGAUCGGUCCGAGGAGUGGACAUACCACCCACCACAUGUAUUUGCUUCUUUUGGUUACUUUGUUCGACGUGUAGGCAUAUGUGUUGCUGGGCAACCAGGAGUACGGGUUUUGUAGUCGCGCUACAGACGUACGUCCUGCACGUUGGAAGUGCGUAUGCCCUGCAGUCGCUUGUGGUGGCACUGAUCCACAAGUCGGAAUGAAAGGCAAACGGUUGCUUCGGAACGACCCUGUGGUGUUCCAAGUGUGUGUGUUAGGUUUACCUUGCAAGGGUUGAAUCUCGAUUCAGAAUCGUCCGCCUCUCACGAUGUAUGAGAUUGCUUAUUCCCUUUACCACAUAGAGUAACAAGAGUAAUUAUGGGAUUAUCAAAGAUGAUGUUUGAGUAAAGAUUCUACUAUGUUUGAGUAGUUAUAGGUGCUUACCUAGAUUGGUUAAUCAACUAGAAUCUGAAAGUUAAAAGUUGAAAUUAAGGAUCUACUCUUUGUUGCUUUUCAGCUGAAAACUUUACCCAAAGCUAAAAGCCAUCAUGAGUCUAGUUAUGGGCUAAGGUAUACCCAAUUCCGGGUAAGUCUUGCUGAGUAUUAGUAUACUCAGCCUUGCUUUUGUUGAUUUAAUCCAGGUAAUCUCCCUGAUGAGCCAGCUUUCAUUACACCGUGGCCCUACCCUUUACCUGAUGGUUGGUCCGUGGAAUGGGAUCCGUCCCCGGCCAACACAGAUUCCGUCGAGUGAUAUUAUGCCAGGGCUAGCAUAAUAUCUAUAAUGACGACGUGUAUAAUGACUACGCUUUUCAAAUUCCGCUGCUUUGACUGAAAACUAAAACCUGUCUUGUAAUAAUCUCUCCUCUGUGGGAGCUAAUGAUGCUUUGUACAUUUUUGUAAUGUAACUGCCUGUGGUGUAAGAUAUUUUGGCAUUGUAUCUCUGGACUCACCUUCGUGUGAGGUACCUUGUUGGAUCCUGAGUUCGGUGGUUUAUCGGGACGUUACCCGACAGACCAAUGGUUUUAUACCGUUUGAAGUAUGAGGUAGCCCUUCGGUGAGGACUCGCGUACUUGAGCCGGUAUAAUUCAGGUUGGUUCUGCCACAGCGGGCCCAGGCGGGGCGCGCGGGAGCGGGCGUCGCGGGAGGCGAGCGGCAGCCAGCGCGCAGGCGCGCAGAGCAGGCAGUGGGCAUGGGAGCUAGCGGGCAGCAGCGCGAGCAAGCGUGCGGGUCGCGCGGGAGUUGGAGCGCAGCGGCGGUUCAGGUGCGCGCGGCAACGCGCGGGCUGGUGGUGGCCCAGGCGAGCGCGCGCAGGGGGCCGGAGCGGCGAGCCCGAGCGGGCUGGUGGCGAGCGGGAGCAGGUGAUGUGGCUCGGGCGUGCACGACAGCAGGAGCGCGGAGCGUGCGCGGGAGGCGUGGAGGUGCACGGAAGCGAGCGCGUGCGCGCGGGCGAGUGAAGGCGCAUGUCGCGCAGGAAGUGGACGCGGCUUGGCCCAGGAGCAGACGCGCGCGUGCCCAACAAGCUAGCGGCGUGCGGGUGUGACGCAGACUCGUGAGCGGCAUGGUUGGCAGUGCAGAAGCUCGCAGCGGUGGCGCGCAUGCGAGUAGGCGCUGGAGCG
This 92038-nucleotide long non-coding RNA is filed under the name Panicum hallii. RNAcentral's name for it is "long non-coding RNA (PHAL_LNC000063)". Lineage: Eukaryota; Viridiplantae; Streptophyta; Magnoliopsida; Poales; Poaceae. The record is from RNAcentral.